UUACACAUUAUCCUUGUUUUCAAAUAUACUUAUAUUUAUAUUUAUUAUUAAUUAAAUAAAUAAUUUAAAAAUAAAUAAAAAUAAAAAUAAAAAUAUAGGUUUUAGUGUGAAUAAAAAAAUAGUAAUAAAAUAUUUUUCUUAUACUUUCUAAUAAUAAAUAAAUAUAUUUUCUAUUCUAAAAUAAAAUAUCAAAUAGAUGACCUAUUUAUCCCCUUUUUUUCCUUUAAACUUUUUAUAUUAGAAAGUUAUUAGCUAUUAUAAAAAAAAAAGUAAGAGGGUGAGUGGUAUCUAUUUAUUAUAAUAGACAAAACUGGAAAUCUCCCUUACUAUUAUAUCAUUCUCCCCUUUCAUUUGUUCUAUAGUCCUCAUAAUUCCUUAAAUUUUUCUAUUUUGAAACUUUUGUCAAAUUAUAUAAAAGUGACGUUGAGAUAUUGAAGGAAAUUAAAUAUAAAAAAUUUACAUGAAUAUUGACUUGUUAAAUCACUGGAAUUAUCUGAAUGAAAAAGUAAAUAGAUGAGUAAAACUCCUCAAAAAAAUAGAUGAGUGAAAAAAACAAACGCUUGAAAAUGGCGCAAGUUAUAAUGCCAAUGCUCGUAGACAAAAACAAUACGAGCCCCGAAUCCUAGUUUGCAGGUGCACGAGCCAUCUACAUGCUCCUCCAGCGCGUCGAAUUAUUGGAACGUGCAACAGCAACUGGGAUCCAGUACAAUGACUCCACUUGAUUCAUCAUCUUCAAUAUAAAAUCUCAUCUUUGUAGACUUUUCAUCAUUAGUUUCUUUUGAGAUGAAUAAUAGAGUACUCAUAGUUGUGUUUGUUUUAUGUCAAUUUAAUUACGUAUUUAAAAACAUUUACAUAAUAUUUAAUUGACUCAUUACUUACACUCCUAACAUGUGGAAUACGAUGUGUAUCCAUUGAACAAAAGAUCGUUCUAAAGUAUUGGACAAGUGAGUUUUAAACAAUUUUAUUUAUAGGAGUUUAAAUCUUGAGGAGGUAGGGAGAUAAAAAAAAAAAAUUAAUUUAAUUUUUUUGUAUUUAUUGACCACCCAGCCUUGUUCUCUAUCUUGGGUGGUAGCCAGUUUAGUCAUUUUCUACUUGUAUUGCUUAUUUUGAAACAAAAAUUAAUUUCUCUCCCAAAAAAAUUAAGAAAUUGCUCUCGUUGAGAGUCGAACUCAAGACCUCCCGCUUACUAAACGGGUGCUCUAACCAACUGAGCUACGAGAGCAAUUAAUGAGUUCCGCAUACUAUUUAACAUCAAUUUACAAAUUUUCGAAGACCUAGAACAAUCCCACACGUGCUAUAAUUCGACUUAGGCCCAGUGUAAUUCCGCGGGUGACGAAACAAACACCCUUCCCCGUGAUGCAAACCUCAUGUAAGUAAUGGCAUUUAACGAAAAUAAAGAAAAGUCAAGGGGCAUUUCCGCAAAACAAAUUGUUCAUAUAGACUUCCCCCGAGUUGCUCACCGCAGCGGAAGUUCGGUGGAAGGAGAGUUUUUGUGUUGUGUUGUGUUGUGUUGCUUCCUUGGCCUUUCACAUCUCAUUUGUCUUGGGGGGUUUUGUUUAUUAAGAUCUUUACAAUUAAGUCGACAAUUUCAAACGAAUUUACACGAUUGCCACCACCACCGUAAAAAUCGUUAAUUUCUUAAACGAAAAAAAUGGAGUCGAAUUUGUGGAGCAAUCGCCUCUCAACGGCUUCUUCAAGACGCUACCACCACCAGUCUCGAUCUGGUCUGUUUGUUUUGUUUUAUAUUGAAUAAAAAUAUUGAAAGAAAUGUUACCGUACGACACCGUUUGACUCGUUUUGUUGUUGGAAUUUUGAUUUUUGUACAGAUCUGUUCAUCGGAGGAGGAUACGAUGAAACGGACGGCGACGAUGAUUUGAAUGCGAUGUUUCUUUGCCCGUUUUGUGCUGAAGAUUUCGACAUUGUUGGACUUUGUUGCCACAUCGAUGAGGAUCAUCCGAUUGAAGCUAAAAACGGGGUAAAGUUUUGAUAUAUAUAUAUAUAUAUAUAUAUUUUACCCAAAACUCUAGAAAAGGAAUUUCAAUUAUUAAAUCACUGGGUGAUAAAUUAAUUAGUUUUAUGCUUUGUGGGUUAAACUUUAAAUUGAUGCUUCCUUUGCUCUUUUUAUGAAUUCAUAAGAAAAAAGAAAGAAAUUUGCAUGUGAUACUUGUGAGUUAGUUUAUUAAGAAUCUGAUUUUAGCAAUUUGUGUAUAAUUUGUAUUUAUUGUGACAACUCGGAAAUGAAGUAAGGGUAGAAGAAAUGUGGAUCUUUGACAAUAAAUAAGGAGCUUCCAGGUUUUGUUUGGUGGAUUGGAAAUGAAUAUUUCUCAUGACAGCAUAAUUUUAGUUUUUUAGGUGGUUAGAUUUAAAGCACUAGAGUAGCUGAGAAAUUGGUUCAUUUCUGCGAACUUGAUUUUGCAAAAUAUCUUGUGGUAGUAUUUGUUUAGGUAGUGUGGGUUGAUGAACAUGCUUAAGGAGCAUUGAUUAAUUAGGCCUACGCAGCCUUGUGCGCUGGUUUUGAAAUAAGAUUUUUACCGAAUACUGUUAUUUUCAUCUUACGUUUCUAGUUGCUUUAAAACAUCAUAUAUAUGUGCUCAUAAUUUUCGUUUAAUUUGUGCUGUCAGGUAUGCCCUGUUUGUGCGAAGAGAGUUGGAACGGAUAUUGUUAGCCACAUAACCAUGCAGCAUGGGAAUUUUUUUAAAAUAUCCUUUUCCUGUUUGUUGGCUUAAUAUAUAUAUUUGUCUUGUGAAUUAACCUUUCUCUCCUGCUAUUGACUUCUGCUUAAUUUAUUAAUUGAAUCUUUGUUUGUACUUUUUUCCUAUCAAGGUCACUCAGUUUAUUUGUAUAGUUGUAGCAUUACGCUCUUUGUUGCUUGUUUUUGGUUUCCUCAUAUGUCCAUGAUGAAGAGUAUCUAGUCUUCCUUGACCGUAGGAUUACAUUCAGCGCAAACGGAGAUUGCGUAGGGGUGGACCAAAUUCGACAUUUUCUUUACUGAGAAAAGAAUUACGAGAUGGAAACCUACAAUCUCUUCUUGGGGGAUCUUCAUGCUUUGUUUCUUCCUCCAAUACAGAGGCUGAUCCAUUGUUGUCGUCAUUUAUAUUUAACUCGCCUAAGGUUGAUGAACCUCUUAGUGUGCAACCACUUUCGAUUACUGAGCCAACCUUGGUGAAGGAAAGCUCUAAUGAGAACCUUCACGAAAGGUAUGUCAAUAGGCAUUUUUAUUUGUUUUACUGCUUUUAAUUCUUUUCAAUGCAACAAGAUAUUAGAAUAUUUGGUGUUUGAUGGCUUUGUAAAUUUUGCUUGUAGAAGUGUAGGAUUAGAAGUUUUAUCUAAGCAAUAUCUGAAACUAAAUGAAAUAUCAUUCAAAAUUGUUUAGCUAUCUUGAUGCAUGAUUUUGUGGCAUGCCCUGUGUAUGCACUGGUGUCCUCAGAUUAUAUCUGGAAGGAACUUUGGAGUAUCAAUAAUACAAUUUGGUUUUAGAUAAAAUUGAUGAAGUCCUUGAGGGUGGGCAAUGCUAACUUUGGUGGGUGUUGAUUGGCAUCGAAUUUUAAGGAUGUAAUAAUUUUACAAAACAGAUUUGUGUUGGUUGCGAUAUAUUCUUACACUGAUUUAAUUUAUGGUGACAGGCAUGUGCAACAGCCACCGCUAUCAGACAAAGAUCAAGAAGAAAAGGCUCGCAAGAGUGAGUUUGUUCAGGGGUUGGUACUGUCGACUAUUCUUGGUGACUAUUUAUAAGCUAUCGGCGAUGGGGGUGAUGCAAUUGCUAUCGUAAUACUAGGACCAGAGCUGCGCCUAUGCAUAAAGAGGGAAGAGAUUCAGUUUUAUCUAAUAAGUUGUAAUAGAUAAAUUUAGGUAAAAGCAGAAGUCUGUAUUUGCAUAAUAUGUUAGGAGGUUAUGUGUGUAUAAUGAAAAGAUGGAAGAUCAUAUUUUCCUGUGUGCUUGCUUUUAUUUUUCAUAUAUAAUAUAUUUGCCGGUAUAAUAUGUAGAGAUGGGCGAUUACGGCACUUAUGCUAGAAGCAUCACUUUUCUGGGCAUCAAAUAUUCUCAGUUUAGAGUAGGAUUGCUUUCUUUUCACCUCUUUACUAAGGCAACUGACUUGAACAUUAGUCGUUUUGGGAUUGGAAAUGGCAGCCCCUGCGUUCUCGGACGAUAGCUUCACUCAAUAGACAAGUAUAUAGAAUUAAAUACUGGUUUGGAUCUUAUAUCCGAACGAGUAAUAUGAAAGCAUGCAGACACUUGGAUGUGGUGGUGUUGAGCUGCAUUUGGCAAAAUGAUACUAUCUGUUUGGUAGAGCAAUUUAAUCAGACCCAUGCAUGAUUCCCUUAUUCAUUGCACAAAUUGAGGCUCCCUCUACAAAGGCACAAACAAUAAGAGAAAUUUUAUCAAAAGCUCUCGCUUUUUUUUCUUUUGGGCAUUCAUUUGUGUGUACAACUAUAUUUAUCUUGCGGGUGCCGCCCGGCACAUGAAGUCAGGCACUCAAAGACAAUUAUCGGUUUUAGUUUUCUAAAAAAAUUCAGUUUUCUGCUAAUAUUGUAAUGAUUUGAGCCACAUGUAUAAUUUUUCAUUUACUGACCCUAACUCAUAUGUUGAUAGCAUUUGCUUGGUUAAGAAAAAUUUCGAAUGGAUCUAAAUGUUACAAAAAUCUAAAUCCAUAUGUUUGAAUGAUAUAUUUAUUUUUUAUUCUUUUAUUUAUGAGUAUAAGUGGUAAGUUAUUUGUUUUUAUAAAUUCAAAACAUUUUAAAUCUAGUUUUUUAACACUUAUGCCCUCAAAAGUGUUAUAUAUAUCUAGAAGUUUAAAUAGGUAGAUAUUCAUGAUGUUAUCUAGUAUAAUACUAUUUAUAUGUUAUAAAAAUAUAUAAGGUAAUCAUUUGAUAUAUAAUUUGUGGAAAAUAAUUUUGAUAACAUUAUUUUUAUUGUUAUAUGAUAAUAAAAGAAUAUGCCAAAAUUCAAAUUGAAUUUGUAUGUUUGGUACUUUAUACUAAGUAAAAAUUGAGAUCAAGAGAAAUUCUAAUACGACAUCUAACUUACAAUAUUACAAUGAAUUAGAAAAAUCUUUUUGAUUAGAGAAAAAAAAAGGAUUAUUAGAUUUUAGAUAAUAGGUAUGAAAUAAAUAUAUUUAAAUGACGAUGUUUGUAAAAAAAAUAAUUUUUCAUUCAGACAUUUUAUCAUUUAAAUAAACGUUAAAAAUUUUUAAUUUUUUUCAUUUAGAUGAAAAUAUCUUACAAUAAGAAUUCAGAUACAAAAACAAAUAAGGCAAACUUUAAAAGUAUCUUAAAUUAAUGUAAAUUAAAACUUCAGAUAUAAAAACAAAUAAGUGCGUAAUUUGGAUUUUGCUAUGUUUAUAAAAAAAAUUUCUUUUUCUAUUUGCAUUUUAUUAUUUUACUUGUUCACGCUCUUCAAGAUAAUUUAAGGCCUCAAGCAAAUUUUCAAAAUUAGGCUUUUUAAAUUUAAAUUAAGAUAUUGAUGAUAAACAUUUUAUUUUAGAUUAAUUCCUUUUAGAUAGAAAAUCAUUAAUAAAUUUGGUACAUCAAUUCGUGUGCCAAAUUUUUUUGAAGUGUAUAUAUAUAAAUGUUCCAAUUUACUUUAGAAUCAUGGAUUUUAUCAAAAUCUAGAAAAAGUUAUUAAAUAACGUGGUUUAAUAAUGUAAUGAUUGUAAUUUAAUAUCUUUCUUGGACUUUAAUAAAUUCAAGAUCCUAAACUCUCUCUCUCUCCCUAUAUAUAUAUAUAUAUCUAUAUAUAUAUAUAGAUAAUGUUGAACAUGAAUUUCAUUUGGUGGGAAAGAAUAAGAAAUUAUGUUAAACAACUUUAGUGAAAAAUAGAAGCCAUUUUCCAUGUCGUCCUAUAUUAAGUUUUAAAUUAAUACAAUUGAAAAGGAUGGUGAAGCAAAGAAUAUAUUAGAUGAAAUAGGUUAAAUGUAAUCUCUAUAACAAAAUUAUGUAGUUCAGAAUUAUGACACAAACCCUAUUAUGUUCAUAGUAGAAAGAAACGUAGGACUAGUGGCAUCCCUCUAAUUUCCUUUUAGCACCGCCAUUUAACGUCGAGUCUGAAUUUAAUUCCAAAAUCAUUCUUUUCCUCAAUAAACAUUUAAUUUAAAUUCAAAAUUUUCAGUUUCUUCCUCGUUUUGUACUCGUCUACUAGGCCCAGACGCCCAGUAGCCUUGCUGGCCGUCAUCAACAUGGACAAAAUUUUUCAUGAUAAAUUUCUGGAAUAUCAGUCAUUUACUUAUUUAUUAAACCACAUAUACUUGAAAUAACUAUAGUUAAAAGAGGACACAGCAAGCUUAAUUUCAGGAAAAUGGUAAGAAAAUUUUAAAUGUAGUUCAGACCUGACACCCUUAACCAGAACAUUUGAUUAAUUCCUAAACAAGUCUAAUUCUACUCAGAUAGCGAAGACAAGUAGGUCAAAAUGAUUACAACUGCUGUUAUCUAGAGAAUUUGGCCACCAAGCUUCCGUUUAAUUAGUCUCUAUCUUUUGGGUUCAAGUAUCUGUUUAAUCAAUCCAUAAAUUUUUUUAAAAAAGAUGACACUAUAUCUACUAAUUUCCUCUCUAUACCUUCUUUUUAGUUAAUAAUUUUAUUCUUUAAAUAAUUGUUUUAAAGAUUACUUAAUUAACCAUUUCUCUCUCGCUUCUCAGUUUCAUAUAUUCUCAGAAGUUCAUUCAACUAUAUUAUUUUAGCUGCAAAUAACUAGUAUUACUAACUAAGAGGAACCAAAGCCACUAUUGAAAGAUAGACAUCAAUAGGUUCUUAUCGGACAUUAAAUUAAGUUAAUGAAUAUCAAGAAAUUAAUUUUUACCAAAUUCAAAAGUUUAAAAAAAAUAUCAAAAAAAAUUCUCCUAUAUAAAAAGCAUGAAAUAGGAAUCAUGAUAUAAUAAGAAAGGCCAACAAAAUGAAUUCAAAUUAGAGUGAAAUUGAGUGUUUAAUUUACAAAAUGUGAGAGUAGUGAGAGCAUAUGCAAUUGAAAGAGAGAAGAAGAAGAUUAGGGAAAUGAGUUUGAGAUUUUUAAAUUUUUAAUUGCUUAAUAAUGAAUUUUUUUUAAUUAUGUAUAGAGAGAAAUUUGAUGGGUCCAAAUUGUCCCACGAGAAAUGCUUUAAAAUACUUAUGCUGUUAAUUAUGUACAUAAUUGUUAUUAAAUUUUUCUUUACUUUUACAAUAAUAAUAUCCUCAAUGAUUUGGAAAAGUAAAAAAAAAAAGUUAAUUUACUAUAUUCUAAGAUAAUCUUUAUUCUUAUCUUAUCAUUUCUUUUCGUUUUUCUUCGUUUAAAAGUAAAUUCCUUCAUAGCUAAAUUCUACUUAUCAUUUCUUUAUUCUUAUCUUAUCAUUUAUUUAUUCUUAGCUAAAAGAUACAGAUGCUCAUUCCAAACUUUUAAACGCACGAUAAAAAUUGAUACGCAAGACUUCGAGAAUCCAGUCCAAGUGUCCAACCACGUCUUUGAUGGAUAAAUUCUACUUGAUUUAGUCCUUAAUAGUGUGGGACAUGCCAAAUUUUAAACUUCAGCCGUAGAUUUGUUAUCUUUACCAAGCACUAAUAUUGGCUGCCUCACAUCCAUGCACCCACUGGAUCUAUAUAUAUCACAUGAAACCAGAAAUAAGGACUCACUCAAGCUCACCUACUCACUUUUGAUUACGGUUCUCCAGAAGCUAACAGAGAUCGUUUCUGCUUUGAAGAAAAUGGAAACUCCUUACACAGGUUAAUUUUUAGGCCAUGUUCAAUUGAAUGUCAUUUAUAAUUCUAAUUUUAAUAUAUGUGUUUGUGAAUAAGGUUUUUAUUAUCAAAUUUUCAGGUAACAAAGAAUGGUCAGAGGGUACACAUGUUAAUAUAGGAGUUAGUAUGUUUGAUGAUGAGAAAAUAAACAACGAUGAUCUUGAUCUUUUUACUGUCCCUCAAUACGGGAGGUACCCUGACUACACUGGUUAAGUGUUACAGCAUUAUACUUUUCUAUUAUGUUUAGUGAAAUAAAAGGAUGGAUAAUGUUAUUAUCCACCAAUGAUGUGAAUACAAGGUUGGUUUAGUCAACUACUAAGAUCUUGUGGGAUAGACAAAAAACUGCUUUCUUUAGCACAUGUAUUUUGUCGUCCUUAAUUAAUAAAUAAAAUUAUUGUGUGUAUGAGUUGACUGAAUUAUUUUGGCAAUAGAUAUAAAAUUGUAUUAUUUUAAAUAUCUCUAUUUGAUUAAUUGUGCUCUUUUUCUUCUUGAAGGGGCCAAAAUCUUUAUAAUUAAUUAAUAGUACUAAUACUAUUUAUGUUUGUUAUUUGUUAAUUAAAUGGCGUAUAUCAUCAGGAUUAUAAAAUCUUACCAUAACUAUAUUAAGGGUUCUCCUACUUUAAUAUGAUAAAGGACAAGUUAAAAAAUAAACAAAAUACAUAUUUCAAUAUACUGGAUUAAAGAUGGCUGCACCCCUAUGAUGUAUAAAAAUAAUCACAAAAACUCUCAAGCUAAUAAGAAACACUAAAACCCUCUUCUAUUACUUUCUACAAUUAAUUUAUGAUGGAAAAUGUAAAAUUUACUAUUAUGUAUUUAUGAUGCCCUUACUACCUUCCUACGUGGAAUUUUAAAAUAAAUAAAUAAAUAUAUGAAAAAUGUUGUGAAACAACCUGCCCUGAACCCCAGGAGGAGUCUAUCUAACCUCCUCCAAACUAGAUUGAUAAUAAUUCUAUUAGUAAGGAUUCUGUCGAAAAUUCGACAGAGUCUCCUUUAUAUACAUAACAUUCUCAAUAUGAAAAUAUGAAAAUAUGAAAAUAUGAAAAUAUGUAAAACAAUCACUCCCAAAAUAAUUCAAUAUACAACAAACUCCAAUGUUCAACAUCCUCAACCAAAAUGUUGUAUUUUACUCAAGAUAUCACCAAAGUCUCAAAAGAUAAUAUUACAACUAAGUGUGUUCAGACAGACCCCAAAGGCUUCUAUCUCAUCUCAUCUCUAUCACUGUUUCUGGAGUUGAAGGGUAUUGUCUAAUAAUUUAAAAAACAAUCAUUAUAGUCAUAUUCACAUACCUUUUAACCAUACUCAUAUUCACAUACCUUUUAACCAUACUUUGAAUCACUCUUUCCUUUUUCUUGUUUAACACCUACACGGCAUCAUCUUGAUAUAGCAAAUUCUUUUCUCUUUUUUCCCAUUUUUCUCCAUAACAGUCGCACCAACGAAAUGUAAGUAUGGUUUAUUAGCAAAAAUAAAAUUUGUGAAAAGAGGUAAUCAUUUUUUAAUCACCAAAAUGUGCACAAAUUAAAUGAAACUUCCAAAAAUACUUCAUGAAAUGAAAUUUCAAACAUACUAAUGUCAUGAACUAUCUUCGCAUUGCCUAAAAUUGGAUGAGUCUGAAACAAGCCAUUUCAUUGGGAUGCAAUGUAGAAACCAUAAAAUUGGAGAUGUGCUGUAACAUUAGCUCUUCAACAUCACAUAAGCACUAAAGAAAGCCAAAAGUCUAUAAAUUGCUUUUUAAAUUAAAAAGAUGUCAGUAUAAAGAGUAUACACAAUACUUAGGAGGACCUAACUAUUCACAUAUAACUGAGCUUUUCAUCAUCAUCUAACACACUCAUUAGCAAGCUGUUGCAACUCUGCAACUGGUCACAAAAUCAGCCAGCUAACAAUUCACAUGAACAAAAUCUAGCACCAAUUAUAUCAUCAGCGAGCCAUAUCUUGGACAAUCACUUCCAUGUGUAAGGCAUCCAUCUGAAACACAUUUCUCCCAUAAUAAUAGAUCAAUCCUCUGCUAAGCACUUCCACGAACACCAAGAUUGGAACUUUUUUCUUUUUUUUUUUUGGGAGGAAAUUCAUUAACAUAAAGAAGGAACCAAAGUGAAUAUAUGCAAGUCCUGAUACUCCACAACAUUUGAAACCAAAAGACAUGCACUAGGGAGCUGGUUACUCUUUCAAGAUUGAUGGUGCCAAUUCCCUCGAUGAAAUAAAAUCUCAAGUUGGAAAAUGAAAACUUCCUCACCUCAUAUAUGAGUUGUGAGAAACAAAGAACUUGUAAUCGGGAUGACUGACUUGCAAAAGCUUAAGCCAGUUGUCUGCAGCUCGCAGCAGAGAAUUAGCUUUCUGACACUCAUAAACUCCAUUACAGUUCCAAAAAGAAACUUUGAACUUGUAUGAAGCAAGCCCGAAAGUCGGUAACGGUAGCUUAUACAACAUGUCAGCACUGUGAACCUCCCUAACAGUCAAAUUAGGGAAGUGUAGCCCUUCAGAGCUUGUACCUGCCCCAGAUAAGAUUGCAAGUGUCACUACCUAUGGCAGGGAGGACAAUAGAAAGCGCGCAUGCGCACACACACACACAUCCCUAUAUGAUGCAAGAAAGCAACUUACUCUGAAAUGGCGUGGAAAGAGAAUGAAAGGUUAGAAAGCAGGCAUCAAGGUUCUGUAAUGUUGGACCCGUGGGUAUUCUAUAUAUAGGAUACCUACAUUAAGAAUAGCACACAAACUCUUUAAGAUUGCGGAUAUGAACUCAGACGAAAAAAAUUAACUUCAAAUAGAAAAAUAACAUGGAAAAAACAUACCAUGCUACAGAUAUCCAGCUUGAAGGUAGCAAAUCGCAGCUCUUGUAUGUUCUCAGUUCUGGAAAUCGUGAUGCGAGAAUUCCAAUCUGUAUGUUGGAUCCAAGGUUUUGAGUCUUUUUUCAUGAUUAAGGUAAAAAUACUGAAAACUAAAUAUAUUGUUCUACGUAAGAACAAUGCACUUGCCUUGUCAGCCAAAGGUUCACGACUAAAUGGAGGAUCAUGCUCCAGGUAUUCAAAUAUAAGCUGGCCGGGGGGAUUGCAAAUCUCACUUUCUUCACUUGAUGAACCCACAAAGGGUUUAUUCCUCAGCGAAAGCCCACUGAAAUUCUGAAUAUUUGCAUCUGCAAUGUUCUGCUGACUCCACGUCCCAUGAACAAAAGCAUUGAUUCGCCUCUCUGCCCCGGUGUCACUGCUGCCAUCACUACUUGUCUCCCUGGAUGACUCAGCGUCACUCUCCUCACCAGGCCUCCUGUCCAAAGAAAUGAAUGAAAUUCCUUUAGACAAAGCAUGACAGUUUCAGAUCCCACCAAGGCAAUGACAGUAAUGUCAAUAAAUAAUAGACCACACAAACAAUCUGACAGGACAUUAUGACAACAGCACCAUCUUAGUUGUUUCUAACAAGAUGAGUAAUCCAUGUAAUACUUCAGCACUUGCUGCAUUUAUGAGUUCGUUAUAAUCUGAUGCUAGAAAUUACCUCCACAUCAUCAAGAACCAUACAACUAUCUAACCUAAGCUUGAAUGCUCAUCCAGCAUUUCCAACAGAAAAGGAAUGGACUGCUUCAAUGGCUAAACGAAAUACACAAGAAAUUCCCUUUCUGCUCUUCGCAGACUAAUACAAAAUUACAAGAUGCCAGCAAUAGAGUUAAGGAUAUAGCCAAGUUUUAUGAAAAGCAUAUCAAAAUAAGAACAUUUGGCAGCAAAACCCAGUAACUAAAAAAGAAAACUGUUAUAAAUGAGAAUUCUGGGACAAUGUCUCACCUCAACCUUGAGGAAGGUCUCGAUGGGUCUAUGUACAGCUGAAUGCCAGACAAGUAUGGUACAUAAUACUGCUUGACAGACUCGUUCCCAUCCAACAAAAGGGGGACACCAGCUCCAUAAGCACUCCAUUCCUUAAAUGAUUCCCACAAAUCCCCAAGCACAAAGUACGGCUGAAAUUCUGUUUCCUGGCUUCUCCAUCUCCUCACACUUGUCUAUAACAAAUUCCACAAUGUAACAAAAAAGGAAGAAGUAAAGAAAAGGAGAACAGAGAAACCGAGACAUAUUGAACAAAUGCCACAUAAAUACAUUCCAACAAGAAAAGAUUGCAUUGUGGAGAAUUUUUUAUUUACUUUUUUUGGUCCUGAUUAAAGCACAAGAGAAAUGUGCAUAAUUAAUAUUGAUUCAUAAAUACUCUCAAACAAUCAAGAUAACUGUAUCAUCAGCAUGCUUGCUAGUAGAAAGGAAAAAGAAAAGUGAAGGAAAGGACAAAGACAAAGCUCCAUUCUUCUUGUCCUUUUGGUUGCUAUGAUAAACGUUCACGGAAAUACAGUUCUUUCACUAAUUGACAUCCCCUAACAACAAAAGCAAGAGACAUUUAUAUCUAAAUCAGACAAUAUGCGCUGAAUUUACCAUACACAUAUCCACAUUCAUUUACUUUUACAUAAAAGAAGGUAAAAUCAUAAAUUAUAUCUCCCCAUCAAUAAGCUUUAUUGUUUUUUUUUUGGGUCCCUAUACUCUAUUCCAUUCACCACCGUAAGCAUUUGGCUUGUGCAUCCCCCAUUACCUUUAGUGUCAUUGUUUCCAACCAACCAAACAGGCAAAACAGCCUCUCUUCUACCCUUUCUUUUUCAACCAUAUAUUGCUUCCCUAAUUUCUCUCUUACUGAACUAUGAGUUAUUCACUAAUUCCCUUCCAAGCAACCUAAUAAACCAAAAUUUAAAGACUAAAAUUUUCAUUCAGCUCCAAACAUAUCAACAUUUUCUAACGGAAUAACAAAGAACCACCACUACAACAAAUCCCUAAAAACCAAAAUUACAUGGAAGUCAACCCCAAUAGACAUAAAUAUACUAAAGACUGCAUUCCAACCCCCUCAAAAUUCAUAAAAAUUCUAAAUUUUCAUCAUCUAAACUAAUAAAACUAAUAGAAAUUGCAAUAAGAGACAAAAAUUAACAGCUUUCAAAACUCAUUAAUAAAGCAUAGUAAUAAUUUCGACAAUUUCAUCAAAAUUGAUUUUAAAAAAAAUGACAAAAAGUGAUUUUUUUUUUUUUUUUUGUGACAAUCACCUUAGGAAGAUACUGAGAGGGCACCACAGGAGUCGUGUGCUCCAAGAACCUAUCCAAAUUCGUCGAUUCACCAAACGAAUUCGAAACCGAUUCACAUUCAUCGCUCUCCGCUGUUCUCUUCUCCGAACAACUCAACUUCUCCAACCUCAGCCGCUCGCGCUCCUCCUGCACUCUUUGUUUCUCCUCCUCUUCCUCCUGUUGCCGCCGCAACAACUGCUGCUUCCGCACGUGCGGCGGAUUGUAAAACCGGUUCUCCCCGCGCCCUCCGCGGCCGAUCGGAACCGUUCUCGAACCGGACAUUAUCGCAAUCGGAAGGAGAAUUAAAACGAAACGACGCAGUUUUUUGAGUUCCCAAUCGAAAGAAACUGAAACGAAGGUUUUCAAUAAAAGUGAACAGUGAUGUGAAGAGUAAAGGUUUCGACUUUCAAGAUCUAGGGUUUUAGUUUUCGCUGUCGUUAAUUAUAAUAAUUAUUUUUAUAAUCGCGAUUAAAUUUUUUAAAUAGUGAUUUGUAUUAUGCAGAUGUGGCCAGCGAUGUGAUGAAGUGAAGCGUUUUGUGUAAUUGUGUUGGACGAGAAAAAUAAUGGAAGUUCAGAUUCUUCUGAAGCAGAUAUUUAUUAGUUUGAAACUCGAAAAGAGUAGGCAACUGUGGGAUAUACUCAACAGACGCAAGAAGAAUCCAGAAUGAUGAGAUCAUCAAUGUAUUUUAUUCGAGAAAUUUCUUGGCUUUUUUUUUUUUUUUUUUUUUUUUUUUAUUUUUUUGGUUUCAUUCAUUAUCUUGGACUAAUCAUUUUGCUAAUUUAGAUAAUGUUAUUAUUAUAAGUAAUGAUACAGUCAUAAACUAUUGUACAAAUUUAUUUUGUACAAACUGACGUGGCACUAAUUCACUGGUUGAAUAAAAAUAUAAAAUAAUGAAAACAAAUCAUGUGGGCCAAGUGAUAUUUAAUUCAACCAAUCUUAUCAUGCCACAUAAGUUUGUACAAAAUAAGUUUGUACAAGAGUUUGUGGCUAUAUCAUUACUCUAUUAUUAUUAUUGACUAUAGAGUUGUAAUUAUCGUAAAAUACUGAUGGGAUCUGAGUUUAAGAUCUUUAUAAUAUUGACCCAAAAUGGGAUAUUCUUAAAUUCAUUUUCAUAUUGGAAACUUCUUCUGUCACCAUGUCUUCAUAAUAAUUAAAGUUUUAAUAUUGAAUAAUUCAUUUUAUGGUGGCUAAGGGUGAAACAAAAUUGUAAUUGAUCCAAACAAAGCUUCCCUUAAGAUCUCAAAUCUUUAACCAUUAAAGAAGAAAAAAAAAUGUGUUUGGUGUGUGAAGUUAGAUUGGGUUGAAUUCCAUUAAACUAUUUUCACAAAUAUUGCUGCAUACUCAUACUGCAUGACCUUAAUUCUAUGUGUUUUUUUUUUCUCGCCUUAUGAAUCCAUUAUUUCAUUUGGUGCUUCACAUACCUGAAGUGACUAUAUAGCAUGCAUAGAAAAUUUUUGCAUUUUACUAGAAAAUAUAAGCAAUCGGAAAACCAUGAAUCUGCAGUCGAUAUAGAUUUACAGUUCUAAGCCCAAAGCCCAAAGCCCAAAGCCCAAGAAGAAGAAACCCCAGUUUGUGGCCCGAUUUUACAAAAAUUUCAGAGCCCAGCAUGCCCAAAGAUAAAAUCUGAGAAUUUUCUUCUAGAAGCACAUGAUAUGAUCUUAUGAGAUCAAUUCGUGUGCUGCAGGAUUUUUAAUCAUACACAUUAUAAUAGUUGAGUAAUUGUGGAGAUAUGUUUUAUAUUUAUUUAAAUGGAUAUUCAUUCUAAGGGACAACCAUUCAAUGUUGAUGUAAUUUUUAUGUCGUGGUUAUUUGUUCAGGAUAUAUAAAUAAUUAAAAUUUAAACGUACAUUAUUAUAAAUGUACGUGCAACCGAAGAUUAUUAAAAAUGAUUAGUACUAAAUCCAAAUUUAUUUUUAAAAAAUGAAGGCGGCCUAAAUGAUUGGCAUGUUGUUUUUUCACCAGCAUUUUAUAAAUUUAUCCGUUGAAAUCAAUGAAGUUAAUAAUUUGUAGUUUUUUUUAUUAUGAAAAAAAAUUCAAUUUUGUUUAUAUCCUUCUAGAGGAACAAUAUUCAUCCAACUCAUAUGUGCAUUAUAUCCAUUUUUUUUUCUUGGGUAAUAAAUAAGUAUUGCCUCAUAAACUUUUGAUUAUAUCCAUAAAUUGACAUAAGAAAACUCUUCUUUUGUUUUACAUGAUAACAUGAACCUUAUAUGUUAUUCUUGGGUGCUCAUGCUUUGAUAUGAUCUGACUUGAUCCACAAAUAAUUAUAACUUAAUCCAAUCCGAACUCAACCUAAAAUUUUGAUCCGAUCCGAUCCGAUCCGAGUUUAAAUCAGACCAAAUCGGAUUACAAGUUCAAAUAACUUUUUUCCCAACUCAAACAACUUAAAACCCAAUCAAAAUGACCCGAACUUGAAUUUGCCCACCCCUAAUACCAUUUGAUAGCUGACCUACAAGUAACCAUUGUGUUUUUUGUAUUUUUUUAAAAAUCAUGGAUUGUGUGACCCUAGUCAUCACUCUUCUUGGUCAAUUAUUGUGUUGCAUGGUCGAACAGACCAUUUACAUCCAUCAUCUUGAAGUUAACUUAAACAAAUUGAGAGAUGCAAACAAAGUCUCGAUGGCCUUAAUAACAAUGUUAUAGGGAGAGUUGAGCAUGCGAAAGAAGGUACUCGCCUAGAAAGCAUAUGGAAGAGUGGUUGGAGAGAGCACGUCGAGAGUUACAGGAAGUUGAAUCCAUUUUGCAGAAAGGUGAAGACAAGAAAGACUAGUUAUGUACGUAUAAUAAUUGUUCAAAGAAUUGUUAUUUCAACUACAAUUAUGGUAAGAAAAUUUUUGAGAUGACAAAUGCUGCCAUUGAGUUUCUAGCACAAGUAAAAUUUAAUGGAGCUACUGAUUGAAGUCCCUUUCUACUGUGGACGAGAUACUGUAAGAAGUCAGUGGGCAUUAGCUUUAGACUAAAUGAAGUUUGGAGCUAUAUUGAAGAUGAUGAUGUGAGAAUCUUUAGCUUGUAUGGAGUUAGAGUGAUUGGGAAGAGCACUUUGUUAAACCUACUUAAUAAAAAUUUCAGCCAACCAAACCUCAACCUCAACUUUGACAUGGUAAUUUUGGUUAAGACUUUUGGAGUCUGGAUUACGGAUUUCAAAUUCUUCGUGGAGCAACAAGGAUAAGAACGGCAGAGCAUUUGAAAUAUUCAGAAAAUUAUACAACAAGAUGUUUGCCUUCUUGUUGGAUGAUUUACGAACAACAAUAUCGUUAUUAGAAGUUGGUGUGCCUCUUCACAGUAGAUCGAAGAUAGUUUUGACCACCAUAUUUGAGACAGCGUGCAGAAGCAUGAGCUUUGACAAAUGUUAAAAAGUCAAUUAUUUUUUCAGAACAAGAAGCAUUUAAUCUGUCCUAGCUCAAGUUCACCUACGCUAAACUGAACUCUCAUUCUUAUGUACUUGCAAAACUUGUGUCUAGCGUCUCUGAAGGCCAUUCCCUUUCUCUUAUUACCAUAUUCUUAUUACUAUCGGAUGCGCCAUGCCUUGUAAUAUAGGCGACCCUGAUCUUGGCAUCAUACAAUUGAUGAAUUGACAAAAUAUCGGUAAACAAGAAGUUUGCCUUCUUGUUGGAUGAUUUACGGACAUCAAUAUCAUCAUUAGAAGUUGGUGUGCCUCUUCACAGUGGAUCAAAGAUAGUUUUGAUUACCAUAUUUGAGAGAGCGUGCAGAAGCAUAAGCAUUGACAAAUGUUAAAAGGUCAAUUAUUUUUUGGAACAAGAAGCUUUUAAUUUGUUCAAGCUCAAGGUCACCUAUGGUAAGUUGAUGAUACACCUGCAAAACUUUUGGCUGGUAUGUGUGAAGGCCAUCUGCUUUCUCUUAUUACUAACGGAUGCGUCAUGCCUUGCAUUAUUGGGGACCCUGCUCUGUCAUUUUGCAAUUGAUGAAUUGACUAAAUAUCGGUUCGAUUUUGAAGAUAUGGGGACUCAUUUCCUUGCUCACUACAAUCACUUUUCAGGUAAAUUUUUUUAACCUUCAUUUUUCUUUGUUUCCUCAAAUUGUUAUGCCCGCUGAUCUCUAGUAUAAGGCACAUUCAAAAAUAUCCCUUUCAAGCAAAAGCAUGAUGUUUAAAGGUAAUAAAAGACAAACAGUAACAACAAAGUGUUGGCUCCACUGGCAAUGGAGUCCCCUUAAGUGGCUUGACUGAGUUUGCUCCCCAAUUCGAGUCUCAGGGAAGUUGCCUUUGUUGGGAGAACCUGUGCCUCUCGGUUCGAGCGGGGAUUUCUAGUAUGGGUUGUGGUACAGACUUAAAAGUGCCUCCCACAGUUGAGGCCCUCCCCAAAAUACCUCGUGGUCAAAACCAAAAAAAAAAAAGACAAACAGUUCUUUAGAUAUAACAGUGACCUUUGCUUGGCAUUUUCAAACCAACUUUAACAACUACCCAUUAUCAUAAUUUUAAACAAAUGCUUCAGUUUCGAAGUGAAAUGAUAGAAUUCGAUCAUGAAUAGAGUGCGCGAAGUGAAAUAUUUUCAGUAAUGAUUUUUUACAAUGAGCUAAUACAUACACUCAAGUGUUAGGACAUGGUAUGUAAAAAAAAAAAAAAAAAGAAGUGUUGGGACAUGAUUUUCGAUUGAAUUAGCUACUUAGUUCCAGCAAUAAAUGGCACAAAUACUGGAUAUGGUUUUGUAGAUGGCCCAAAACGAAAUAGAAAUCCACAUUGUCCAGCCCAUUUUUUAGGAAAAAUACAGAGCCCUGUGUGCCCAAAACUCAUUGCCCAAUCUUCUAGAAACAGAAUAAAAUUACCAUAAAAAUCAAUGCAUAUGCAGCUCGCAGAUUGACAUGCAAGUUGUGAACAUGCGGAAUAGUAAUAGUAAUCAGUGGAUUUUCUGUCUGUUUUACCUAAAACUUUCAACUGUACAAGUAAACAAAUAUUAGAAAUUCAGUAUUAAAAGUUUGGGUGCAGCUGCUUGCUUAAUUUAUUGGCAUUUAUUAACCAUGUGGAUUAAUUUAUUGCACAAUAUAAAGCAUAUGGGUGUUUUAUUGAAAAUUUAUCGAGUAUUAUAUUUAAACAAUUACAACAAAGACUAGCAACUGUAUUGGAGCUUAGCUAUUUGCUAUUGGCUAUUUAAUCUGGUUUUCUAGAAAGCAAAUUAUUUAUAAAUAUUUUUGGUAAUGGGCGGUGCCACAGUAGACAGAACACCUUCAUGGAAUAUGCACGCACGCUUUGAAUUCAACCAAGUUAUCUCCCUCACUUCCAUGUCUAUAUAAACCCUUGAGUUGUUCGUCAGUCUCAACACAAACUCAAAAAUCAUCUGCAUUUGAAGCAAAUUCAUUCAUCAUUUUAACUUCUUGUAGUGUGUGCAUUUCUCUUUCUCUUUUUAAGCUACUUAACAUGGGUGUCAUUCGCUUUGAGAAAGAGGCUCCAGCUGCUGUUGCUCCUUCAAGAAUGUUCAAGGCUUUCGUUGACUCUCACAAUCUUUUACCAAAGAUAGCACCACAAGCAUUCAAGAGCAUCGAUAUUCUUCAAGGAGAUGGAGGCGUGGGUACUAUCAAACUAUGGAACUUUGCUGAUGGUAAGUCUUGUUUCUGCUUGUUAAUUUUCCAAGUCCAAGAUUCCCCUUUGUACCACGAUUCAAAUUAAUCGCACCUGACAUUAAUAAUAUUUCAUUAUCCGUCAACUUUUUAACUUCAUAAUUAGUGUUGAUUUUUUUUUUUGUUUUUUACAAUGGUCAGAUUUUACUAUUUCAAAAGUAUAUAUAUCAAAUUAUUUAACUUUGUAAUGUCAGAGUGGUUCAUGACAAAGAACUGAUUAAUUUCGAGGGGGGGAAAGAAAAGGCUUGGUCAUUUUUCUCAUUAAUCAUUACAUCGUGCAUGUUGUUCGUAAAGCGUAACAUAGAUAAGCUAACGAAGAUUCAAUGUAAUUCACAGGUGGUGAUUUCAAGCAUUCGAAGCAAAGAAUUGAUGCACUUGACAAGGACAAUCUUACAUGCAAGUAUACUGUCUAUGAAGGUGAGGGAGCAGCUGCAAUCUUUGAGAAAGCAGUGUACGAUGUUAAGUUCGAGGCUUCUGGAAAUGGUGGAAGCAUUUGCAAGGUUGCUGCUGAGUGCCAUAUAAAGGGUGAUCAAGAGCUCAAAGAAGAGCUGAUGAAGGACGCCGAAGAGAAAGCAACUGCAUUGUACAACAUUGUGGAAGCACAUCUCUUGGCUAAUCCUGAUCUCUAUGCCUAAAUCGCAUCAUGAUUGGCGUUUUCGAUUUCUGAAUGUGUUUGCUAAUUGAAUAAAGGGUUGUCUCACUGUCAGCUUCUAAUUUGUUGUUUUACUUGUUUCGGCUCAUCUUUGGUUCUUCUAAUAAUUAUGUUUAGUUGAAGCUUGAAUGUUACCUGUUUGUUCAAUAAAUGUGUAUGGUCAAUAUAUAAAUGACCGUUAAUUUUAUUGCUUUUAAUAAAAGUGAACAGUGAUAUGAAUGGUAAAGGUUUCAAUUUCAGGAUCUAGGGUUUUAGUUUUAGUUUUCGUUAAUAAUAACAAUAAUUUAUAUAUAAAUAUUGGGAAUGAAAGGGGAAUAGAGUCUUUACAUACUUUAUAGCUAGAACUUAUGCCCUCGAUAUUAAAUUAUAUCAUUCAAUGUUAAUUUACGGAGGAUAAAAAAUUGUAGAUACACAAAAACUAAAUUUCAUAUUAAAUAUAUAAAAAAAAAGAGUCGCACCAUACUUUUGAAACUUGAAUCAAUGUAAGUAGCUUAAAAAUGUAUCAUUCUAUGGUGGUUUAGUGGGAAAAAAAUAAAGAUACAUAAAUACAAAGCUUCAUAAUAAAUCUCAAUUUUUUUUCCAAAAUUAACUUGAAUUGGAUUAUACUAGACUAAACUAUUAGUAUAAUUAUUUUUAUAAAGAAUGGGACUAUUAGCACCCCUAUAAUUUUUUUUAGAGCUUUUUUUUUUUGGUAUAUUAACCAUUUGAUAUCCAAAAACCACAUUGAUCUCUAAUUGGGUAAGCCUACCAAGGCGGCAAAGCUCUUGCAGCGAAUAUUUAACGCACCUAAAUUCUCAAGCCUCAAACCAAGAACCUUGGUUAAGUUAGAACAACUUUAUACCAGCUGAUCUACGAGCUCGUUGGUUUUAAAAGCUAUUUUCGAUCAGGAGCUAUUUUAACUUCUAAAACAUCAUUUUCUAAUUUUUUUAGUUUCUUCCUCUCUACUCCAAAUCUCCAAAUAUGAUUUUCUUACACAAUAUAUAUAUAUAUAUAUAUAUAUAUAUAUAUAUAUAUAUAUAUAUAUAUAUUAUUUAACUUCUAAAACACCCUUUUUAAUAGAAUCACGUGGAUUAAAAAGCCAAGUGUUGUGAAAGAAAAAAAAAAGGAAAAAAAUUGUAAAAACUGUUAUUAUGACUAUAUAGGUGUAAAUGCCAGAGAAACAAACUUAUGGAGAAAGAAAAUAUAGGUUGAUUUAUUUUGUCCUUUAAUAUAAUUGUGAUAAGAGAGGGGAUUUACAAAAAUUAUGAAGGAGUGCUAAUAGUCCCACUCAUUCACAAAUUUUGCCGUGUAUUGUAUAUUGCAUGACCUCAAUUCUGUAAUUUUUCUCGACAAAUGAAUAGGUCUGGUGCUUCACAUACUUCAAGUGAGUAGUAAGCGUAGAAAAUUUUAGCUAGAAAAAAGAAGCAAAAAGAAAAUAAAGAACAAUAUGCCAAUAUUUGCACUGCUACGAAAGUAAAAUCAUGAAUGUUCAUCUGCAUGCAAAUGAUCGUAAAUAUUGGACAUUUUUUUUUGAAUUACAUGAGACUAAUGCUCAUAUUACAACUCAUAUUGUAUGAGAUUUACAACUGAUAUUUACAAUCAGACAAUUACUAAGACUAGUUUACAUUAAUUCUUAUAUAGUACUGUCCAGAUUUCACCCUCUCAAAUAUUCGAGAGAUGUCUACUCCACUCACAUUUCGAAAGGAAGAAGAUUGUCUUCACUUAAUUAUAUAAUAUAAGUAAGGAAUGAAAUAAGUCCCUACAGGCAUCGCGGGGGCUCGAAUUACUAACCCCACAGUUGUGAGUGUAGGAUCUUGGCCAUUGGACCAAAGGCCCAAUGAUUGUAAAUAUUGGACAUUAGGUUCAUAGUUUUAGCCCGAGAAUCCAAAAAGAAAAAGAACCCAACCUUCGUGGCCCCAAUUUAAAAUAAAUUCCGAGCCCAGCGUCUACAAAGAGAUGAAAUCUGAGAUUGAUAUCCCAGAAGCAGAACAUAUUCAUUGUGACAAUCAAUGCUUAUGCUGCGGGACUGUUAAUUAAAAAAAUAAAAAAAUUUCUUUCAUUCCGAUAAGAUGAGUAUCAAACCAAAACACAAUAAAAGUACACUCUAAAUAUAAUAAGUUUUGUCAUUUAUCCGUUGAAAGUCACUCAAAAAAUUUAUUCUGAAUGUUGGAUGUAUCCGGAUUGAAAAGGCACGUAACAAAGCUUGUGUCCUUGAAAAUUGGAUACCUACACCUGAAGAAAUAAAAGAAAUAAAAUACUAUAUAAAGGGUAAUAGUUGGAGCCCAACUAUUGGCCUUUUAAGAUUAAAGCUAGAAUCCUCAUGUUAGAUAAAUUUUUUUAGGUGAAUGUCAAAUUCGUUAUUGAUUGUCUUGAAUGCCACUCACUUCCAAGCCCUCUAUAUAAACCCUUGAGGAGUUCUUCAUCUUCACAACAAACACAAAAGCUAUCGCUACCGCAGCAAAACUCAUAUUUAACAUGGGUGUCCUUCGCGUUGAGAAAGAGGUGCCAUCCGCUGUUGCACCUUCAAGAUUGUUCAAGGCUUUAAAUGACUCCCACAAUUUGCUGCCGAAGAUAGCGCCUCAAACAAUUAAGAGCAUCGAUAUUCUUCAAGGAGAUGGAGGUGUUGGCACUAUCAAGCUGUUGAAGUUUGCUGGUGGUAAGUAGUAUACAUAGCUUUAUUAAUUGCUACAUGCAUCAUGCUCGUUCUGUUUAAUUUUCAAAUCCAAAAUCUCACAAACUUAAUUAAAAAUGUAAUUUAAGAAGAUUGAAUUAGUAUUGGGAUUGACAGGUGGCGAUUACCAGCAGACGAAGCAAAGAAUCGAUGCACUUGACGAGGCCAAUUUAACAGGCAAGUACACUACGUAUGAAGGAGAUGGGAUUUUGAAAUUGGCUGAGAAAAGUGUGUACGAUAUUAAGAUCGUGGAUUCUGGCAAUGGAGGAAGCAUCUUCAAGGUUGUUGUGGAGAUCCAUGUUAAUGAUGAUAAACUGGUCAAUGAAGGGUACAUAAAGGAAUCCGAGGAACAAGGAUUGGGAUUAUUCAAGCUUUUGGACGCCUAUCUCUUGGCUAACCCCAAUCUCUACGCCUAAAUUAAUCAUCAUAUGCAUUGGCUUUGCCAAUUGCGAAAUUUCUAGCUAGCUAAUCAAAUAAGGCUCGUGUCAUUGUUUGUAAAUAAGCUUUUGAGGCUGAAUGUAAAUAUACGUACGUACGUAGUGUGUUCGCUAAAUAAAUGUCCAAUCUGCUGGACAUAUAUAAGAUAAAUAUCGAUCGUGUAUGAUCAGUUUAUACGUACAUGUUUGCAGUUUCAAUUUCUAAACUUUACUGUUUUUACUUAUUUAUUGAAGCAUAUAAAUACGAUAUCUACUGGGGACCAAGUAUAAAUAAGCUUAAGGAAUCUAAAUCCAAACAAUUAAUAAUAUAUUAUAGCACAGCGUAGGGUUGGGGCUGGGCUGUACCACGUAUAAAUAACUUGGUGACAUGUUCCAAUAAAGAUUCGAUGAUUUGAACCAAUAAAGUGUUGGCUCCACUGGCAAUGGAGUCCCCUUAAGUGUCUUGACUGGGUUUGCUCCCCAGUUCGAGUCGCAGGGAAGUCGCCUUUGUUGGGAGAACCUGUGCCUCCCGGUUCGAGCGGGGACUUCUAGUCUGGGUUGUGGUAUGGGCUUAAAGGUGCCUCCCACAGUUGGGGCCCUCCCCAGGAUACGUCGUGAUUAAUAUAAAAAAAAAAAAAAAAGAUUCGAUGAUUUGAGAUGUUCAUGCAUGCAUGCAUUUUCCAUCUUUCUUCGCCAAGGCGACCCAAGCUCUUAUUUUUUUCUUUUCUUUUCUUUUCUUCUUCUUCUUCUUUUGAAAAGAAAGUAAACCUUUGAUUAUCAAAGGCCUAGGUAGUCACUAAUACACUGUCACAAGAACGGGCGAUAGAAUGAGAACCUAAAAUUUGAGUCCUACUCACUCUAAAUUUUUCCUUUAUGUUCUAAAUGAAAAGCAGUUUAAUACAUUAGGUCUCAUGAGGUAUUCGAGAAAAUUUUAUAGGUCUGGCUACCUAACUCAGAUUUGUAAAGUGAAACCACAAUCAAAACGGACCUUUAAAAAAAAAAAAUACUACAACAACACAACACUACAACACAAUAAAGUUUCUGGAUUUGAGCUGCGCCAAAUGACAGUAUUACAACAACGAAAAACUGUUACAACAACAAAAAACUAGAAACAAAAACAAAGAAUACAUGACCGACGUUUAUUAUGAAGACAAGGUGAAGUGCAUACAAUGAGCUAAGAUAGACUUGGAAGUAUUGAUAUGUACUCUAGGAUUAUCAAUUGAAUCAACUCAGCUGGCUUUGUUCACCAUAAUUUAAGCUCCAGUGUAAGGCUCGUUGUGUUCUACAAAGCGUACUUUUUCCAUUUCAUAAUAUUGAAAUUUCUCAUAUUGUUAAGUAACACUUAAAUAAACAAGGUUAUAAAUAUGGUUUGAUAAGAUUCCAACAAAAAAAAAAUUCACUUUUUCAACUCUCAGAAACCCUAGCUGUUUCAACCAACGAAGCCAAAGACCAGAAAUACAUCAUCACCAUCUUCAUCUUCUUACAGCUACACCGAACAACAUAUCCUAGUCAUUUUAGCUCUCAUUUCAAAAUAGGGAUUCUCAGCAUCUUCCGUCCGACAAAUUGAUCAUAUCAAAAAGAGAACAAAUAUUGAUUUGGGACAGCAACCAAGGGGAAUCAUUAUUGAUGGGAAUCUUAUAUCAUCUUCACUUAUGUAGGAUUAACAAGAAUCAACUCCUACCACGUCUUUGAUGGAUAAAUUCUACUCAAUUUAGUCGCUAAGAGUGUGGGACAUGCCAAAUUUUAAACUUCAGCCGUAGAUCUGCCAUCUGUUCCAAACACUAAUUUUGGCUGCCUCAAACUCAUGCACCCACUUGAUCUAUAUAUAUCAGAUGAAACCAGAAAUAGGAACUCAAUCAAGCUCACCUACUCACUUUUGAUCACGGUUGUCCAGAAGCUAGCAGAGAUUGUUUCUGAUCUGAAGAAUAUGGAAACUUCUUGCACAGGUUAGCUUUUAGCCCACGUUCAGUUGAAUAUCAUUUAUAAUCUUAUUUUACAAUACAUCCAUUUGUGAAUAAGUUUUCUAUUAUGAGAUUUUCAGGUAAGAACGAAUGGACGGAGUGUUUAAUACUUUUUGUAAUAUUUAGUAUUGUUGAUGACGAGAAAAUAAGUGACAAAGAUCUUGAUCUUCUCGUUGUUCCUCAAUACGGGAGAAACCCUGAUUAUGCUGGUUAAGUAUUAUAAUAUUACACUUUCGUGUUAUGUGUAAUUAAAUAAAAGGAUGGAGAAUGUUAUUAUCUGUCAAUAAUGUGAACAUCAGUUUGUGCUUAUGUACUUUGUUGUUAAUAAAUAAAACUAUUGUGCUUCUAUGAGUUCAUUAAGUUAUUCCGUCAAUGGAUAUAAAAUUGUGUGUGUGUGUGUACGUAUAUCUAUUUGAUUCAUUAUGCUUUCUUUCUUCGUGAAUAUUUUUGUUAAUCAAACUCUACACACUAAGGGAACCGAGUCCUUUAUAAUUAAUGAAGAAUAUUAUUUAUGUUGCUAAUUAAAUGGCAGAUAUCAUCAUGAUAAUAAAAUUUUACCAUAACUAUAUUAAAGGUUCCGUUACUUUAAUAUCUUAAGAGACAAGUUACAAGAUAAAGAAAACACUUAUUUCAAUAUAUUAUAGCCCUCCUUCAAUAAAUCCUUACUGAAAAUUAUAUAUAUAUUGGAAAAAGGACAGGUAUACCCAUAAAAUUUGGGAAAAUGAUUACCAGUAGAAUCACUUGAACUAUCACAUUCAUGAGGACUCGAUUUCUCAUAUGAGAUGACUUGGCCUAUUCACAUUGAAUUUCCUUAUGAAAUGGUUGGAAACACUUGUUCUACUAGAAGAAUUGACAGUGAAAAUUCUCAAGUUUUUGACAAGAGACACCAAAACCAUCUUUUAUUACUUUUUACAACUAACUUAGUUGUAAAAUGUAAAAUUUACUAACUUUACUUUCAUUGAUGCAUUUAUUAUCUUGCUACAUGGAAUUUUAAAUUGAAUAAAUAAAUAUCUGAAAAACGUGACUCAACUCAUUAACAUUAAUUUAAUUUUGCUGCCAUUGCCACCAAAUCUAACAUCAAACCCUAACCCAGUUUUCAAUACAUGCACAAAUCAGCCAAAGCAUGCAAAAUCAGUGGCUAAAACUGAUAUGAAAAUUAAAAAAAAAAAAAAAAAAAAGGAACAACAACAAACAUUUGCCAGAGCCGAAAACCCACGACCCACUGACUACGAAGAUGAAGAAUAGUAUAGAAUGUAUAUGGUGUAGAAAUAAUUAUGUAAAUAACCACGUCCAUAAGUUGCAUGUUGUUACAAAUUAUUUUUAAUUUUGUAAUAUUUUUUGUUAACUCAAAGUAAUAUGAAAUUGGUGAAAAUUAAAACAUACAUAGGUGUUUAUAAAUUUAUCCAUAAAUAAAUUAUGAGUAUAUCACUAAAUACAAUAUUUUUAAAUAAUAAAAAAAUCAAUUUUCAUUCGCCAGUUAAAGCGCGGCAAAAGAUUUUUUUAUAAAAAAAAUCACUUAGUUCAAACUCUCAGUUUACUUUUGUCACUUGUCAGACCUCAUUACUCUCUCCACCAUUCAAGCUAAUUAAUCAAGCCUCUUAAUCAUCGUCCUAAUAACUGCCACAAAAGGAAAUGAGUGAAUCAGGUACUUUUAUCUUUAAUUUCAUUGGUUUAAACGGAACCUAUCAAGCAAUCGACUAUGCCGUUGCCAUAUUUACAUUGAAUUGGGAGAGAUCAGGUGGAGGAUUGUGGUGUUAAUUUUCUGCAUCAUAUCUUCUCCUUAGAUGGGGGCGGGUUCGAAUAUUGAACUUUGACUUAAUUUUAUAGUAGGUUAUUUGAAAAUUGACACAAAAGUAUUAACUAUUUGAUUGAUGUUCAACAUAAGAAUUAAGACAAGCCUUACUAAAUUUGAAGGAAUUUCCAAGGAUAUAUUUGUGUAUUGAUUUAAUUAAUUUGUAGUUAUAUAAUAUUAGAAGAGGUGAAUGAUGGGUCAUGGGGCAAGUUCUUCAGAAAUUCAACUAAUAUAAUAGCUGCAUUCAUUUAUUCUUAUAGUACUAGAAGUUCAAAUUAUAUAAUUAAUUUGACAGUUGAAGUGGUGUUAAAACUGAGAUCGAUGAAUCUGUUAAGUUGGCGUUAAUGAAUAUGAGACUCUGUGAUGUAUAUAGUUGGCUCCAAAGACUUUCUCCAUUAUGAGAAUGUAAACAUAAAUGAAGAGAUUUAUGGGGUCUAUAGAGCAAUGGCCAUGAGGCGUAAAAGAUAACGUGCGUGUCCACAUGUCAUAUUAUGAUUAUUAAGAAUUUGUGGGUUGAUGGCACCCAACUAAUUAGGUGAUAAUUUUUAAUUUAAGAUGUGUUGGUUGGUUUCAUGAGCUAAUGUUUGGUAACGUGAUUGGAUAAUUAUAGUUUUAAAACUAUAGUACUAUUAAAAUAUAAAUAUUUAUUGUCGUGGUUUAAAAAUCAAGUUAAUUUAAUCUUAUACUUAUUCUAUCAAAAAUUUGUAAUGUGUCUAUUAUUUUUGUCAAUAUUAUUAUUUAAAAGUCAUAUUUACCAUAUAUUAUUAAUUUUUAUAUCAUAGUUAAGUGUGUAUUUUUUGCAGCAGUUGCGACUUAGGAUGACUAUCUAGUUAUUCAACAUUUGUUGGGGUACAUCGCUACAGUCAUUAGUUUGUUAUCCGUUCGCAUUGGAAAGUUCACCCAAUUCCCGGGUUAAUUUGUGAAUAAUAUUGUCAAAGAUAAAGUAUUGGGACUUUAUUAUUAUUAAGAAUCAUAAUCAGACAAGUACUGCAUACACCGAUCAAAAUCUAACAGUUGGGAGUUAACAACUGUCUUUGAAGCAUCUAAUUUUGCAGCAAUCAAAUCUGGUGUUAAUUUCCGCCCAAGUUUGAAAAAACAUAAUUCAAAUUAAUUUCCAGGCCGGUAGCCAGCCCUUAUUUAUGGAUCGUUCGAUCUCUAAAUGUCAAAUCUAAUGCUUCCAAGGUCUAUUUAUGCCCUUAAGUUGUUCUCCAUUUACGAAAACUCGAUCAAAAUCAUUUUUUUUUUCUAAUAAAGCAAGUUCAUUAUCACAAUUAUUUUCAAUUGUAUUGACAACAUGGGUGUCAUGCGCUUUGAGAAAGAGGUCUCAGCUGCUGUUGCGCCAUCUAGGAUGUUCAAAGCUUUCUUCCUUGAGGCUCACAAUUUUCUGCCAAAAUUGGUGCCUCAAGCAAUCAAGAGCGUUGAGAUUCUCCAAGGAGAUGGAGGUGCUGGUAGCAUUAAAAUAACCAACUUUGCUGAUGGUAUGUCUUAUUCGAUCGAGUUGUCACAUAUGUGUAAACAUAUUUAACAUUUUAUUGUACUUAACUAUAGUAUAAUGCUUUUACAUUUUUAAAAUCAUGAAUCAAUUUAGUACUCAAGAAAUUAGGAUUCUCGCCUUAUUUGAUUUUUGAUACAACAUUAAAUUCAUACUUAUUACAUACCCAUAUAUAUGGGAAAAAAAUAUCAAAACCCUUCUUUGGUAAAAUUAUUUAUUUUUCCUAUUAUUUCAAGAUCCACCAAAAUUUCCUUUAAAGGGUAAUUGAGUCAUUUUGUAAUAGAAAAUCUGAUAGUUGAAAAACGAAUGGAUUUUAAAACUUAAUUUUGAAGUAAAAGUAUGUGAUGUGGUGAACAAAAAACAAUACCUUCGUUUUUUUUAGUAACAAACCGAGUUCUGCUAAUGAAAGUUUGGUGUGAUUGACAGGUGGUAAUUUCAAGUACGCGAAGCAUAGAAUUGAUGAACUUGACAAAGACAACUUUGGGUGCAAGUACGCUGUGAUUGAAGGAGAUAUGUUGGGGACAAUCCUGGAAUCAAUUGUAUACGAUGUUAAAUUCGAGGCUUCUGGCAAUGGUGGAUCCAUCUGCAAGGUUGCUUCUGAGUUCCAUACAAAAGGUGAUCAAGAGAUCAAAGAGGAGGCACUCAAGGAAGCUGAAGAGAAAGCAAUGGGAUUGCACAAGAUUGUGGAGGCACAUCUCUUGGCAAAUCCUGAUCUCUAUGCUUGAGUUAAAUUAUUUAUCUUUGGUUUCAUUUUACUAUUUAAAUAUAUGCAUGGCUACUGGUACUGAAUAAGGGUUGUGUCACUAUAUAUGAUUUGUGAGCUUUAAUUAUAUAUGUUUUUUAAUUUCUUUGCGCGCAGUGGAAAUGUUUACUUGAGCCUUCAAUGUCGUGCCUGUGAUUGUUCAAUAAAAUGGCCGAAACUGUUGGAUCUUUCGAUUAUAUUUCCAGUUUGAUUUCCUUCAAGGGAAAGGAUGUCAUAAUUUAAAUGUUGUAUUAGACUUUGUGGGUUAACUGUUACAUAUGAAACUGAUUCUGGUGGCAAAAUCGGUUGUUAAAGAUGCUGACGUGGACCUUCCCCACUUCAGAGAGAGUUGGGAUAGCUUUGUUGACCAGAGCUGGUUUCUGAAGCUGAUUAAUGUACCAACUUAGCAGCUUGGAACUAGUGUAAUUCUAGGAAUUAUAGAGCUUAUGAGCUUGAUUUGAAGCUCGUAGAAAUAUCUUGUAAUCUGGGAUCCUUCUAGUUGAUAAAGAAGAGCCUGAAGCUCACGCUGGUGCGAUGAGAAUGGCUACCUUGUGGUGCGUUAGUUCUCUGUUUUAUCUCUGAUUCUUGCUGGCGUUUUGUGAUUCAUUUUACUUAGGUGCUAUCUUGAUUAAGAUUCGCCCAAUUGUCUUAUGGUUCAUUCCAUUGAGUCUAAGAUUAGCCCAAUUGUCUCCUGUUGGAUUUAACUAUUUUCAAAUACAAAAUGUCGGUAUUUUCAUAUUCAUUGGUUUAUUUUGUUAGUAAUUUAGAUUGCAAAUUGAUAGCUAGGCAGCAGCACUAACCACCAAAAGUGGGUGAACCAAAGAUUGACAGAGACAGCUUUAGAUGAAUGGGAGCUCAUCCGUAAUUAAGGUCUAUAUGGAAAUAAAUGCAAGAUGUUUUGAGAAUUAACCAAAAGAAAAAAGAAAAAUGGAAAGCUGAGAUCUUGAGGUAUGAAAGUCAACAAACGCACACAUUACUUAAUGAUGUAAGACAAACAGAGUGGAGUAUAAAAUUUUCUAAUUUAAUUAGGAAUUGUUUUGUAUUUUCUUAUUUAAGUCAUAUUUCUUUUCUUAUAAAGAAUCAUAAGUUUAUUAGAAAUAGCAUAAUCCUAACUAAUAUAAAUAGACUUAUUAUACUUAUUUCUUUACAUGAACUUUCCAUUAAUAAUAUUCAAUAAUUUUUCAAUUGAGAUAUUUUCCUCUCUUGUAAGAGUCCUACUUCUUAAGUUUUAAAAAUAUACGCUAUAAUAACAUCUAGUAUUAUUUCUGCACUGUGUCACUUAACGACGAAUUAACGACCUGGGUUCUGUGCAAGAUGCAGAGACAGAGGAAGAAAAUAUUAUUAAUUAUAACGGUAAUGGGGUUUAUUAAUAAGUGGUCUUAUAAAAUAAUCGGAGAUGUUUGUAUCAUAAUACAUUUCAGUUUUCAAGCAUGCUCCUCCUAUUCAUAAAAUCCUUACUUAUAAUGUGCGAGAAGUAAGAGAAUUUUCAUUCUCCAUGAAAGAGUAUAACAUUCCUAUUCACAUUGAAACGUUUGGUGUCUAUUUAAUUUAAUCAAUAGUAAUUUAAUCUUCAAAUUUAGUGAAUGAAUUGAAAAGCUAGGUAGCUGGUCCAUAUUGCUCUGUUGCUUGAGCAAAUCAUUUAGCAUCCUUUUUGAUUUUGUGUUGCUAAUGACAGUAAACAUUUUUGGUCACUGGAUGAUAUGGAACUCAUUCACCUAAUUGUAACUUUCACGAAUCCAAAUGUACAUGUACUGCAAAACACCAGUCCGUAUUUUUUCCGAGGCUGUAGCUUCUUUUUCCUUAUUUCAGAAUAAAAGUGAAAUUUACAAGAUGCAACAAAUUUGUUAUCUCAUUUCUAAAACCUAGCAAUGCUGGCUGAAUUUUUGUAAUAUGCCGUAGUUGAAGAGUCAAGUUUAGAAGGGAGAGUUCAUUACCAUCUCAAGUUUGAUGUGUAGUGAUCAGGUUGAAUAAAUACAACUUACCUAAUCCAAUUGGUGAACUUAUUCAAUCUAUGAGAUUCUGUGUUUAUGCAAGUCUGUCGGCCAAAAAAUUCUCCAAGUGGCAAAAACAUAGAGUUAAUAUUGAGCUUGCUUGAGAACAGAUAGGGAGCCAAAAUGUACACUUGCAUCUGGCGCUCAACUGCUUUUACACUUGAAUCAGCUACAAACAAAUCAACAACAUCCAUGCACUACCUAUCACUGAGAUGAUCAUAGCAAGUACUAAUGAUAACUGAAAUAAGAUGCAGAAGAAACCAUAUGCAAUAUGAGUCGGCACAAGCACUUUUUUCUAGCUUCUUAUCUAUCUGUACAUAUAUACUUCAUACUCAGUUGUAUGGAUAUAUUAUUCAGCAUAAGUACUUGUGUUCUGGGAAUUAUUGCUUCUCAAUCUUUAACCUCAGUGGAAUGAUUAAAAAGAGAAAGUUACAGGUAUUCAGGGACAUUAUGAGCCUCACUCGAUCCUCAUAAAAUGUAUAGUGCUAACUAAAACCCAAAAAGAGCCUGAAGCUUGACAAAACCAAAAUAAAAUGCAAGUUGUAAUCCAUAUGCAAAAAAGAGAAGACUUGUAAAUUGGCGUCUUGUGUUCUGGGAAUGGCUUGUCUACCUUGGAAGUCUUUGGUGGAUUCCCGGGAGUCGGAAAGAUUGAUCCUUUUCCGAUAGCUGGUUUCAGAAAAAUAAUGGGCUUUUUGUCCUUAUAAUUCCGAGGUCUGGAUUCUGGGUGAGGCUUGUAACUACGAAAGGAUUGCCCGCGGAAAGGCAUAGCAGAGAGAGAAGAAGAGGAGCAGAGAACCACUAGCCCAAGGAGAAACAGUAGCAAGUGUUUGAGUGUGAGAACCAUCUUAGUAUUUUGUUUAUGGUAUGAUUUCAGAAUUUGGUGCCUAUAUAUAGUUGUUAUGCUUUAAGCUUGGCCAUCAUAAUGUGAUAGGUGAACUUGGGUGCCAUAUUUGAGUUGGCAAGGUAGGGAAAGUUGGGGCAGUGCCUUUAGAUGAAUGGAAUUUUAUCUUUUUCACCUAAAAAGAAUACUAUUGAAACUUAUAACCCCAAAAUAUAACAUUUUUCAGAAAAAAAAUCAGGCUGAUUGGAAUGGUGUUGUCUUCACCUAUAAUAAGGAAGAUGACUUGAUUAGACCAUACUCAAAAGAAAUUCCUCUAGUUCUUUACUAGUUCGUAGUUUAAGGAAUCAAUAAUUUUCCCUUUCGAUUUUAAGAAACUCAGUAGUGAAUAAAAUUUGUGUUUACAUUUUUAGGUGUUAUCCUAAUUAACUAAAACUUAAUGUUAGGCGUUGUCUUAACUAAAACUUAGUGUUAGGCGUUGUUCUAAGUGUAUUUGAGUGUAUUAUAGCCUUUGAUGUAAUUUGAUCAAUUUGACCCUUUUAAUAAAAUUUACUAAUUUUUUCCCAAAAAAAAAUUUUGACGUGUGAAAGUCAACAAACGCACACAUUACUUUUAUAAAAAAUAAAGAUGUGGGUUGUGUAAUGCCAUCAGGUAUUACAUCAACUAUAUAUAAAUUAUAAACACUAACUUUAUAUCCCUUGCAUGUUCAACAAAUUAAAAAGAAAAAUAUAAUUGUACGAAAUUAUAUGUCAAAUUUGUUUUUUUUUUUACGUAUUAAACUAUCAAGUAUCUGAAGACUAUAUUGGGCCCCGACUAAUUUAGAUUCGAGCCGGAUAUGACUAUUAAGGCGGUAAAUCGCUCCCAACAAAUAUUUAACGCAGCUGCAUUCUCAAACUUCGAACUGAUAAUAUUUGUUAAGAUAGAACAACCACAUGCCAACUGAUUUUCUUCACUUGUUGGUAUAUGUCAAAUUUGUUAUCACACAAAAUGAGUCAUAUAUCCUAGAUGCCAUUCCUCGAGUUAACCACAGCCCAUAGGCGUUUGCAAAACAUACAAGCACUAAAUAGCCCUUGGCGGCCGUGGACCACCUUAAUUUUAUUGAAGUGUUAUUUAUUUAUUUUUUAAUUUGUAUCUUGCUUUUUUGAUGAGGAGGCCAUAUUAUUACCAUUGUCAAUAAUAGACCAUAUUAUUUAUUUUCACAGACAUGAAGGAAAUAAGUAAUGUAUUAACAAAACUUGUUUCCUCAAGUAAUAUUUUGUCAAACGUCGGGGACAUCGCCAAAAUUUUCCCUUAGUGAUUUCCAAGUCUAUACUAAAAUCUAUAUAUAUGCAUGUAUAAAUAUAUACUCCCUCAAGUUGUUCUCUUCUCCAUCACCUCCACAUACACAAAACUAUCUUUAUAUUAUUAAUUCAAGUAAAUUCAUAUAUUACUCCUUUCAAAAUUUCUUUAUCUCCAAGCUAGACAUUAUGGGUGUCCUUCGGUUUGAUAAAGAUACGUCAGCUGCAGUAGCUCCAUCAAGGAUGUUCAAGGCUUUCAUUCUUGACUCUCACAAUCUCUUCCCAAAGUUGUUUCCACAAGCAUUCAAGAGCGUCGUUUACGAACAAGGCGAUGGAGAGGCUGGCAGCGUUAAAAUUAUGUACUUCGCUGAAGGUAAUUAAGUAUUCAGUUAAUCACAUCAUCAUCACAUUAUUCACGUCCAAGCUCUUAAUCAAUAAUUAGGUCGUGCUUUUUUCGUUCACAACUGUAUAUGUUAAUUGAUUAACUCUAAUGACAAACUUAAUGCAUGUGAUCGAUUGAAAGGUAACAAGCACACGUACGCAAAGCAAAGAAUCGAUGUACUUGACAAACAGAAGUUUUAUUGUAAGUACACUGUAUUUGAAGAGGACAAUAUGUUGGACAUACUUGAAUCCAUUGUGUAUGAAAUUAAGUUUGAGGCUUCUGGCGAUGGCGGAUCGAAUUGCAAAACUGCUACUGAAUUCCAUAUAAAGGGUGAUGGAGAGAGUAAAUUGGAAGAGGAACUCAAGGGCUCCGUAGAGCUAGGAAUGGCAUUGUUCAAGGCUGUGGAAGCACAUCUCUUGGCAAAUCCUGAUCUCUAUGCUUGAAUCAUUUUCCAAUUCCAAGUGGGCUUCUAAUAAAUAAGAAUUAAAUAAGCUGAACUUUGUUUGCUUAUUUAUGGUUUUAAACCUUGAUUAAUGUACUAGAUAUAAUAACAUCAAUAAAUUAUGAAGCGUGUGUGAAAGUCCACAAACUCGCCCAUUGAAUAUUACAGUUUAAUUACUUUAAUGCACAUCAAAUUCAGGAAUGUCUGUCAUUAGUCUAAUUUCAAAUUAAUUAUAUACAUCACAUGAUCACAAUUUUCUUUUUUUUUUCCCCAAUCUUAGAAAACAAUGUCGAAAGAAUCUGUUUAAAACAAGGGAGUGUGAUCUUUGAUUUGCACUUGGUGAAAAAAGAGCAAAAUUAUUAAGCCUCAAUUUCCUAGUGUGACUUCUCUUAUGAAAUAGAAAUUUUAAUGGUGAAAUUUAGUAAAAAUGACUUCUAAAAUAAUAAAGUUAAUUAAUAUAGUUUAAUCAUCACAUAACUCUCAAAGACCUAGAGGUGAGCCACUUGUGCCAGACUAUAAUACUAAAUAAAGUCUCACAGGCAUCUAGGAGACAAACAAUAAUUAAUACAACAAAAUGGAUCAUCAAAGUUAGGAGCUGUUUGGAAGUGCUACAUUGUGUGACACCCAAGCAACUGCGCAGCUGCAGAAUAAGAAAUUCUACCAUAUUUCUUUUUGCGGCAGUUGCUACAGUGCAGCACUCCUAAACGAAGGCCGAGAUCCGGCUCCAAAAAUAUAUGUUGUAGGAUCACGUGGACGAAUCAGAUUUUCUCAUGAAUUAUACGACUUUGUUCUCAAAUUUUAUCCUCUAUAGCUUCUUUCGCUAAGAAAAAUUAAAGGAAAAUUUGGAAAGUGGUAUAGUCAACAAGGGAAGGCUUUAAUUUAAAUGUAACGAUGAGAAAAUAUUUUAAAUGACAAGAUAGACACUUACCACAAGAUAACCUCCAUAAAAUCUUUAAUGAUCAGUUACCCUUUAUUAUAAUUUAACCCCAAUUGGUUGUUAUUAUUUAAAACAUAAUGCCCCAAAAUUAAAAUAAUGGUCCGACGAUAGCUUCACGCAAUAGACAAGUAUUUAGAAUUAAAUACUGGUUUGGAUCUUAUAUCCGAACGAGUAAUAUGAAAGCAUGCAGACACUUGGAUGUGGUGGUGUUGAGCUGCAUUUGGCAAAAUGAUACUCUGUUUGGUAGAGCAAUUUAAUCAGACCCAUGCAUCAUUGCACAAAUUGAGGCUCCCUCUACAAAGGCACAAACAAUAAGAGAAAUUUUAUCAAAAGCUCUCGCUUUUUUUCUUUUGGGCAUUCAUUUGUGUGUACAACUAUAUUUAUCUUGCGGGUGCCGCCCGGCACAUGAAGUCAUGCACUCAAUGACAAUUAUCGGUUUUAGUUUUCUAAAAAAUUUAAGUUUUCUGCUAAUAUUGUAAUGAUUUGAGCCACAUGUAUAAUUUUCCAUUUACUGACCCUAACUCAUAUGCUGAUAGCAUUUGCUUGGUUAACAAAAAAUCUGAAUGGAUCUGAAUGUUACAGGAAUCUAAAUUCAUAUGUUUGAAUGAUAUAUUUGUCUUUUAUUCUUUUAUUUAUGAGUAUGAGUGGUAAGUUAUUUGUUUUUAUAAAUUCAAAACAUUUUAAAUCUAAUUUUUUAACACUUAUGUCCUCAAAAGUGUUAUAUAUAUCUAGAAGUUUAAAUAGGUAUAUAUUCAUGAUGUUAUCUAGUAUAAUGCUAUUUAUAUGUUAUAAAAAUAUAUAAGGUGAUCAUUUGAUAUAUAAUUUGUGGAAAAUAAUUUUGAUAACAUUAUUUUUUAUUUUUAUCUGAUAAUAAAAUAAUAUGCCUAAAUUCAAAUUGAAUUUGUAUGUUUGGUACUUUAUACUAAGUAAAAAUUGAGAUCAAGAGAAAUUCUAAUACGACAUCUAACUUACAAUAUUACAAUUAAUUAAAAAAAAAUCUUUUUGAUUAGAGAAAAAAUAAAGGAUUAUUAGAUUUUACAUAAUAGGUAUGAAAUAAAUAUAUUUAAAUGACGAUGUUUGUAAAAAAAUUAAUUAUUCAUUCAGACAUUUUAUCAUUUAAAUAAACAUUAAAAAAUUUAAUUUUUUCAUUUAGAUGAAAAUAUCUUACAAUAAGAAUUCAGAUACAAAAAAAAACAAGGCAAAAUUUAAAAGUAUCUUAAAUUAAUGUAAAUUAAAACUUCAGACAUAAAAACAAAUAAGUGCGUAAUUUGGAUUUCGCUAAGUUUAUAAAAAAAAAUUUCUUUUUCUAUUUGCAUUUUCUUAUUUCACAUGUUCACGCUCUUCAAGAUAAUUUAAGGCCUCAAGCAAAUUUUCAAAAUUAGGCUUUUUUAAUUUAAAUUAAGAUAUUAAUGAUAAACAUUUUAUUUUAGAUUAAUUCCUUUUAGAUAGAAAAUCAUUAAUAAAUUUGGUACAUCAAUUCGUGUGCCAAAAUUUUUUGAAGUGUAUAUAUAUAAAUGUUCCAAUUUACUUUAGAAUAAUGGAUUUUACCAAAAUCUAGAAAAGUUAUUAAACAACGUGGUUUAAUAAUGUAAUGAUUGUAGUUUAACAUCUUUCUCAGACUUUAAUAAAUUCAAGAUCCUAAAUCAUUUCUCUCUCUCUCUCUCUCUCUCUCUCUCUCUAUACAUAUAUAACGUGGAACAUGAAUUUCAUUUGGUGGGAAAGAAUAUGAAAUUAUUUUAAACAACUUUAGUGAAAAAUAGAAGCCAUUACCGAAAUGAAUAUAGAGAUUCAAAAUAUAAAUAUAGAGAGAUUAAUAUUAAUUAAUUUGCUAAUAACAUUUUCCAUGUCGUCCUAUAUUAAUUUUUAAAUUAAUACAAUUGAAAUAGGUUAAAUGUAAUCUCUAUAACAAAAUUAUGUAGUUCAGACUUAUCACACAAACACUAUUAUGUUCAUAGUAGAAAGAAAAGCAGGACUAGUGGCAUCCCUCUAAUUUCCUUUUAGCACCGCCAUUUAACGUCAAGUCUGAAUUUUAUUCCAAAAUCAUUCUUUUCCUCAAUAAACAUUUAAUUUAAAUUCAAAAUUUUCAGUUUCUUCCUCGUUUUGUACUCGUCUACUAGGCCCAGUAGCCUUGCUGCCCGUCAUCAACAUGGACAAAAUUUUUCAUGAUAAAUUUCUGGAAUAUCAGUCAUUUACUUAUUUAUUAAACCACAUAUACUUGAAAUAACUAUAGUUAAAAGAGGACACAGCAAGCUUAAUUUCAGGAAAAUGGUAAGAAAAUUUUAAAUGUAGUUCAGACCUGACACCCUUAACCAGAACAUUUGAUUAAUUCCUAAACAAGUCUAAUUCUACUCAGAUAGCGAAGACAAGUAGGCCAAAAUGAUUACAACUGCUGGUAUCUAGAGACUUUGGCCACCAAGCUUCCGUUUAAUUAGUCUCUAUAUUUUGGGUUUAAUUAUCUGUUUAAUCAAUUCAUAAAUUUUGAAAAAAAGAUGAGACUAUAUCUACUAAUUUCCUCUCUAUACCUUCUUUUUAGUCAAGAAUUUUAUUAUUUAAAUAAUUAUUUUAAAGAUUACUUAAUUAACCAUUUCUCUCUUACUUCUCAAUUUCAUAUAUUCUCAUAAGUUCAUUCAACUAUAUCAUUUUAGCUGCAAAUAACUAGUAUUACUAACUAAGAGGAACGAAACUCACUAUUGAAAGAUAGAUAUCAACAAGUUCUUAUCGGACAUUAAAUUAAGUUAAUGAAUAUCAAGAAAUUAAUUUUUAUCAAAUACAAAAGUUAAAAAAAAUAAAAAAAAUUCUCCUAUAUAGAAAGCAUGAAAUAGGAAUCAUGAUAUAAUAAGAAAGGCCAAAAAAAUGAACUUAAAUUAGAGUGAAAUUGAGUGUCUAAUUUGCAAAAUGUGAGAGCAGUGAGAUCAUAUGCAAUUGUAAGAGAGAAGAAGAUUAGUGAAAAAUGAUUUUGAGAUUUUUAAAUUUUUAAUUACUUAAUAAUGAAGUUAUUUUUUAAAAUAGGUAUAGAGAGAAAUUUGAUGGGUCCAAAUAGUCCAACAAGAAAUGCUUUAAAAUACUUAUGUUGUUAAUUAUGUACACAACUGUUAUUAAUUUUUUCUUUACUUUUACAAUAAUAAUAUCCUGACAAUGAUUUGGAAAAGUAAAAAAAAAAUUAAUUUACUAUAAUCUAAGAUAAUCUUUAUUCUUAUCUUAUCAUUUCUUUUCGUUUUUCUUCUUUUAAAAGUAAAUUCCUUCAGAUUAAACCAAGUUAAAAAAAUAUUUUAGCUAAAAGAUACAGAUGCUCAUUCCAAACUUUUAAACGCACGAUAAAAAUUGAUAAGCGAGAGUCUAGUCCAAGUGUCCAACCACGUCUUUGAUGGAUAAAUUCUACUUGAUUUAGUCCUUAAUAGUGUGGGACAUGCCAAAUUUUAAACUUCAGCCGUAGAUUUGUUAUCUUUACCAAGCACUAAAAGAUACAGAUGCUCAUUCCAAACUUUUAAACGCACGAUAAAAAUUGAUAAGCGAGAGUCGAGUCCAAGUGUCCAACCACGUCUCUGAUGGAUAAAUUCUACUUGAUUUAGUCCUUAAUAGUGUGGGACAUGCCAAAUUUUAAACUUCAGCCGUAGAUUUGUUAUCUUUACCAAGCACUAAUAUUGGCAGCCUCACAUCCAUGCAUCCACUGGAUCUAUAUAUAUCACAUGAAACCAGAAAUAAGGACUCACUCAAGCUCACCUACUCACUUUUGAUUACGGUUCUCCAGAAGCUAACAGAGAUCGUUUCUGCUUUGAAGAAUAUGGAAACUCCUUACACAGGUUAAUUUUUAGACCAUGUUCAAUUGAAUGUCAUUUAUAAUUCUAAUUUUAAUAUAUGUGUUUGUGAAUAAGGUUUUUAUUAUCAAAUUUUCAGGUAACAAAGAAUGGUCAGAGGGUACACAUGUUAAUAUAGGAGUUAGUAUGUUUGAUGAUGAGAAAAUAAAUAACAAUGAUCUUGAUCUUCUUACUGCCCCUCAAUACGGGAGGUAUCCUGACUACACUGGUUAAGUGUUACAACAUUAUACUUUUAUAUUAUGUUUAGUUAAAUAAAAGGAUGGAUAAUGUUAUUAUCCAUCAACGAUGUGAAUACAAGGUUGGUUUAGUCAACUACUAAGAUCUUGUGGGAUAUACAAAAAAACUUCUUUCUUUAGCACAUGUAUUUUGUCGUCCUUAAUUAAUAAAUAAAAUUAUUGUGUGUAUGAGUUGACUGAAUUAUUUUGGCAAUAGAUAUAAAAUUGUAUUAUUUUAAAUAUCUCUAUUUGAUUAAUUGUGCUCUUUUUCUUCUUGAAGGGGCCAAAAUCUUUAUAAUUAAUUAAUAGUACUAAUACUAUUUAUGUUUGUUAUUUGUUAAUUAAAUGGCGUAUAUCAUCAGGAUUAUAAAAUCUUACCAUAACUAUAUUAAGGGUUCUCCUACUUUAAUAUGAUAAAGGACAAGUUAAAAAAUAAACAAAAUACAUAUUUCAAUAUAUUGGAUUAAAGAUGGCUGCACCCCUAUGAUGUAUAAAAAUAAUCACAAAAACUCUCAAGUUAAUAAGAAACACUAAAACCCUCUUCUAUUACUUUCUACAAUUAAUUUCGAUGGAAAAUGUAAAAUUUACUAUUAUGUAUUUAUGAUGCACUUACUACCUUCCUAUGUGGAAUUUUAAAAUAAAUAAAUAAAUAUAUGAAAAAUGUGGUGAAACAACCUGCCCCCAGGGGGAGUCUAUCUAACCUCCUCCAAAUUGGAAUAUUGAUAAUAAUUCUAUUAGUAAGGAUUCUGGCGAAAAUUCGACAGAGUCUUCUUUAUAUACAUAACACUCUCAAUAUGAAAAUAUGUAAAACAAACACUCCCAAAAUAAUUCAAUAAACAACAAACUCUAAUGUUCAACAUCCUCAACCAAAAUACUGUAUUUUACUCAAGUUAUCACCAGAGUCUCAAAAGAUAAUAUUACAACUAAAUGUGUUCAGACGGGCCCCAAAGGUCUCUAUCUCAUCUCAUCUCAUCUAUAUCAUUGUAUCUAGAGGGGAGAGUACUGUCUAAUGAUUUCAAAAACAAUCAUUAUACUCAUAUUCACAUACCUUUUAACCAUACUUUGAAUCAUACCACACUUGAAUCCACUUUUCUUAUCUUUAAAAUACUAUCAUGCUUUAUUCAAAGUCAAUAUGCAAAAUCAUUAACCAAACAUUUUAAUAAAAUACCAAUAUGUGAAUAAAAUUUAUUUCGAGGAAAUCAUUAAAUCAGAACAUUUAAAAUACUUAUUUUGCAAACAUGCUUUAUUAUCAUAAUUAACUAUGAAAAUAGGUUUUGUAUAUUCCACUCACAGUGACGGGGUUCACGCUUGGUUAUCGUCCACGUCCGCGGACCGGUUCUCGCUCGCGAAUCCUCCUAAAUCAAGGAAACGACAUAAUUAUUUUCCGUAAAUCGGAAUUACGACUACAUUUUAUGCAAUAAACUCAAAACGAACAUCUAUUCAUAAUUUACAACCCAUGUGUCAAUAAAAUUACUAAAAUACCCUUGAGUCCGUAAAUCAUUAAAAUACUCCAAAAUCGUAAAUCACCGAAUUACCCUCGGAAUCAUAAUUACACACAAUCUUCAAUUCCUGGAAUUACUAAAAUAGCCACACACUAAGAAAUUACAAAAUUGCCCUCAUAGUGUGAAAUUAGCGAAAUGACCUUGCUGGUCAACGAUCACUGGAAUUUAGUCAACGCUGGCCGAGAAGCACGGGUUAGACACUUUUAGCCAAGCUGAGUUUAAUGGUACCAGCGGUGAGCUCCAAAGCGCGGCACGACGUAGGAAUCUAGCUUGAAAGCCGUGAAUUUCCAACAAUAGGUCGGCAGCGAAAUAGUGACUCCCGAUGGCUAUGGAUGGUCAGAAAUGGAAGAGGGAGUCAUGGGGAACAAAAUUGAGGUGGUGAUGGGUUUUGGCCGCGGCUUCUCAGGCCUAAAACGGUGGUGUUCCGGUUAAUUUUCGACGAAUAUGACAGUUGAAGUAUGACCAGCGUCUCACGGGCUUUCGAUUGAUACCUUGCUCAACCGGAGGGGUGGCCAGAAUCGCAAGAUAUGGUCGGGUAGAUUUCGGGUCAAACAGGUCGAGUUUUGGGUCUGUAGUUGGGUCGGUUUUGGCAGCUUCCCUUCUCUCUCUCUCACGUGUGAGUAUAUUCCCCUGUUUCCAGCUCUUUUCUUUUACUUAUAAAAUCCUUAACCGCCUCAUUUUCAUUUUUAAUUUCCACAUAUGUUACAUGUGGCUAACUCAUUAGUAUUAAUUAACAAUUUUGCCGCCACUGCCACCAGUUAACAUCAAAACCUAACCCACUUUUCAAUAUUUUCACAAAUCAGUUAAAGCAUGCAAAAUAGUGGUUAAAAAUGAUUACGAAAAUUAAAAAGAAAAAAGAAAAAAACCCACAAAUAUUGCCAGAGCCCUUGAAAACCUAAGACCCACCACUACAAGAAAAAAAGAAUACAACAACGAUUUAAAUACGUUGUUAAUUACAUACAACAACGAGGACCUGCACGUUGUUGAUGUUGAUGUUGUUGAAUGUCCAUGACCUUUGACAACGGACAAUUCACGUUGCAAAAUGCGAUCUUGCCUGUGGUCAUUUGUCAUGUAACCGCGCUCUAUUUUCGUAGCUGAUGUCUCACGUUUCUACACUUUUCACUACAGACUUUUUGAUGUUGUCAUUUUCUAUACAAUAACAAUACAUGCUCGUUGUUAUUUGUAACAUUUAACAACAGUAGCGUACUCGUUGCUGUUUUUAACAUUCAACAACAAUACAUGCUCGUUGUUGUUUCUAACAUUUGACAACAGUGAAUGCUUGUUGCUAGUUGUAAUAUUUUAGACAAUUAAACAUUGCCUAUUGUUAAUUUGCAAGUUGUUAAAUGCACCUUUUUUUCCUAUUUCAUACAUUAGUUUUAUCACUGUAUACUUUUGUCCUACACAAACAUAUGCACAGUAAUAACACAUUUCCAAAAUAUAAUUUCAUUAAAAAUGUAUUCAAGCAUAAAAUUAAUACAUUUGAAGUAUCAUUAUCACAAUAGUUUCUAAAAUCUUAAAUACAUAUAAAACAACAAAAUGAGAUAUGAGCAACCAAAACAUAAGUUAACACAUCUUUGAGUGAUCUUUAAAAAAAAAAGUUUCUUUAAAGCUCAAUAUCGCCAAGGAGACCUCCAGCAAAACAAAUUAAUUCCUGCACAACAAAGUUCAAGGAAAAGAAAAUAAGUAGCAUUUUAUAAAAACAUAAAUUAACUCUAUAUGUGUGUGUAUGUGUGUGCAUGUGUACAUAUAUAUUUGUUGAUCAAUAAAAUAUCAUAGCAAGAUGAUGAUGUGUGUGCAUGUGUACAUAUAUAUUUGUUGAUCAAUAAAAUAUCAUAGCAAGAUGAAUCACAACUAUUACUUUGUCUAAAUCAAUUUGAUGCAACUCUUAGGCCAAGCAACAGUACUCCCCAAAGCUUCAUUGAUUAUUCGAGCUUCAUUUGUCAUCUUGUACAAUUCAACAUCUUCCUUACCAAGAGUAAUUGACUCCACCCAAACUUUCCAACAAUCCCUACCAAGAGGCACGUGAUGGACUCUUGCCUUAGGAUCAGUUGAUGCAACCUUCCCCUCAGCCACAACCUCAACUGGAUCAUCUGAGUACCAAUGCAAUAGUUGACAACUUGCAUUUUCUAGCUCAAGAUUUUCAUGCAUUGUACCACUUCCUUGUUGUGACUACAAGUAUCAAAAAUAAAAUAAAAUAAAAUAGCAAAACUUAUCACAAACUACAGAAGUGAGAUAUGGUAGGAACAAAAGAAACUUACUCGAGGAGUGCAUUCAUGAGCGAUCAUCACAUCAUCAGGUCUACCAAGAUUAUGUAAAAUUAAAAGUAACUAUAUUUAAGUGAAAGUAAAAUAAAAAUGAUUUUAUAUUACCUAAUAUGGUCUCUCAUGCAAGAGAAUCAACUAGAUGUCUCAUCUUACCAUCUUGGCUUUUAUAACUUUGGUGCCAUCUUAGUUGUUUUGCCAAUUCUGUGAUCCCAAACAUCCUCUUAAGUCUUGGUAUUAUUGGAUAAUAGCGCAAGACUUUUGCAGGUAUGCCUUGAUGAAUCUUAUUAGUUCGUUCAUCAACUUUCCAGCGAGAAGAACCACAUUUAAGACAUGUAUUUGCAUGUUCCAAGUCUUUUUUGAAUAGACAACAAUCAUUUAUACAAGCAUGUAUCUUCUUGUACCCAAGUUCAAAUGCCUUCAACAAUUUUUUUGUUGAAUAAAAAGAAUCUGGAAGUGUAUUUUUUGGUGGUAACAUAUCACAAAAAAUUUAAAGCAUCUCAUUAAAACUACUGUCAGAUAACCCGUGGGUAACUUUAUGCUUGAAUAACACUACAGUUGCUGACAUUUUAGAGUAGUUUGUACAACCUGGGUACAAUGGAGUCUCAACAUCUCUAACUAAAUUUUGAAGUUCCUCUCUUUCUACAUAUGUAUUCUCUGUAGCAUUUGCUUCUUGAAAACAUGCUUGAUCUUUAUACAUCCUAUAAGUUUCUGUCAUUUCAAAAUCUAUGUAUUGAUUUGAUGUGUAUGUAUUCCCCUCACCCUUGUAUUGCAUUGUUGCAGUAGAACUCUCCCCAUGAAGGACCCAAUUUGUAUAAGUCGGAUCCAUGCCCUUAAUAACCAAGUGCUCGUAGACUAUAUCAAAAUGGUGGCGUUGUAAAUUCUUACCAUAUCUACAGGGACAUACUAUAACAUCUAAGUUUCCCAAACAAGCUCGUGCAUUAUUGACAAAGUUACGCACUCCCAACCUAUAAUUCUCUGUGUGUCUACAAUAAAGAUUUUACCGAACUGGAAAGUUAAUUGAAUUUCACUAAUUUCGUACAGACAAACUGUUUUUUUUUUUAAGAGGAAAAAUGAAAAAUAAUAUUUAGAAAUAAGGCAAAAUAAUACCUUGAUAGGUGAACCCACCCUUUAUCCAUUUUCGAGCAACUAUUAAAACUUGUUUACAUGAGCAAAUAGUAAGUUGAAAAUAUAAAAAGUUACAUAACAAUAUAUUCAAGACAAGAACAAAGUUACACAUGACUCUUUCUAUUUUUAUUUUCGUAAGACUUUGUAUAAUUGUUAUUUUUUAAAUUCAUUAUCUUCUAUAUUAUUUACUAGUUUAAAUGUCAACACAAAAGUAAAUAAGAAAAAAAUUUAUUUAUUUUGUAAUAAGAAAACAGACGAAUAGCGUAUUAUUACCAUUAUUAUUUUUUAUAAACAAACAAUUAUCUAAGAGUAAAAGAGACAUCUUUGACUAAGAGUAAAACUGACGAUACCCAUUAUUGACAAAGAGUAAAAGAGACACCCUUUCAUGUUAUUUUACUUGCAAAAAAACAAUAAAGAAUGAAAUAUAUAUACACCUUUUCAAUUUCAAGGAUGUUGUCUUCUUUGUUCUGGACCACAAUCAAAAGCUUCUUCUCCUUGGGACCACAACGUAUACACCUGGAAUUUUAGAUAAAAAAUCAAAGAGUAACUCAAUUUAAGUUUCAAUAGAGAGAAUGUGUGUUGAACAAAAGAAGACCCAAACCUUUUUUCUUCUUGACAGUCACGAAGAGGAAGGAAUAGUUGAGGGAUUUUCACCAAGAGGAAGAAAACAAGUAGAGAGAAAGACAGUUGGAAAGUGAGAAAGUGAAAAAGUGAGAUUAGGUAACUUUACCAAGUGCCAACGUUUUGUCUUAUUAGUAAUUAAGAUAUUACUUUUUAUUAAUUGAUAAUGUAGAGUUUUUUUAUUUGUGUCUUUUUUUUUGGGCUGACAAAAGAGAUUUUCAUUAGUUGAAAAUAAUAAAUAGAUUUGAAUGUAUUUAUAUCAUUUUUUUUUAAAAAAAAUUAUUUGUGGUAAAAAAAAUUAUUUACAUUUUAUACAAAAAUAAAUUAAUGAUUUAAUAGGAUAGAUUCAAUAAUUAUAUGAAUAACCACCUAUUAUUUAAAAUUGGUUGGUUACUUUUUUAUUACUAGUUUUUUAAUUUGAAAAGGCUUGAUUAUUACUAUAGAGAAAUUAUAAAUAUAAACAUUUUUCACCUAUGGCAAAUUAUUUCAUGGUUGAAAACAAAUGACAACAAACUAAAAAAUGUUGUGCUAUAUUCUCGAUAGCAACAUGCCUUUUAGAACGUUGUCGAAAAUGAAUUUUUUAACAACAUACUUAUAUUGUACGUUGUUAUUUGUCUUACCAAAACCGCCACAAUCAGAAAACUGUUGUAAUAAUAUUUUUCACAACGCGCCUUAAAGCAUGUUGUUAAAAGUAAACUUUAAGCAAUUUUUAACAACGCACGAUCUUAAAAUGUUGUUAAACAUCAGAUUUUACAACACGCGUAGCAUGCAUGUUGCUGAAUUCCUGUUGCUAUAUCUCUUUUUUCUUGUAGUGCACUGACUAUGAAGAUGAAGAGUAGUAGAAUGUAAAAUAUUCUGGAUUAGUAUUUUUUAAACUUCAACAAUGCACUGGUUAUUGUAAAUCAUCCUCCAUAACCACGGAGUAUUAACAUUUUAGAUUGAUUGUAGUUCAGCAACAGGAGAAAAAUAUUUAAUAAGACAAGUUUUUUUUUUUUUUUAAUUCGUAGUGCGGAGGAUAGAAGAUGAAGACAAUAGUAGAGCGCGAAAGGUGUGUUUAAUUGGUGUAGGCACGAAUAAAAUUUUUGGCUGGUUAAAUUAUGGCCCUUAAGCCCGAAUCUUUAAAUUCUAAGUUAACACGAGGCAGAAGUAUUAAAAUGUCUUUUUUCUCAUUCAAAUUAACUGUAAAACGUAAUGAAGAAGGCUUAAUGUCCCUUAUUGAAAAUUUAGAAGUUGUCAUGACUAUUUUCCUAAAUCAUAGAGGUGUAAUUAUCCUUUUUAUAAGUCACAUGCAAAUCAACUCAUCACAUGAAUAAAAUCCAGCCACCUAUAGUACUACCUUUGGGAGCCUCUGGGACUAUUUUUCUAAACUGUAGCUAUCUUUUGACCACAUGCAAAAUCAAUUCAUCACAUGGAGAAAAUCCCUAGCCACCAGUAUUAUAGAUUAGCAACAUUACUACUUUCCUAUAAAUGAGUACAAAUCAUGAUUCCUCAAGUUAACAGUAUCUCCUCCAACAAUCAUUCCUCUCAAAUCUCUGCCAUAGUUACUAUCCGUAAUAAUAUAAUUUAGUUAGGGAACAUGUAAUUAUACAGAAGUAUUCUCAAGUUUCAGUCAAUUAUUUUAAUUUUUAUGGUAUGAGAGAGCUAUGGCUUCAAGUUCAAGAUCUGAGCUAUCUCUUUCAUUACAAUACUUUCAUCAGUGUGCGAGUUUAAUUUCCUUGAAACUUACCUCUGAAAACUAUUUCAUAUGGAGUUCUCAAGUUCAACCGCUUGUUUACAGUCUUUGCCUUGAACACCAGUUGGCUGAUGUUGAGCCUCCAUCUAAAACCAUUAAAGAAGACGGAAAGGAAAAUAUUAAUCCAGACUUAAUCGUUUAGAAGCACAAUGAUGGCUUGCUCGCAACUUGGUUGAGAAGCAUGAUGAAUGAAGAUAUUUUGGGUACAAAAGUCGGGUUGCAAACAGCCUGUGAUAUCUGGCUCACAAUUCCGAAGUGCAAGAAGCAUGGCUAAAAGAUAGCCCAUAUUCUCUGAAGAAAAGUUCAUCUAAACUAGGUGACUUUCUCAAGAAAUUCAGAAUCACGUGUGACAAGCUUGCCGCUAUUGGAAAACCACUCAGUGACGAUGACAAAGUUUUCCAACUCGCUCGUGCGCUUGGGUCAAGAUAUUCCGAUUUCAAAACAACCAUGUUAACGAAGCCACCAUAUCUGAGCUACAAAUAGUUUGUCAACGCUCUCUUGAAUCAUCAACAAACCGUGAUUGUACAGCAAGAUGAAAAGUCAAGUCAAUCACAGUCAAGGGGGCAUGGCAGGCAGAAUACACGAGGCAGACGAGCUUCACAAAAUUGUGGACACAGAGGCAAUGCAAACUUUCAUAACCAAAAACCACACAAUAAUGGCCAUUACGGUGACUGAAGCAAUGGAAACUACCAGAACCACCAGCCGUACAAUAAUGGCCAAAAUUCACGAGACCCACCGAAAAAGAAUAAUCAAGAAUAUGCAGUUUUUUGUCAAAUAUGUGCAAAGAGAGGCCAGAAUGCAGCAGUCUGUCGAAACAGGUAUGACCAAGAUUAUGCUGAGAAGGAAGCACCACAUGCAUGCCUUAGCUGCAAUGAACAUCAACGUAAAUGAAGAUCCUCAGUUCUAAGCAGAUUCUGGUGCUACCACUCACAUGACAAAUGAUCCAGGUAAUCCUGAUUGUAUUAGAACUUAUAAAAGUUAUAAAGGACGUGAUCAAAUAUUUGUGGGGAAUGGUAACAGUUUGCAUAUCACUCAUAUUGGUAAUAUGUUGUCUUAAAACAAGUCACAGUAACUUGAGUCUAAAUAAAGUCCUAUUUGUUCCUUGCUUAAAAAAGAAUCUCAUAUUAUUAGCCAGCUUAUCGAUGAUUUUAAUUUUUUUAAAAUGAAAGUGGGUUUUUUGUUAAGAGCAAGGAGGACAGGAUCUUGGCAAAAGGACACCGAUGCGGCAAGAUGUAUGCCUUCGACGAAAAUCAACGAAUGGCACUUAAUGCAAUGAAAGGAAACGCCCAAGACUUCAUUCUCUGGCAUAAGAGACUUGGACACGCAAGCUCUAGGGCACUGGAAACUUUGAAGGAAAAUAAGGCCAUUAGUCUUUCUACUUGGAUUCAGAAGCCAAGUUUAUGUGUUUCUUGCCAAUUAGGAAAAAACUGUAAAUUGCCCUUUAAUUAUCGGCUAAAUUUUCUGAGUUUCCCAAAAAAUACAUUGCGAUUAUCUACGAGGACUAUUAUUUCUAAUUAAAAAUAUCGAUUUUAUGCUUCAUUUAUGGAUGAUUCCUCUCGUUUUUCUUGGUUAAUCCCACGAAAAAAUAAAUUUGACUUUUUUGAUUAUUUUGUGAAAUUUCAGAAAUAGGUUGAAAAUCUAUUGGACAGAAAAAUCAAUUUGUUUCAAUGCAAUGGAGGAGGCUAAUUCAACUCUCUACUCUUGAAUAAUAAGGGAUUACUAGUUAAAUUUCUUGUCUAUACACCCUUGAACAAAAUGGGGUUGCCGAGAGAAAGCGUAGACACAUAGUAGAGACAGCUUUAGUACGAUCUUAAUUUCGCGCUUAUCUGCCCCUUAAGUUUUGGGUAGAUGGAUUUUUAGCAUCCGCGCGUUUAUGUGAUAAAUAGAAUGCCUUUAUCCGCUAUUAGUAGUAUGCGAAGCCCAUAUAAAAAAUUAUUUCAAAAAAUUCCGGACUAUCGUGGAUUAAGGACUUUGGGAUGCCGUUGUUUCCCUUAUAAGAGAUUACUGCAAACAUAAAUUUGAUAAAAAAUCUUAUCCUUGUAUUUAUUAUAGGCUAUAUUCCCUUGCAUAAAGGAUACGGAUGCCUACAACCCGAUACCAACCGUGUCUACAUAUCUAGACAUUUAAAAAAAAAAAAAGAAAAUAUCUUCCCUUGUUCUGACGAAUAAUUUCUCUUGCACAGGAUUCAAAUGAAUUCACAACUUUUCCAUCUCUAAAUGAAUAGAUGCCUAAGUCAACCACAUGCAGUAGCUAUUGACUCUUCAACUUCUAGUGACCAUGCAAAUCAAUUGCUUCACCCUGCGCAAAAUUGUUGCAGGCCCGAGCACCUCUUGUACAUCGUCCUGCCAUUCAAGAUGUGCAAAGUGACACAAAUAUUACCGCUCCCACAAAUAAUUUUUUGAAGUCAAAUAUAUUAACAGAAGACAAUUUUAGGUUUUAGGUUUUUAUAUCUAAUACAUAGAAGUAUAUGUGAAAAUAUUUUCUAAAUUUAAAAUUUUAACUUUCCAUCUAGAAGUUCAGGGUUAAGACAAAAAUAAGAAUAUUUCAUUGUUUUUUCCGCCCUAUCCAAACAGAAGCAUCUUACAAGUGAUUACAAACCACUGGAAAACAUUUUAUAAGGCAAGAAGUCACGUUCACACAAACAAACACCCCUUUAUAUUCUAUUUAUCUAGUCUAUGAAAAGUUUAAAUACACUUUACUUGUUAAAAAAAAAAUCAUUUAUUUUAUCUAUAUAAGCAAUUCAGAGAGCUCCGGCCAAUCUAUAAAUACACCCUUGCUUACAUCUCCUCAUCACCUCAAAAGCUUCUUGCUUAUUGAAACUCAAUCUAUCAGUCUCUAUAUUCUUGUCCUCUUCAUUUAUAUAUAUUUACUUCCUUUUAUCAUUUUUCAAACUUUCUUAAUUAAGAUUAUCAUGGGUGUCAUCACUUUUGAAUCAAACGACACUUAUGCAGUUCCCCCGCCAGGAUGUUCAAGGCCUUGGUCCUUGAAUCUGACCAACUCUUCCCCAAGAUUUUCCCUGAUGCCAUUAAGAACAUUGAUGUCGUAGAAGGCGAUGGAGGAGCUGGAAGCAUUAAGAAGAUCACUUUUGCUGAAGGUUAAUUAAUUAUUAAUAAACAUAUUUUGUUGCAUCGAUUGAAUUUUAAGUGUUGUUUAGAAUAUGCAUGUUUAUCAUUGUGUUUCUACCUAAUUUUAAAGCUUAGAAGUUAUCAUUGUAUUUCUAUUUAAUUUUAAAAGCUUAGAAGUUAAGAUAUUUAGUAAACAUCCAAACUUUCUUUGACAGAUAACAUUUACUAACCAUCCACUUACCUGACAGUAAAUAAUUUAUUCAUCUUAGCUUUCACCCGAGCACAUAAAUGGAUGCGAUUGGUGGUGGAUAAAACCAAAAAUACAAAAGAAUGCAUCAAAAUCAUAUAUAACCAAUAAUAGUAUACAUGUGGUUCAAGAUUUAAAGCUACGGAAAGCUAAAAUCAGCGGAGAAUGCAAGUCCUUCGAUUAUAAGUGUUGUACCAAAAUUAUAAUAAUCCCCAACAAAAAAAAAGAAGUCUAUAUGAGUAUAGGCCCAAUAAGUAGUAACCUAAGUCCAUUUUAAAUAAAACGCCCAAAGGACAACUUUUCGAUAAAGCGCUAAAGGUAAAUUUAUACAAAAAGUGACCUAAAUCUAUUUUCUACAAAGAACGACCUAGGUCCACUCUUCAUGAAGAAGGACAUAGGUCCAUUCUAAAUAAAACGCCCAAAGGGCAACUCUUCGGCAAAGCGGUAAAGGUAAGUUUCUACAAAAAGUGACCUAGAUCCAUUUUCUUCAAAGAGCGACCUAGGUCCACUCUUCAUAAAGAAGGACCUAGGUCCAUUCUAAAUAAAACACCCAAAUGGAAACUCUUCGACAAAGCGCUAAAGGUAAGUUUCUACAAAAGUGACCUAGAUCUAUUUUCUACAGAGAGCGACCUAGGUCCACUAUUCAUAAAGAAGGACCUAGGUCCAUUUUAAACGCCCAAAGGACAACUCUUCAGCAAAACGCUAAACGUUUUUUCUAUAAAAAGCGACCUAGGUCUAUUCAUUAUAAAGAAUGACUUAGGUCCAUUUUCUACGGAUAAUGACCUAGAUGUUCAAUAUUUACUUGAAAGUAACAUUCUACAAAGGUUACAUACAUGCGAAAUGCCGCAAAACUAAUCCUCUUUACGAAGAACCAACGUAAGCGCUGCAGUGCUCAAGCCCAAUGAAGGUCAAGAGCUCGAAAUCAUGACAAGUGUUCAAAGAAGACUUAACAGUGAGCAAGCUUGACACGUAAUGACAAGUGUCUUCAUGCAUGAGUUUUGCGGACACUUGUCACUAAAACAAUGCCAUGUGUCACGAUAAUACCUCCACCUCAUGAAUCAAAUUGCCUACAUAAUGAUCAAAACUUCCCACACUAGAAGGAGGAAAAAAUGGUAACGAAAUGUUGUCCUUCUUUCUUUUAAUUCUCUCUCUAUAAUCAAAUUUGAAAUGCUGACUUAAGCGUCGGAGGGUCAUCGUCGGCAACCCCGGCACCGUUUGAUAUUUUAAUUUCUUUUGCAGAACCUUUGACAAUAGAAACUUUUAUAUCAUGGAGAGAUGAUUCACAAAGCUUAAUAUAGAAAGGAAUCCAAAGCAAAAAGUUAGUUAUUACUUGUCGAGUAAAAAAUUGCAACGACAGUUGGCGCCGUCUGCUGGGACGAAUAAAAAGCCAAUGUGAUCAUCUUGUGCAUGGAUGACAAUUAUAACUACUCCGAGCUUGAUGCUAAUAAUGAAAGUUCCAGGGAUGCCGAGAUUUAUUUUCGACGACAAAUAUAUGUUGUAGAUCCUGGAAGUGAAUCUACUGUCCCAAUUCAUCCACUUAACCUCCAAAAAAAUCCAAAUCAACAAUUUCAUGCAUAACAUCUACAGUCGGAUCCAAAUGUUCAGCCUCGACGCUAAAGGCGCGACAGGAUUACCUGACUUUAGAGGAAAAUAGAGCAGUUGACAACAAACUUCAAUAGAAUGUUCGAUUAAUUUCAAGCCCGAAAUGAUGAAUAAGCUAACUACAGCAGCUUUGAUAGCAAUGCAGCAAACUCCGUCUCUUCCCGAACAAUGGUUCAAUUUAUAGUGGUAGAUCAACCGAGCGCAUACAAUUCAGUCUUAGGAUGACCAACCUUAUAUGCUAUUAAGGCCGCAACUUUUGUUUAUCACUAUACUUUGAAGUUUCCUACGGAGGUUGGCAUAAGAGUAGUUCGAGGAAAUUAGAAAGAGACUCAAGAAUGUUAUGAGAUUUCCUUCAAGAAAGGAAAUGAAUCAAUUCAAAUCACAAGUCUGGACCCCAGAAUAAUAAGGAAUGAUCAACGAGCGAAUCACGUUGAAGACUUGGUCGAAAUUCCCCUUGGAGAUGAUCUCAACAAGGCAAUUAAAAUUGGGUCCCAAUUAGUCAAUCCACUUAGAGAACAACUUGUGGAUUUCCUAAAGGAAUACUCAGAUGUGUUUGCAUGGACUCACCAGGAUAUGCCGGGAAUUGAUCCGAGGAUAAUUGUUCAUCGCUUAAGUACUUCUUACUCUUAGCCGUCUCCUCAACUAUUUUCAAUUCUUUGUAUAAAACUUUAAAGAAUAAUUUUUUUUAAUCAUUUUCUUGCAUAUCAACUUCUUUUUUCAAAAAAAAAAAAAAGUUACUGAUUAACUAUUUGAGUCCACUUGAUAUAUAUAAUCAUUUUCAUAUGCGAGCGCCCUCAUUUUUUUUUUUAAUGCAGAGGAGCUGUUAAGCUAAGCGGUUUAAUAAAGUUGUAUUUUAAUACACUAUAAAGCCAUACAGUUUGAAAGUAUUAAACCGCACAGCUUAAAAGCGUGUCUGCAUGAUAUAUUUCCAAGAUACGUACAAUUGAUUCAAGUCUCAAAAGUAUGUUGUGACUCUUUUAUUUAAUAUGAAAUUUAUUUUUUAUGUUUCUACCCUUUUUGUCCUCCCUAAAUUAACAUAAAAUGAUAUGAUUUAAUAUCAAGGGCAUAAGUUCAAGUUCUGAAUAUGAUGAUGAUGAUAUCAUCAUCAUCAUUAUCGUCGUCGUCGAAAAGUAAAACUAAAACCCUAGAUCUUGAAACUUGAAACCUAUACCAUUCAUAUCACUCUUCACUUUUAUUAAAACCAAUAAAAUUAAUGGUCAUUUAUAUAUUGAACAUACACAUUUAUUGGACAAAGCAGGUACAUUCAAGCUUCAACUAAACAUAAUUAUUAGAAGAACCAAAGAUGAGCCGAAACAACAAAUCAAAGCUCACAGUGAGACAACCCUUUAUUCAAUUAGCAAACAAAUUCGAAAUCAAAGAGGCCAAUCAUGAUGCAAUUUAGGCAUAGAUAUCAGGACUAGCCAAAAGUUAGGCUUCCACAAUCUUGUACAAUGCAAUUGCUUUCUCUUCGGCGUCCUUCAUCAACUCUUCUUUGAGCUCUUGAUCACCCUUUAUAUGGCACUCAGCAGCAACCUUGCAAAUGCUUCCACCGUUGCCAGAAGCCUCGAACUUAACAUCGUACACUGCUUUCUCAAAGAUUUCAGCUGCUCCACCACCUUCAUAGACAGUAUACUUGCAUGUAAAAUUAUUCUUGUCAAGUGCAUCAAUUCUUUGCUCCGAAUGCUUGAAAUAACCACCUGUGAAUUACAUUGAAUCUUCAUUAGCUUAUCUAAGUUAUGCUCUAUGGACAACAUGCAUGAUACGCUUUAUGAACAACAUGCACGAUGUAAUGUUUAAUUAGAAAAAUGACCAAGCCUUUUUUUUCCCCCCUUCGAAAUUAAUCAUUUCAUUGCCAUGAGCCACUCCGACAUUACAAAGUUAAAUAAUUUGAUAUAUAUAUACUUUUGAAAUAGAAAUCUGACCAUUGGGGGGAAAAAAAAGAAUUGUCACGCUAAUUAUGAAGUUAAAAAGUUGACGGAUAAUGAAAUAUUAUUAAUGCCAGAUUCGAUUAAUUUGAAUCAUCGUACGAAAGGGAAUUUUGGACUUUAGAAAAUUAACAAUGCUCCAUCAAUUUGAAUCGUCGUACAAGAUUUACCAUCAGCAAAGUUCCAUAGUUUGAUAGUGCCCACACCUCCAUCUCCUUAAAGAAUAUCAAUGCCCUUGAAUGCUUGUGGCUCUAUCUACGGUAAAAGAUUGCGGGAGUCAACGAAAUUAAAGCCUUGAAAAAUCUUGAAGGAGCAACAGCAGCUGAAGCCUCUUUCUCAAAGCGAAUGACACCCAUGUUAAUUAGCUUAAAAAGAGAAAGAGAAAUGCAGAGACUACAAGAAAUUAAAAUGAUGAAAGAAUUUGCCUCAAAUGCAGAUGAUUUUUGAGUUUGUGAUGAGAAUGAAGAACAACUCAAGGGUUUGUAUCGACAUGGAAAUGAGUGAUAACUUGGUUGAAUUCAAAGCAUCCAUAUUCCAUUUAGAGAAUGGCAUAAUGCCUACCCGUACGAUUUGGUGUCUGCAUGGGGAGAAAAAGGAUUUUGAUAUUGAAUAUGAGAUUAAUGAAGAAGUGAUAAGUUCAUAGGAAUACAAUGAUAUGCAAAAUUUAAUUAGAGAGAUUUUUACAGAAGACCCAAAUUCGGGUGCAGAGAGAUUUUUUAAUUUGGUAAAAGAGGCAAAACAUCCAUUAUAUCCUGGUUGCGAGAAUUUCUCUAAUUUGUCUUUUAUUGUAAAGCUUAUGCAUAUCAAGUGUAUUAAUGUUUGGGGCGACAAGUCUUUUGAUAUGUUAUAGAAUUGUUGACUGAUGCAUUUCCUCUGUGUGAGAAGUUACCUACAUCAAACUACUGGGCAAAGAAAUUUGUGAAAGAUCUCAGUCUCCAUUAUGGAAAAAUUGAUGCGUGCAAGAAUGAUUGUGUGAUUUAUUAUAAGGAGCUAGCAAAUGCAACCCAUUGUCCCACUUGUGAGGUUUCUAGAUGGAAGGUCAACAAUGGGAGGACGAAAAAGAUUGCAUGGAAGGUUAUACGUUAUUUUCCGCUGAAGCCUAGACUUUAGAGGUUAUUUAUGUCUUGAAAGAUAGCAACAUAUAUGAGAUUGAUGCAGAGUGUUGUCGCUCGUGAGUAGGAUACCUUUCGAAGGCCAUAACUUAGGUUACAUGUGUCUGUUUUUGGUAUAUAAUAUACCAUUUCGAAGCUUACGACAAGAUGAACAAUAUCCCAAAAGCUGUUCGGCCUCAUAGUUUGGAGCUGGAAAUUCUGCUUUUCUCUUGGUCGUUUCUAGUUUUAAGAUUUUUUGUUAUUUUUCCUGAUUCUUCUAGGAUUUUUAUCUUUUUUUUAGAACUUCGAUUUGAGUGCCUUUAUUUUUCUUUUCUUAGUUUGAUUAGGAGAAUUUAAUUAUCAUAUUAUAUUUUGGGUUUGCCUAUUUUGAAAAAUUUGCAAUAUUUAAUCUCAUUAUAAAAGACUUUCAAAAAUCUAAUUUUAUUUAUUCAGACUUUCAAUAAAAUUUAUCAUUAUUCAGAAAUUUAGUUUCUUUUAUCAAGCAAACUCAAUAAUAUUUCCAUUUCGUCAGAGAUGGCAUUUUGAAAAGCAUGUAAUGAUAGCAUUUUGAAAAGCGUGUAAUGAUGGCAUCUUAAGACAUCUUGCAGAUGCUGAGGGUUGGAAAUCCUUUGAUAAUAUUCACGAGUCUCUUACCAGUGAUCCAAGAAAUGUACGAAUCGGGUUAGCAACAAAUAGGUUUAGGCCUUUUAGAAAUAUUAAUCUUAGUUAUAGUGUAUGGCCUAUGGUAUUAUUUUCGUAUAAUCUUCCACUUUGGAUUGGAUGUGUAUGAAAGGGCCUAACAUGUUUAUAUCUUUGCUUAUACUAGGACCGAAAGGUCCAAGCAAUGAUUUUGACAUAUACUUGCAACCAUUGAUUGAUGAGUUGAAAGAGUUGUGGGAAGUCGGUGCAUAUACAUAUGACAUUUCAAUAAAACAAAAUUUUCAAAUGAGAGUUAAGAGUCUUAUGGAGUGUAAAUGACUUUCCCACGUGUAGUAAUUUGUUAGGAUGGUGUACAAAAGGGAUUAGCAUUUCCUUGUUAUGCAUCUCAAAAUUGUUUAUUUAGGUUAUCACAUGGUCAAAUUUUGGCUGUAUGGAUCAUCUUUAGUUUUUAUUAAAAAAGCACAGUCGGCGCAAUCAGAACAAAGAAUGUACAUAAUAAAUCUCGACCAGAGGGGUCCAUUGCAAAAGCUUAUUUGGUAGAUGAAUGUUUCACGUUUUAUUCACGCUAUUUGACUAAGGUUGAAACUAAAUUUAAUAGAGUUGAGCAGAAUUAUGAUGGAGGUUAAUCAUCAGUUGAUAUACCUCACACUACCAAAAGAAUAGUCCUUAUUGACAUUAGAAUAAUAUCGGUAAUUACUUUCAGUGAGACUUAUUAAUUAUAUCAACAAUCUGAGAAUUAGAAAAAUAGUAAUACUUGUUUAUGGUGCACGAACAUGGUCUCAAUGAUUACUAUCACUACAGUAUCAACAAUAUAUGACACCAUAGUGUUUGUAGUUGUUGAUAUUAUAUUAGUGUCUAUGAUUAUUGUUACCAUGGUAUCACUAUUUAAUUUAUUUAAAAAAUAAAAAAUGUGACUUAACUCAUUACCUAUUGAUUUACUGAUAAAAUUAAAAAGCACCAUAAAAUAACGAAAAAAAAACUGAUUUAUAUUACAAAAUCUUUCAUUUCAUAUUCAAAUAUUAUUAAUAUAUAUUACAAUUAUACCAACUACAAAUUAAAACAAGUUAUAAAAGAAACAUACAAAUUCAUAAUAUCUCAAAUAUAGUUUGAAAUGCACAGAAGUAGAUAUUCAGAUUGAAAAAAAAAAUACAAGUAUUUAUUUUGCAACAAAAUUCUCCUCAUUGCCUCUACACCUUGAACUUCAUUGUUUUCCCACCUAUAGGUGUAACAUAUAAAAUUAAUUAGUAUGCUACACAAAUUAAGUCUUGGACAUUUACAACCAAAAAUAUAAUCAUAUAUUACAUUAGUAUUGUAUGCUACAAAUAACUUGGCAGCACAUGGCCCACUCAUAAAAAAGUUACGAAAGAUCAUCAAUAGUGUACUCAUCACAUCCAACAUCAAAUCCAAUUACAAACAAGUUAGUAUAUAUUACAAACUUCAAAACUAAAACAAUAAUUUGUAACCAAUCACUCGACAUUUUCUAGAAAUUACAAAAAGCAAUAACAUGCCAAUAAACAAUACCAAUACACUUAACAGUAAUCACCAAAGAUCCUAACAAGCUUAGAAUUGAUAUUAAUCCUUUUUAUCUUAAGUAUUCUUAGGCUAUCACUAAUGAAUUAAAUAAGUAUCCUUAAGCCACAAAAAGAAAAAGGCAUGGUACCAAACUCUUGCAUACGUUCCAAUUGCCUAUCAAAUCUUUAAUACACAAUUAUAAGAAUCUAGAGCCAAAGUACAACAUCACAAACUUCACUUCAGCAAAAAGAGAACUAAACAUAUUCAGUUAUCGAGGUAAAGCAAUAAAAAAAAAGGCUUAAGGUCAUUUAGAUAAAGAAACCAAAAGGAAAGAUCGAAUAAGCCGUUUGCUUUCAUCACUUGCUGAGCAAUCAUCUUCAAAAACGAAACAACUGAAAUUCAAAGAGGUAAUUUAAUAGUUUUGGGUAUGGGCUUUUAAUUCUUCUCUCCAGAUUUUUUUUUUCUCUGAAAUAACGUUAAAACAAUAUUUUUUUUGUAUAAUUUCAGCAAAGGGCCAGAUUGCUCAAGAGCUAAUUUCAUCUCAAGAUUGUCUUGUUCCUCUUGCCUGGCUUUCAUCAUUGGUUUCUCAUGUGAGCUAGCUUUUGACAUUACUUUACCUUGUUCUUCCUUUAUUAUGAAUUUAUUCACGCUUUUUACUAUAUAAUUUAAGGUCUUUGUUCACUUUUAUUAAAAAUUAUGGUAUAUGAAUAGUAGUGCUGGCUUGUUUGCAUAAUUGUCUUCGAUAUUGACUGUAUUACAAUAUUUUUUGUUGCAAUUUUGACAUAUUUCUUAUUGUGAUUGUUUAAUUAGCCUAGACUGUAACGAGCAUGAAGAUUUAAUGAAUGUUAAAAUUUAAGUAACAUUUAAAAUUUGUACACCAGUUGUUUGUUAUAACGCCAUGUGUUAUUUUCAAUAGAUUUUUUUUAACAUGUAGCAUCAAUUUGACAAUAUUUUUUAAUUUUUUUUCAAGAUGCAGUUUUUGAUAAAGAAUAAAACAAAUGAUUAAGAGUGUUGUGAUACAAUCUUCAAAUUAGAGCAUAUGAUAAUUUAAAAGUAAUUGAUGUCCCAAGAGUGAAAUUAUGAUACUUCAUCUCAAAGCAACUUAUAUUGUUAGCUAAUUUUUGAGUCAGUUUAACAAUUUACUAUCCAAAUAAUUUUUUUUUUAAGUAUUACAAAAAUAUAUAUGUUGUAAUUUCAUCUCAAAGCAGCAAUGCACAUAAAGUGUUAACGAAAUACAAUAAAAAAUUUGUUGAGUAUUAAAUAGUAAUAAUUCUCGUGAUGAAAUUAGAAUAGGUUAAUUGGCCUAAAUACUAUUCAAUAUCUAGCUUUAAAGGACGCGUGGCAUUAGACUUACUUGCUAAGAUAUUGGAGUAGUUUUGAUGCAAUUUUCUGUCAUGCCUGCAGAUUCAACUUGCUAAGAUUUUGGUUAUGCCUUCAGGUUCAAGCAUUGUCGCUGAUUAUGUGAGCUGCUGCGAUUAUUGAGCAUGGCUUUAGAUUCAAUUUGAGCAAAUGUAAUUGUUUCUCUUAAAAUGAUGUAAUUGGUGUAAGGAGAGGAUUGUAAUCUCGAAUGAUUUAUGGUUCCAGAAAAAAAGAAAUUUUCUUUAUAUAAACUUGCAACAAUAUGAAUGUAAAUUUUUAUGAUAUUAGGAAUAUUUAAUAACAGUAUAGUUGAAAUAAAUUAAGCACAAAAAAAAAUCAAUCAGCAUAAAAUGCCACAAGAUAAACAUCUAUCAUUAAUUUGUGACAGAAUUAUGAUGUUAUGUAAGCAUAAAAUUUAUUUGCCAUGUCAAAUGCCACGUUUGCAAAAUGAGAUGCCUCGACAUUUGCCACAUCAGAUUCCAUGAAAGUAAAGAAUUGUAACACAAUUCCUUGAGAGAGAUAUUUUGUCACUAAUUAUUGAAUUUUCUGUCGCUAUAUUCUUACAAAGACUUUUUUUUUGACAUAAUAAAAUUAUGUCAGUAACAUGAUUUGUAACAAAAUUAUUCUGUCAAAAAAAAAAACCCAAUUUUGUAGUGGUGUAGGAUGGUGGAGUUUCAUACUGUAGAACAUUGAAAGAAAUUAUUGAGUUAUUAUACAGAAGGGAACAAAGUUGUUUUGUUCAAUUGUGAGUGUAUGACAUAGCUGGAGAAGGAAUAGGUUACUAAAACGAUCCGCCCCGAAUCCCCCCAGCCGAGUCUAUCUAGUCUCAUCAAAACGGACUUGAUAAAAAUUCUAUUAGUAAAGAUUCUGUCGAAAAUUCAGCAGAGUCUCCUUUAUAUAUAUAACACUCCCAAUACAAUUCAAUAUACAACAAACUCCAGUGAUCAACAUCCUCAACCAAAAUGCUGAGUUUUAUAUCUCCAGAGUCUCAAAAGAUAAUAUUAUAACUAAUAUUAAUAUCUCAGUUUAUUCUUAUUCCCAAAAGAAUAAUAUAACAAAAUUAUACAAUCCUAACAGGACGAGAUAACCAAGAUGUCCUAACAAAAACAUUUAUAUCUUCUAACACCAUCACGUGGCCAAGACUCAAUAUAUUUACAGUGGCUGGGUCGGUCUGGUGUACCUGCAACCUCCUGGUGAGGGGGGAAAAUAUAAUAAAAACGGGGUGAAUUUAAAACUCAGUGAGAUCGGUGAGUGGAUAGUAGUUUUGAAAAUUAAUUCUUACUUUAAAAGAAAUAAUCAUAUCAUUUCCAAACACGAUUUCAUUAAACCAUAAGCGAGAAACCAGUAAUAAAUCUUUAAACAUUUAAAUCAUAUUACUAACCAUGGAAAUCAUAUCACAAUAUCAUAUAGAAUUCACAAAUCUAAAAAUCAUCACCAAACAAGUACCCAUGGAAAUAAUCUCGUCAUAUCCGGACCUCAACGGACGGGCAAUGACGUACUAUCUAGGUAAUGUCAAGCCCCGGAACUACACGGAUAGACAGGAAAAUACCAUCUCAUAUCUCAUCAUAUCUGUGCAUGCAUAAUCUAGUCCCCAAAGGACAAAAGCGCCAAAGCACAUGGCCCAAAGCCUCUGUGUGUACUCAGACGGGCCCCAAAGGCCAGUAUCUCAUCUGUAUCAUCUGUAUCUCAAUAUAUGUCUGUAUCUCAUAUCUGUAUCUCUGUAAUAAUCAUACCGCAUGCAUAUGCCCCCAAAAGGCAAAAGCGCCCAAACACACGACCCAAAACUUCUAUGUGUGUUCAGACGGGCCCCAAAGGUCUCUCAUCUCAUAUCACAUGUAUCACUGUAUCUGGAGGGAAAGGGUAAUGUCUAAUGAUUUCAAAAACAAUCAUUAUACUUAUAAUCACAUACCUUUUAAUCAUACUUUAAAUCAUACCACAUUUGAAUCCACUUUUCUUAUCUUUAAAAUAUUAUCAUGCUUAUUCAAAAUCGAUACGCAAAAUCAUUAACCAAACAUUUUAAUAAAAUACCAAUGCGUGAAUAAAAUCCAUUUCGAGAAAUCAUUAAAUCAGAACAUUUAAAAUACUUAUUUCGCAAACAUGCUUUACUAUCAUCGCUAACUAUGAAAAUAAGUUUUGUAUAUUCCACUCACAGUGACGGUGUUCACGGUCGGUUAUCGUCCACGUCCGCGGACCGGUUCUUGCUCGCGGAUCCUCCUAAAUCAAGGAAACGACAUAAUUAUUUUCCGUAAAUCAAAAUUAGGACUAAAUUUUAUGCAAUAAACUCGAAACGAACAUCUAUCCAUAAUUGACAACUCCUGUGUCCAUAAAAUUACUAAAAUGCUCUUGAGUCCGUAGAUCAUUAACAUGCUCUGAAAUCGUAAAUCACUGAAUUACCCUCAAAAUCGUAAUUAUACCCAAUCCUCAAUUCUAGGAAUUACUAAAAUAUCCACAGGCUCAGAAAUUACAAAAUUGCCCUCAUAGUGUGAAAUUACCAAAAUGCCCUUGCCGGUCAACGGUCACUGGAAUUUGGUCAACAUUGGCUAGGAAGCUCAAAUCUUAAAGUUCCAAUCACGCUGAGUUCAAUGGUACCGGCGGUGAGCUCCAAUGAGCGGCAACGACGCCGGAAUCUAGCUCAGCAGCCGUGAAUUCCAACAAUCGACCGGCGGCAAAACAGUGACUCUCGGUGCCUAUGGAUGGUCGGAAAUGGAAGAGGGAGUCGCAGGGAACAAAAUCCAACCGAUGGUGUCACCCAAACCAGUAACAUGAUUUGUAACAAAAUUAUUCUGUAAAAAAAAAACCCAAUUUUGUAGUGGUGUAGGAUGGUGGAGUUUCAUACUAUAGAACAUUGAAAGAAAUUAUUGAGUUAUUAUACAAAAGGGAACAAAGUUGUUUUGUUCAAUUGUGAUUGGUAUGACAUAGCUGGAGAAGGAAUAGUUUACAAAAGAGAUUUUCAUGGAAUAUUUAUUAGUAAUAAAAAGCGAAAAUUAAAUACUACAAAGCCAUUUGUGUUAGCAUCCCAAGCAACUCAAGCAUAUUAUUUAAGAGGAUUGAAAGAUACUAUAUGAAGUGUUAUAGUAAAAACAAAGUCUUGAAAUCUAUAUAACAUUCCAGUGGAUCAACAAGAGCCAUUCCAAGAAGAGACUCAUUUAAUUCAUGAUUAUUCGACGAAAAUGCAUGAAGAAGAUAACAUUCGUUGGAAUUUACUUAUUAAUUAUUCUUUUUUCAUUUUUUAAUUGAAUUUUAUAAUAAUUCGAUAUGGUUAUAUUAUUGCUUUCAGUGUUAGUUCAGUAAUGUUAUUAUUUGUGGUUUUUUUUUUCCUUUUUAUGUUGUUGCCUUAUUCAAAAUUGAUUCAUGUAAAUUACUUCAACUCUUGUUCUUAAAUUAUAUUGCUAUUGUUGGGUUUUUUUUUAUGUAUUAACAUGUUAUUAAUUAAUUAUAUAUUUUGAUUGAACAAUCAUGGCUAAGGAAAACAAAGAUCAGGUUAAUGCAUCAAUGGAUUCAAAAAAGACUUGUAGACCAUCAAGUGGUGAUCAAAUACGAAGAGUACCGAAGAUGAGAGAAGGGUCUGAUCAUCUAUAUAAGCAGCAGUUGAAAGGUAUGUUGAUCAAGGUUGUGGUGUUCAAGCCUUUAAUUAAUGAAAUUCAGUUUUUAGUAUAUUUUUAAUUUCAAUGUUUUAUUUUGUAUACAUAUUAAUUUAAGAAAAACAAAAGUAUUUAUAAAAAGCUCUAAAGGAAAAAUCAGUUGGUCAACUUUCUAUUUCACAAGGUAAAAUUAUAUAAUUAAACUUUAUUUGUCACAUGAUUUAUGUAAUAAUGUUGAAAAUUUGUUCCAUUAUAUUCUAAUUUUAUUUAUGCUUUAUAUUUUGUUUUUAUUUGAUUUUAAUAGAGAUGGCAAGAAAAAAUAAAACUUGUCAAAUCUUUAAUAGAAUUUGUCAAAUCUCCACUUUCUAUAACCGUAUUGAGGUUGGUGUAUCAUAUCAUGCUGUGAUUGGUGAAUUAUUGUUGAGUGUUGGAGAAUUCAUAUUUAUAAAUGAUCAAAUCGUCUCCAAGCUUCAAUAACAUUUCUAUUUUUAUGUAUUUAAGUCUUUUAAACUUUGAUUGUGUGUGUUUUGUUAUAAUUUAAGUAUUUUAUGUAUUUUAAGGGUAUUUUAGUUAUUUCACCAUUAAUGAGAAGUUGGACAAUAAAAUGGAUAUUAUGUUUUAGUUCAGAAUAGCUAAAAAACUCAGGAAGAACAUAAAGGGAAAAAUUAUAAUUUUAGAAUUUUAGUGGAGUCCAAAUAUCGUGACAUUGACUAGAUGAUGUGGCAUUGAUCGACUGACGUGGCAGUAUCUUAUGGGAUUGAACAAAUAUUGAUGUGACUUUGAAUGAUGAUGUGGCUUUGACUAAGAUAAUAUGUCAUUGACGGAUGAUAUGACAACAUAAUAUUAGUCAGUAAAUCAUCUUGGGGCAUCAAGUACCAGCAGCUGAUGAGAUAUGUUUUAAUGACCAUAAUUCAAACAGAGAAAUUAAUUUAGUUUCUAUUUCAUAACGAUUUUUUUUAUCCUAGUUAAAUUUACAAUUUGUUUUUUUUUAUUACCUGUUAACUAAAGCUAAUGUUGUUUUAUACUUUUCUACUCACAACCAUGACAAGAAACCCACUACUCAUUCUAGUUCAUCUAAAAACCGAAAUAAUUUAGCUCAACGAUGUCAGAAUACUUUACAAUUGCAAGAUGUUCCCACAGAUGAACAUGCAAGCACAAAUGGUAAUUUUUUAGCUAAUUGAAUUUACUAUUUAUUAAUUUCAAACUAGCCAUUCUUCAUUAUAUAUGCAUGUUGAUUUAUAGGUCAAGGUAUUACUGCCUCCAAAAAACAGGAAAAGGGAAAGGCAAAUGUAAAAUUGGGGAAGGUAGGCCCGUUGAAGUUUACAAAAUAUUUUAUUUACAUAAAAUAAGAAAUUCACAAUGCUGCAAGUUGAUUAAUUAUAUAAAUUAAUAGUAAAUAUCAUCUCUUUCUGUAUUUCAUCACAUGUAUGUAAUCAAAGCACUCUCUUAAUUAUGUUCAAUUUUCAAAUUGUUAUUUCAGGCUUAUUACUCCUUAUGCUAUACGUACAGUAGGUGAUCUCUUUAAUCUAUAAAUUAAUGGACCUUAGAUUACAUUUUUUGAGUACCCAUAAAUAGAACUAGAUCGCUUGUUUAACUGAUUUAAAAAUAAGUUCACAUUUGAUGGUCUUAAAGAGGAGUUGAACGCUGCAUUUUCUUCUCAAGUUAAAUAAAGAUUUAAAGAUUAUAUAUAUGAAGAGUAUUAGAGAUGAAGUCCUCAAAAUAUAUAAGACAGAUAGGGAGCAUUAUUCUAAUCGCCCAACAAAUCUUCAGAAAUCUGUAUGGCAUCAAAUGGUGGAAAAGUCGUUGAGUGAGAAAUGGAAGGUUUUAUAUAUUAAAUAUUAAUGAUUGCUAGGGGACCGCCUAAGCCAGUUUGUAAAAAUUCGUCCAGCCCCCUAUACUCUAUAUUAUUUAUAAUUUGUUUAUAAGUAUUACAAAACUUUCUGAAUUAUAAAAUUUCGUUUAACCUCUUACACUCAAUUUUAUUUUAUUGAAACCCUAGAGUACGAAUUCGCCCCCUAUAAUUUCAAAUUUCUAAAAUAACCUCCAUUUAAUUAAUAACUAUUAUUUUAUUAUAAUCAUAAAUAUAAUUAUAUUUUUAAAUAGAUUAUUAUUGUUAUUAUUAAUAACAAGAAUAAAAAGUAUUAUAAUUAAUUAAUCUAUUAACAAUAAUUAAUAAUAAUUUUUUUAUUAAAUUAAUAAUAAUAAUUAACGAUAAUUAUUAUUAAUAAUUAAUUUUUGAAAAAUAAUAACAAUAACAAUAAUUAAAAUAUAAAAUAAUAAUUAUGAUAAAAAUUAAUUAAUGAUUUUAUAGCAAUGUUACAAUUAACUCAUUCUGAUUUUUAUUCUAAGACAAAAUAAACAGAUAAAUGGUAAUACAACUCAUUCAAAUUACGAUUUCUGCAGUUCAAGUAAAUAAAUUAUUCUGAUUCUAAUUCCUCAUUUUGAUUCUAGCUAUUUUGAUUGUAAUUCAUUAAUUUGAUUAUUGUUUAGUGAAUGCACUAUAAAAUUCAUAAUACUUAUGAAUAAAUUGUACAUAAUAUAGAGUGGUCUAAUUGAAAAUUUUAUUUGCUUGAACUGCAGGAAUUGUAAUUAAAAUGAGCUUUGUUACCAUUUAUGUGUUUACUUUAUCUUAGAAUUAAAAUCAGAAUGAGUUAAAUUAUAAACAAUUGCUAUAAAAUCAUUCAUUAAUUUUUAUCAUAAUAAAUAUUUUAUAUUUUAAUUAUUUUUAUUGUUAUUAUUAUUCAAAAAUUUAAUUAUUAAUAAUAAUUAUCGUUAAUUAUUAUUAUUAUUAACAAUUUAACAAAAAAACUAUUAUUAAUUAUUGUUAUAGAUUAAUUAAUUAUAAUACUUUUUAUUCUUGUUAUUAAUAAUAACAAUAAUAAUAUAUUUAAAAAAUAUAAUUAUAUUUAUGAUUAUAAUAGAAUAAUAGUUAUAAUUAUAAUUCAUUUGAUAAUAAUUAUGUUUUUUAAUUAAAUGGAGGUUAUUUUAGAAAUUUAAAAUUAUAGAGGGUGAAUUCGUACUCUAGGGUUUCAAUAAAAUAAAAUUGAGUGUAAGAAGCCAAACGAAAUUUUAAAAUUCAAAAAAUUUUAUAAUACUUACAAAUAAAUUAUAAAUAACAUAGAGUAUAGGGAGUUCGACGAAUCUUUACAGGCUGGCCGUAAGGUUGAAAAGGAUAUCAUUCAAACUUGACCCAUUUGUUUUUAUAGUGACUAACCAUUGGACUAUUAUGUAUUUGUUUAAUCUUUUUCAUUUUGAUGGUUAAUGACUAAAAAAAAAAAUUAUUUCUAGUUCUAUUUAGGCAUUUUUAUAUUUAGCAAUUGUAUUGAUCUGUUAUUUCUUUUUUAUUUCGAAAUCUUUUAUAUUGAUUAUUAGAAUCUGAUGAUAAUUCCUUUUUUGUUGGUUAACUUUUGCUAAUAAAAUUUAAGUGCUUAUCUUUCCCAUUGAUUCUCUAUUCAUAUAUGGUAAAUUUAAUAAUUUGAUCAUAAAGAAGUGUUUUUUUCAUUCAUAGUUAUGUUAUAUAUGAAUCUAUAUGCUAAGCUUGAAAUUAAUCUGACCAUGUUGAGUAGGUUAUAUUUAGCGCAUGUGAAUGUAAUGAUUGAGUUUAUUUAAAUCUUAUGCAAUAAUUUUAAUUUCAACUUAGUUAAAUAAUUUUGGUUUACUAUAUUGGAUGUAAUGAAAUAUUUUUUUCUUUUUAUGUAGAAAUCGAGUAGAAUAAGUGCAUCGAAUUGUAACAAAUCAUCUGAAGUAGUGCUUACAACUGGAUAAGUUAAAAUGUUGAAGAAGAAAAAGGAGCCAUUAAAUGAUCAUAUUUGUCAUAAAUUUUAUUAUAUUUAUAUUUUUUCAUAGAAUUUUUUUUAAAUGAUUUACUUUGCUACUAUAAAAAAAUUAUUUUGAUUCUUAAUAUUUCAAUUUUAUUAUAGAAAUUAUUUAAUUAUGUAACAUUAUUAUUAUUAUUGUUAUUAUGUUGAUAUGCUGAGCAAAAUGGGAAUAAUCCUAGUCCAAUAGAUUUUCUUAGAUGUUCCAUGUGCGAAAGGAUGGAACUUGGCCUAGUGAUAAGCUCAGGAACUGCAUAUGUUAAUUUUUUUUUUUUAAUUUCAAAAGUGUGUAUUAUUAUCAUUAUUGGAUAUGUUAUUUAAUUAUUAUGUUCAUAUUUUGAUGAGGCACAGAUGAUAUCAAAGAGGAAUGAAUUACAUGAGUCAUUUGAUGAAGAUCCAUUAAGAAAACAAUGAGAUAUAUAUCUUGAUGUCAUAAGAGUUGUUAAGCAUGGUCACACUCUUAGAGGCCUCAAAACGAAGGAUGUAUAUGGAUCCACUUCAAGCUGACCUUGCAACAAAAAGAAAUGUAUACAACAUGAGGAGUUUUUGUUGAGUACUUUGCAAGUGGCGCAAGAGCAACUGACUAUUGUACAGAAAAAAGUGGAAGAUUUAGAAGCAAAAAAAUCUCAUUCUCAACCUAUUGUGGCUUCAUCUUCAUUCUUCAAUAAUAUAAUGUUCUUUUCAAUCUCAAUUUUUUUUUUUAAUUUAUAUAAUUCGUUGUCAAUUAAUUAUUUUAAAUACUCGAUCAUUUAAUUUUUCUUUAUAGAAUCCAAUUGAAAAAUUGAAUGCAAAUGCCGAUGGUAGUGCAAAUUCUGAAAGUAGCGGUGGUGGAAAUUCUAAUGAUGUGGUGGUACUGAUUCAGAUGACAAUGGUGGUGCUAAUUCAGAGGAUGAUGAUAAUUUAGAUGAUGAUGUUACGGUGAUUUAAAAGACGAUAGUGAUGCUAAUUCAGAUGGCUUUGAUGGUACUAGAUAUUUAUAUGAUUUAUCUCAUUUGAAAUAAUAUAAUAAUGAUUUAUUUUUUAUUAUGAAAUGUUUUUGGACAAUAUGAAUGGUGACGAUUUCGAUUGAAUUGUUUAGGAAAACUCAUUCAUUUUAUAAUAACUACCUAAAUCUUUAUCAAAAAAAAAAAAACUACCUAAAUCUAUUUUCAACAAUCAUAUGUUCUUAAAAAUUGUAUUAGACAGUUGAAAUAAUUGUUGUUCCAAUUGCUAGUGGCAAUUAAUAAAAUAAAUUUCAACCGCGUAGAUUAUUUUCAAUUAUUUAUCCCAUUAAAAGCAGAGAAUUUCCAACAAAGAUAAAUCAUCAAAAAUAAUACUUUUCUGACUAUGAAUGCAUUAUUUAUAACAGAACAAUUCAAUUACAAAUAUUACUUAUUUCGAUUCAUAUGUAGUAUUUUCGAUUACAAAAUCAAUUAGAAUAAUAUUUUUCCAACUACAACUUAGUUUUUUUUUUUGGGCAGUUUUUACCCCUCACAAUUAAUGUAUUUUCAACAUAAUUAAUUGAAAUUGCUAUUACAAAAGCUAUCGCUAAAGCCAAUUGAAAAUAGUACUUUUAAUGGCUCAAAGUGAUCAUAAAAAUUAUUCAUUAGUUGUGUGUUUAUAUUAUUUCUAAUAUGCAUUAAUAAUUUUUCCAUGGCUAAUUUUGCUCGAAAAAAGUCUAAUUUUUUAAGCUAGCAAAAGCAAGACCCUAUUAAAAGUUCAAUUUAGAAUUUAAUUAGUCACUAAAAUUAUGUUCUCACUUUUAAUUAGGCAAAGCCCAUGCACUAAAGGCCUUUAUCUUGUUUUGAACUUUACAACAAAAAUAUACUUUACAACAAAAAUGUACUUUCAGUAUUAGUUAUCUAUUUACCGACCACUUUAUUCUUUAUCAGCGAAGGUAAUUUGUCUUUGAAAAAAUUAAUGAAUUUUUUAAUGCAUAUCGGACGGCUCUUCUUAGCCUUCGUAAAAUGCACUUAUUACCGAGGGUAAAUGAAGCCCUCGGAAAUAUCUGGACGGUAAUGCUAUUGUUUGUUGUAGUGCAAUGUGCAACACAUGGACGUUGUCAUUUACAUAACUAUUUCUGCAACAUAUGCAUUUGAAUGUUGUCAUCAUUAAUAACUAAAGACAAGGUGCAAAGUCUAGAUGGUGUUGUCUUCACAUCCUCUUAAACAGUAACAGCCAGCAAGGUUGUGAUAAAGCGUUGCACAGUGAUCACUUAACAACGUGCAACACAUGGACGUUGUCAAUAACAUAUCCAUUUCUGCAACAUAGGCAGUUGAAUGUUGUUAUCAUGAAUAACAAGUUUAGAUGUUGUCUUUACAUACUCUUCAACAGCAAAGCCAGCAAGGUUGUGGUAAAGCGUUACACCGUAGUCACUUAACAACGUACAACACAUGGACUUUGUCAAUAACAUAUCUGUUUUCAACUGAUUUUGGGGUAGGAAAAUCCAAACCAAUCUAGAACAAUAAAUUUAUAUUUUUGGGGGAGAUGGGGUACCUCACUAGUAUAUUGUGUGCGGUGCGAUGUAUCUGAAAUUCGGGGGAGGAGAGAAGGAGGGAGAGAGUGGUAGCUAUGGUGGAAGGUCAUAAACAAGAGAUGUGUCCUUCCAAAAUGAGCUUCACGCCUGCAAAACAGUGAAAUGGAGGUUAGAGGUGAAGCCGGGGUACCCCGGCGUUCACACUCCGACGCUCAAGUUAGCAAACUCAAGCUUUAAUGGUAAAGAGAGCUGGCUAGCCCUCUGUAAAUUAGGGUUUAAGGUUGAAGAAAACCUAUUUUUUGGAGUGUGAGUGUUUUUGGGCGAAUGAGAGCAUCAUGGAGAAUGAAACCUAGGCAUCUUUAUAUAUGAAGUACCUCAGCUGCCACGUAGCAUACCCUUUUUGGCUAACGUCCUUUUACCUUUUUAUGAUUUUUGGGCCGUUAUGUGCAUGUUCGCGGCGUAUCUCAUCCUUUGGAAACGUGGCGCGCGCUGGAGAGUAGUCCAAGGUACCUCUGCAGUAACUGUCGGGUAGGCGGCUGAGGACCACUGUCCUUGGGACAGUGUCCUUUACUUUUGGCAGAGGUAGCAGGCGGCUGUCCCCCCCUUUUGGUACGACGUUCUUGAUUCCUUAUUCUGACAAAAUCUAAUAAUAUCUUUUAAGAAGUGGAGACGUUUCUCAUGGCGGAUAUUUUCGGAGGAUUCUCUUGCAUCUGAUCUGCCGGGGUACCUCGAGUUACGUGGGGUACCUCAUAUUACACGGGGUACCCCUAUUUGUAUGGGAUACCUCUAUUUGUAUGGGGUACCUCUAUUUGUGUGGGAUACCCCUAUUUGUGUAGGGUACCUCUAUUUAUAUGGGGUACCUCAAGUCAUGCCGGGCACCUCGGAUUGUGCAGGGUACCUCCGAUUGUGCUGAAAUCAUUCCAUUGGUUGACACGUGGCGCUCUAUUGUCUUUCCUAUUUUUCCCUCAAACAAUAUCUAUUUCUGCAACAUAGCCAGUUGAAUGUUGUUAUCAUGAAUAACUAAAGACAGCGUGCAAAGUUUAGAUGGUGUUGUCUUUACGUAAUCUUAAACAGCAACAGCCAGCAAGGUUGUGGCUCCAACUACAACUUAGGUUUUUUUUUUUUUUGGGUAGUUUUUACCCCUCACAAUUAAUAGGUAAUGAGUUAAGGUACAUUUUUUAUUUUUUAAAUAAAUUAAAUAGUGAUACCAUGGUAACAAUAAUCAUAGACACUAAUAUAAUAUCAACAACUACUAACACUAUGGUGUCAUAUAUUGUUGAUACUGUAGUGAUAGUAAUCAUUGAGACCAUGUUCGUGACACCAUAAUUAAACAAGUAUUACUAUUUUUCUAAUUCUCAGAUUGUUGAUAUAAUUAAUAAGUUUCACUGAAAGUAAUUACCGAUACUAUUCUAAUGUCAAUAAAGACUAUUCUUUUGGUAGUGUGAGGUAUAUCAACUGAUGAUUAACCUCCAUCAUAAUUCUGCUCAACUCUAUUAAAUUUAGUUUCAACCUUAGUCAAAUAGCGUGAAUAAAACGUGAAACAUUCAUCUACCAAAUAAGCUUUUGCAAUGGACCCCUCUGGUCGAGAUUUAUUAUGUACAUUCUUUGUUCUGAUUGCGCCGACUGUGCUUUUUUAAUAAAAACUAAAGAUGAUCCAUACAGCCAAAAUUUGACCAUGUGAUAACCUAAAUAAACAAUUUUGAGAUGCAUAACAAGGAAAUGCUAAUUUCCCUUUUGUACACCAUCCUAACAAAUUACUACACGUGGGAAAGUCAUUUACACUCCAUAAGACUCUAACUCUCAUUUGAAAAUUUUGUUUUAUUGAAAUGCCAUAUGUAUAUGCACCGACUUCCCACAACUCUUUCAACUCAUCAAUCAAUGGUUGCAAGUAUAUGUCAAAAUCAUUGCUUGGACCUUUCGGUCCUAGUAUAAGCAAAGAUAUAAACAUGUUAGGCUCUUUCAUACACAUCCAAUCCAAAGUGGAAGAUUAUACGAAAAUAAUACCAUAGGCCAUACACUAUAACUAAGAUUAAUAUUUCUAAAAGGCCUAAACCUAUUUGUUGCUAACCCGAUUCGUACAUUUCUUGGAUCACUGGUAAGAGACUCGUGAAUAUUAUCAAAGGAUUACCAAGCCUCAGCAUCUGCAAGAUGUCUUAAGAUGCCAUCAUUACACGCUUUUCAAAAUGCUAUCAUUACAUGCUUUUCAAAAUGCCAUCUCUGACGAAAUGGAAAUAUUAUUGAGUUUGCUUGAUAAAAGAAACUAGAUUUCUGAAUAAUGAUAAAUCUUAUUGAAAGUCUGAAUAAAUAAAAUUAGGUUUUUGAAAGCCUUUUUAUAACAAGACUAAAUAUUGUAAAUUUAUCAAAAUAGGCAAACCUAAAAUAUAAUAUGAUAAUUAAAUUCUCCUAAUCAAACUAAGAAAAGAAAAAUAAAGGCACUCAAAUCUAAGUUCUAAAAAAAAGAUAAAAAUCCUAGAAGAACCAGGAAAAAUCUUAAAACUAGAAACGACCAAGAGAGAAGCAGAAUUUCCAGCUCCAAACUAUGAGGCCGAACAACUUUUGGGAUAUUGUUCAUUUUGUCGUAAGCUUCGAAAUGAUAUAUUAUAUACUAAAAACGGACACAUGUAGCCCAAGUUAUGGCCUUCGAAAGGUAUCCUACUCACGACAGACAACGCCCUACAUCAAUCUCAUAUCUGUUGCUAUCUUUCAAGACAUAAAUAACCUCUAAAGUCUAGGCUUCAGCGGAAAAUAACGUAUAACCUUCCAUGCAAUCUUUUUCCUCUCCCCAUUGUUGACCUUCCAUCUAGAAACCUCACAAGUGGGACAAUGGGUUGCAUUUGCUAGCUCCUUAUAAUAAAUCACACAAUCAUUCUUGCACGCAUCAAUUUUUCCAUAAUGGAGACCGAGAUCUUUCACAAAUUUCUUUGCCCAGUAGUUUGAUGUAGGUAACUUCUCACACAGAGGAAAUGCAUCAGUCAACAAUUCUAUAACAUAUCAAAAGACUUGUCGCUCCAAACAUUAAUACACUUGAUAUGCAUAAGCUUUACAAUAAAGACAAAUUAGAGAAAUUCUCGCAACCAGGAUAUAAUGGAUUUUUUGCCUCUUUUACCAAAUUAAAAAAUCUCUCUGCACCCGAAUUUGGAUCUUCUGUAAAAAUCUCUCUAAUUAAAUUUUGCAUAUCAUUGUAUUCCUAUGAACUUAUCACUUCUUCAUUAAUCUCAUAUUCAAUAUCAAAAUCCUUUUUCUCCCCAUGCAGACACCAAAUCGUACGGGUAGGCAUUAUGCCAUUCUCUAAAUGGAAUAUGGAUGCUUUGAAUUCAACCAAGUUAUCACUCACUUCCAUGUCGAUACAAACCCUUGAGUUGUUCUUCAUUCUCAUCACAAACUCAAAAAUCAUCCGCAUUUGAGGCAAAUUCUUUCAUCAUUUUAAUUUCUUGUAGUGUGUGCAUUUCUCUUUCUCUUUUUAAGCUAAUUAACAUGGGUGUCAUUCGCUUUGAGAAAGAGGCCUCAGCUGCUGUUGCUCCUUCAAGAUUGUUCAAGGCUUUAAUUUCGUUGACUCUCGCAAUCUUUUACCGUAGAUAGCGCCACAAGCAUUCAAGGGCAUUGAUAUUCUUUAAGGAGAUGGAGGUGCGGGCACUAUCAAACUAUGGAACUUUGCUGAUGGUAAAUCUUGUACGACGAUUCAAAUUGAUGGAGCAUUGUUAAUUUUCUAAAGUCCAAAAUUCCCUUUCGUACGAUAAUUCAAAUUAAUCGCAUCUGGCAUUAAUAAUAUUUCAUUGUCCGUCAACUUUUUAACUUCAUAAUUAGCGUGACAAUUCUUUUUUUUUCCCCCAAUGGUCAGAUUUCUAUUUCAAAAGUAUAUAUAUAUCAAAUUAUUUAACUUUGUAAUGUCGGAGUGGCUCAUGACAAUGAGAUGAUUAAUUUCGAGGGGGGGAAAAAAAAGGCUUGGUCAUUUUUCUAAUUAAACAUUACAUCGUGCAUGUUGUUCAUAAAGCGUAUCAUGCAUGUUGUCCAUAGAGCAUAACUUAGAUGAGCUAAUGAAGAUUCAAUGUAAUUCACAGGUGGUUAUUUCAAGCAUUCGGAGCAAAGAAUUGAUGCACUUGACAAGAACAAUUUUACAUGCAAGUAUACUGUCUAUGAAGGUGGUGGAGCAGCUGAAAUCUUUGAGAAAGCAGUGUACGAUGUUAAGUUCGAGGCUUCUGGCAACGGUGGAAGCAUUUGCAAGGUUGCUGCUGAGUGCCAUAUAAAGGGUGAUCAAGAGCUCAAAGAAGAGUGGAUGAAGGACGCCGAAGAGAAAGCAAUUGCAUUGUACAAGAUUGUGGAAGGAUAAGUUUUGGCUAGUCCUGAUAUCUAUGCCUAAAUUGCAUCAUGAUUGGCCUCUUUGAUUUCGAAUUUGUUUGCUAAUUGAAUAAAGGGUUGUCUCACUGUGAGCUUUGAUUUGUUGUUUCGGCUAGGGAUGGCAACUGGAUCGCUCUAUAAUGGAUAUCCAUAAUAUCCAUCUAAUUGGAUCGGAUAAUAUCCAUCCAAAAAUUUUUGGAUCUUGAAAUGGAUAAUUUAAAAUUAUAUCCAGAUGGAUAUGGAUAAUUAUUUUUACCCAAUGGAUAUCUGUUUAACCCAACACAAGUUUAAAAAAUUUUAAUUUUAUAAAAUAAAAAAUAAAAAAUAUAAUAAACAAACAAUUGUAAAAAUAUUAUAUUACCUAGUGAAAAAUUUAAAUUCCUCUUAUAUUAAAAACUAAAGUUUUCAAAAUUAUCCUUUAAUUUUUUAACUUAUUUAAUACUAUUAAUAAUUAUUAUUUUAUUUUAUUAAUUUAAUAUUAUAAAUGGACCUCCACCGGAAAGUCACCGGACCUCGCUGGACCACCAUCGGACAUCACCGGAAUGUCGCCAGAAGGUCGCCGGACCACCACCGGACCUCGCCGGACCGCCGUUGGACAUCGCCAAAUGUCACCGGAAUUACCGCCGGACCUCGCCGGAAGGUCGCCGGACCACCGUUGGCUUCCCCGAAAGGUCGCCGGACCUCCGCCGGAAAGUUGCCAGACCGCCAUUUUAUUAUAUAUAUAUUAUUACUAAUAUAAAUAGUUUAAUAGCUAAAUUUAAUAUUGGAAUUUUAACUAUUUUAUAUUAUUAUUUUUAUAUAAUAAAAAUAAAAUAUUCAUGGAUCUCCAUAGCUAUAUGGAUAAAAUCCAUAUCCAUGUCCAAUAUUAAAGACUUGUGUUGUGAGUUCAGAGCCAAGGGGAGGAUAGUGUAAUACUGGAUAUGGAUAUGGAUAUAUCCAUUAUGGAUAAUUAUGGAUUUGUAUUUGGAUGGAUAUUAUCCAUUUAUAAUUGGAUAUUUGCCAUCCCUAGUUUCGGCUCAUCUUUGGUUCUUCUAAUAAUUAUGUUUAGUUGAAGCUUCAAUGUACCUGCUUUGUCCAAUAAAUGUGUAUGUUCAAUAUAUAAAUGACCAUUAAUUUUAUUGGUUUUAAUAAAAGUGAAGAGUGAUAUGAAUGGUACAGGUUUCAACUUUCAAGAUCUAGGGUUUUAGUUUUACUUUUUGACGACGACGAUAAUGAUGAUGAUGAUAAUCAUCAUCAUAAUAUUCAGAACUUGAACUUAUGCCCUUGAUAUUAAAUCAUAUCAUUUUAUGUUAAUUUAGGGAGGACAAAAAGGGUAGAAACAUAAAAACUAAAUUUCAUAUUAAAUAAAAGAGUCACAACAUACUUUUGAGACUUGAAUCAAUUGUACGUAUCUUGGAAAUAUAUCAUUCUACGGUGGUUUAGUGGGGUAAAAAAAAGAAAUGAAUAUAUAUGAAUAAACGGCUUAAAAACAAAUCUCAAUUAAAAAAAAAAAUGUUUGGGAUGCAAAAUUGACUUGAAUUGGACCAAACUAUUAGUAUAAUUAUUCGCACAAAGAGCGGGACUAUUAACACCCCUAUAAUUUCCUUUUAAAAUUAAUUUUCUAUUGAGAACGAUUUUAGUUCCAAAAAUAUCCUUUUUUAGUUUUUUAGUUUCUUCCUUUCAACUCCAAAUCUUCAAAUAAGAUUUUCUUGUACUAAAUUUUGAAUGAUUAAAUCAUAUAUAUUUAACUUAAAAAAGAUGCAUCAGUACUUUGUUAAAGUGAUAAUGGCAUUAAAAAAUAAAAAAACACAUAUUUCAAUACAUUAACAAACAAAAAACAUAGUGUUUAAUAUAUAGAAAUCUAUAUUUUUUUUUUGUAUUUUAGUGAUGUCCUUAUUUUAUCAAGUGAGGAUAUCCUCACUAGAGAAAGACUGCAUAUCUCUAUUGUGGGUGCCUUCAUUUUUUUUUUUCAUACAGACACACUUUUAAGCUAUGCGGUUUAAUAGAGUCAGGUUUUAAUACUUUCAAACUGUAUGGCUUUAUAGUGUAUUAAAAUACAACUUUAUUAAACCGCUCAGCUUAACAGCUCCUCUGCAUUAAAAAAAAAAUGAGGGCGCUCGCAUAUAAAAUGAUUAUAUAAAUCAAGUGGACUCAAAUAGUUAAUCAGUAACUUUUUUUUUUUUUUUUUUUUUUUGAAAAAAGAAGUUGAUAUGCAAGAAAAUGAUUAAAAAAAAUUAUUCUUUAAAGUUUUAUACAAAGAAUUGAAAAUAGUUGAGGAGACGGCUAAGAGUAAGAAUAUAUUAAUAGAAUCACAUUGAUUAGAAUGCCAAGUGUUUGUGAGAGAAAAUAUAGAAAAUUAAUUAGAUUUAUUUUUUUCCUUUAGGACUCAUUUGAUAUGCCGGAUUGAUUGGAUUGAACUGAAUAAGAUAGGAUUGGAUCAGAUAACACUGAAUUAUAUAUAAUAUUGUGUUGUGCUUGGUGCAAUAUUUGAUUGGACUAUAAAUAAUCAUGUCUUGUGUUUGAUAUGCUAUGGGAUUGGCUAGUAACUAAUCAUGUCUUGUAUAUUAAUUUAUCAAAAUUAUCUUAAAUUUAUUCUAAAAUGGAAAUUAUUGAUUUAAGCUAGAUUAUAUUUUUUUUUGUAUUUUACAUGUUAUAGUUUUUAAACUUAUAUUUUACAAAAUAAUAUCAUCAAAAACAUAACAAGGAUAUCAUCAUCAAAUAUAAUAAGAAUAUCAGUCCACAACUUUAAAAAAAAAAAAAUGGGAUUUUUUUUCUUAUCCUGUGAAUUGUGAUAGGUUAAAUUUAGCUUACCUAUUAUUAUCUCACACCCCCUUUUAUAAUAAAAUUUUGAUACUGUGUUGGAUUAAAUGGUGAGCUCCACUAAUUUUAUCCUACAAUUAUUUUUGUAUACCAAACACUGCAUUAAGAUAAUUUUAGGAUAAAAUUAUCCAAUCCCAUCAUUUUAUACCCCAGUGAAACCAGCCCUUAAAGAACAAUAUGUCAAUAUUAGGGAUGGCAAUGGGCACCGCCCGCAGCGGGUUUGCCAUUACCAAACCCAAACCCGCAUAAAAUUUAAAUUACCAAACCCACCCGCAACCCGCAGCGGGUUUUAAUUUUUUUUAAAAAACCCACCCGCAGCGGGUUUUAACAAUUACCAAACCCGCAAUGGUAUCCGGCGGAUUUUUUGCGGGUUUCCGUAUUUAAAAUCACAAAUGUUUAAUAUAUAAAUUUAUAAUAAUAACCUCAAAUUUCAUAUAACAUAUUCAAUUUUAUAUUUAAACAAUGUAAAUGAAAAAUUAAAAUUUCCACAUCAAUUCAACACAAAUUCUCAAAUUUAAGUAUAAAUUACACAAAUUUAUUUAAAAAACACAAACUAAUAUCUAAAAAUAAUAAUUAUAUUUCAUAUUAUCAUUUAAAACAAGAUUCAAGAGAAUAUAUUCAUUUCAUUCACCGCCAUAAGCACCCAUCCAACACAAUGCCUAUAAUAAUAAUUAAGAUUAAUAUUUUCAAAUACUAAUUUGAAGGGAAAUGCCUUUAGUUUCCUUUAGGUUAUGACUUUAGAAUAGGAAAUGAGUCAUAUACACACAUACACAACUUUGAACCUUUGGCUAUUUGGUAAUUUGAUUAAUUACAUUAUUUUCUUUAUAUAUUUUUAUAUUUAAAUUAAAUUAAAAAUAUUUGAAAAAAAUUAUUGCGGGUUUGGUGGAUAUCCAUGCGGGUAUCCACCGGGUAUAAGGCUAAUACCAAACCCACCCGCAUCCAUGUGCGGGUUUUAAUCUAUAAUACUAAACCCGCCCGCAAUGGAUAAAAUUACCCGCAACGGGCGGGUUUUGGCGGGUGGGUUUGGGCGGGUUUAUGGGUUUGCGGGUACAAUUAUCAUCCCUAGUCAAUAUUUGCAUUGCAAUGAAAGUAAAAUCAUGAAAGUUGACCUAUAUGCAAAUGAGCAUAAAUAUUGGACUUCGAGGUUUAAAGUUUUAGCCCAAGAAUCCAAAAAGAGAAAGAACCCAAACUUUGUGGCCCGAGUUUAAAAUAAUUUCAGAGUCCAGCGUCUAAAAGAUAAAAUCUGAAAUUGAUAAUCUAGAAGCAGAACAUAUUCAUUGCAAAAAUUAAUGCGUAUGCUGCGGUACUUUUAAUUUUUUUUUUUCAAAUUCUUUCAUUUUAAUAAAAUAAGUAUGAAGUAUCAAGCCAAAAGACGAUAAUGCAAGCAAUACGGUCUAAUGCAAGCCGCGAAAUGGACCAAAGGAAUGGGGAGUUAUUUUACUUGAAAAAAAAAAUCACCUAAAUGUUAUGCAGCCCAACAACAGAGGCCGAAAUCACAGACCCUAAGCCAUUCUUUCAUUUUAGGUCAGAGUUGUUAUGUUCAAGCCCAACUCUAAAAACGCAGCAAUGGGGACAGUUGCGACGAAAGAAGGGUCUAUAAUGACCCACAAAAUAAAGAGUAAUGAUAUUUGAACCCGCUGCUUGUAUCAUUGGCUCCCUUUUCUCAUUAAUUCCUUUUAUUUUCCAAAUUACCUUAAUGCACAAACCCAAUCAUCUCAGAUAAUAAAAUGUGGCAAUGGAUUAACUCAUGAUAACUUCAAUUUUGAGCAUCUUCGAAAUAGCAAAAUAGCCUUUGAUCAAGAACCUACUGACCAUGAGAAAUCUUAAGGGAGAAGGAGGAUCGAUAAGCCAGCACUGCAAUGGAUUGCUUCUAUUUCCAGAUGCAGAUGAUCUCUUAAAUUUGUAUAGUCCAGGAUUACUUAAAUGUCAAAAGCAUGCAGAUGGAAGUUACUGCCCGCGGGAACACACAAAAAGUGACCGAAGGGCAGUAACACACUUAAAGAAAGACACUGAGAGAUUUCGUAUCCGUAAUAGUGCGAAAGGAAGGCCCGACUCCAACUCCAAGUUGUUCAAGAAUAGUGGCGUUGAGUUUCUCGACCCUUCUUUAAGAUGCUUUCGCAUCAAAAUCUAUCAUUGGAAGAAGCAAAUGCGAUUUCACGGGUUGUCCCUAGGAGCAAACAUCCAAUCAAUCAAUAUGCCGUGCAUAUAAGGAUACUCAAGUCCACUCUCACCCCGUAUAGACUUCCUAACUUGCCCGAGAAUACCUAGGGGCGCGAGACAACUCUCUCUAAGGAACUCGGCAAAAUAGAUUUUGACUAUUUUGAUUAUCCAAUUGAUCUAACUUGGCAAAAUAACUAUUUUCUAUUGUUUCUCGAUAUUCCAUCUCUCAAUCAAUAUGAUUUUCAAUUUCUGAAAAUUGAGCAAAAAAAAUGAAUUGCAAUUUAUUUAAUUGAAAUUUACCAGUGAGAAGAAGCCCACGGCUCCUACACACAGGAAAUCCAAGCAAUCCAAUAUCUUCUCAUAUCCUCUCUAGUCUCUACAUUAUGAUUGUCAACUUAAUUAAUUAUUCCUAUUACUUUCUUUUACAAAUUUUAUGAUCUUGGAGACACUGACAGCUCUGCUAGGGAAGAGCGGUUCAUGCCCAUAUGAAUGUCAAUUGGUCGGGUCAGGGCCAAGCCCGAGCCCGAUCCGAUUACUAAAAUUGAGGGCCUGAUUCGAAAAAAAACUUGAUUAUUUAUAUCUCAGGUUGGGUUGGGCCCGAUCCAAUUCGGGUUAGGGUUGGGUCGGAUUUUUUUAAAGUCCGCACAAUGCUUCACCUUAAAUAUUUUGUUUUUUUUUUGUCCGAUUUUACUUUGCUUUGUUUGUCCAUGAUGUAAAACAAAAUUGCUUUAUUCUAAAAUCAUUGUGUGUCCAUAAUUUUCAUAAAAAAAAAUAUAUCUUAUACAAAUAGAAACACAAUAAAUUUUCUUAUUUGCAUUGCACCUAAAAUUAUUCUUUUAUAUUUCCGUGCAUGUAUAUAUAUCCUCCAUAAAAUUAAAAAUUCAUAAUUUUUUAUAUUUUUUUUAAUUUAGGGUCGGAUUGGCUAAGGCCCGACCCUGACCUAAAUUUUGAUCGAACCUUAAUUUUUGGGCCUGAGCCUGACCUAAAACUUGAAAAUUCGAGUCAAAACCCAAAAAAUAUUAGUCGGGUCAAUCGGAUCAAAAUUCGAACUGGCUCAAAUUAACAUCCUAUUAAAAAGUGAGGGUUAGUGAGAUAAAUAGAGAGGUUCAAAUAUCAUUACUCUAAAAUAAAUAUAAUUUAUUUUGUCAUUUAUCCGUUGAAAGUCACUGGAAAAAUUGAAAAAGUUAUUCCUGAAUGUUGGAUAUAUGAUAUAUCCGGAUCGAAAAGGCACGUAACAAAGCUUGUGUCCUUGAAAUUGGUACCUACACCUAAAAAAAGAAAAGAAAUAAAAUAUUAUAUAAAGUGUAAUAGUUGGAGGCCAACUAUUGGCCUAUUAAGAUUAAAGAAUCCUCAUGUUAGAUUUUUUUGAAUUAUUUUAUUUAGGUCGGUGAUGCCAAAUUCGCUAUUGGCUGUCUUGGAUUUCCCUCACCUCCAGUUCUUCUAUAUAAACCCUUGACUAGUUCUUCAUCUUCAUCACAAACUCAAAAACUCAUAUUGAGCAUCUCUCUUUUCUUUAAUUAAGCAAUAGAUAUUCAACAUGGGUGUCAUUCGCGUUGAGAAAGAGGUGCCAUCGGCUGUUGCACCAUCAAGAUUGUUCAAGGCUUUAAAUGACACUCACAAUUUUUUGCCAAAGAUCGCGCCUGAAACAAUUAAGAGCAUCGAUAUUCUUCAAGGAGAUGGAGGUGCUGGCACUAUCAAGCUGUUGAACUUUGCUGAUGGUAAGUAGAUAGUAUACAUAGCUUUAUUAAUUGCUACAUGCAUCAUACAUGUUUUAUUUAAUUUUCAAAUCCAAAAUAUCACAAAAUUAAUUAUAAAUGUAACUAAGAAAAGGCAAUUAAAAAAGAUUGAACUAAUAUUGCGAUUAACAGGUGGUAAUUACAAGCAGACGAAGCAAAGAAUUGAUGCACUUGACGAGGACAAUUUUACAAUGAAGUACACUACGUAUGAAGGAGAUGGGAUUUUGAAAAUGACGGACAAAAGCGUGUACGAUGUUAAGAUCAUGGAUUCUGGCAAUGGAGGAAGCAUCUGCAAGUUUGUUGCGGAGGUCCAUGCAAAUGACGAUAAACUGGUCAACGAAGGGCACGCAAAGGAAUCCGAAGAAAAAGGAUCGGAAUUGUUCAAGCUCGUGGAAGCCUAUCUCUUGGGUAACCCUAAUCUCUAUGCUUAAAUUAAUCAUCCAUAUGCAUUGGCUUUGCCAAUUACGAAAUUUCCAGCUAGCUAACUAAAUAAGGCUGGUGCCAUUGUACGUAAUUAAGCUUUUGAAGCUGAAUGUAAAUACACGCGUAUGUACUUAGUGUGUUCGUUAAAUAAAUGUCCAAUCUGCUGGACAUAUGUGAGAUAAAUAUAGAUCAUGUGUGGUCAGUUAUGCAUACAUGUUUGCAGUUUCAAUUUCUAAACUUUACUGUUUCUACCUAUUUAUUGAAGCAUAUAUAUAUACUAUAUCUACUGGGGAUCUGUGAGGUUGGUUAUAGUAAGGCCUGGCCGGAAAGUGUUCUUGCCUCUAUCAUUAGCACGGUAGUCCCCCAAUAUGCCCGUUCGCUUCAAUAAGCUUAAUAAGUCUAAAUCCAUACAAUUAAUAAUAUAUUAUAGCACAGCGUGGGGGUGGGGCUGUACCAAGUAUAAAUAAAUCGGUAAUAUGUUCCAACAAGGAUUUAAUGAUUUGAAGAUGUUCAUUCACGCACGCUUGUUGCAUCUUUCUUCGCCAAGGUGACGCCAGCUCUCUCUCUUUAUUUUGAAAAGAAAGUAAAUCUUUCAUUAUCAAGGCGCAAAACAGUCACUAAUACAGUGUCAUAAGAAGGGGAGAUAUAAUGUCAGAACAGGCUCAAAAUAUAAUACUUAUGAGGACCUAAAAUUUGACCAUGCUCAUUGUAAAUUGUUCCUUUAUACUCCAAAGGAAAAGCAGUUUACCACAUAAAGUCUCAUAAGGUAUUGGAGAAACUUUUAGGGGUUUGGCUAUCCAACUUAGAUUCAUAAAGUGAACCGCAAUCAAAACGGACCUUAAAAAAAGAAGCACAACAACAGAACGUUACAACCCACAAAGUUAUUGGAUUUGAGCUGCACCAAAAGACAUUAUUAUAACAACAAAAAACUUAAAAAGAAAAAAAAAAAAACAAGACCGACGUUUAUUAUGAAGACAAGGUACACUGCAUGCAAUGAGCUAAGAUAGACUUGGAAGCAUUGAUAUAUACCGUAGGAUUAUCAAUUUAGUCAACUUAGCUGCUUUGUUCACCAUAAUUUGAGCUUCAAUAUAAGACUCGUUGUAUUUUAUAAAGCGUACUUUUUUAAUAUUUUAAUAUUAAAAUUUCUCAUAUUGUUGAGUAACACUCGAUUUGUAAAUAAACAAGAAGGUUAUAUAUAUGGUUUGAUAAAAUUAAGAAAAAAAAACCACUUGCACAUCUCUCAGAAGCCCUAGCCGUUUCAACGAACGAAGCCAAACACCAAAAAAAUAUCAUCACACCAUCUUCAUCUUCUUCCAACUACACCAAUAAGAAGGAACAACAUCCCCUAGUCAUUUUAGCUCUCAUCUCAAAUCAGGAAUUCUCAGUAUCUUCCAUCUGACAAGUUAAUUAUCAAAGGGAAUAAAUAUUGAUUUGGGACAGCCACCAAAGGGAAUCAAUACUAAUGAGAAUCUUAUAUGAUUUAGGAUGGUUGUUUGGAAUGAAUAGGUACAUUCCGGAUGUCAUAACUUAGACAACAAGUAUCUGUUUAGGGUGUAUAAUAUAUUGUUUCGAAGCUUGCGAUGAGAUGAACCAAUUUCAAAAUUGCUUGCACUGUUCUGCCCCAUAGUCCAACUGGAAAUUCUAUUUUUUUCCUAGUCAUUUUUUACUUCUAAGUUAUUUUCCUAUUUUUCUUGGUUCUUUUAAAAAUUUUAUCUUUUUUUUUCUAGAUAUCAAAUUCUGGUGCCGUUUGUUUUGCUUUUAUUAGUUCAAUUAGGAGAAUUUUAUUACGAAAUAAAAUUUCAAAUUUGCUAAUUUUGGUAAAUGUUAUUAUAAAAGAGGCCUAAAAUCCUACUUUUUUCAUUCAGAUUUACUAUCAAUCAACCUUUUAAUGUUUUGGCAUCGUCAUUAUAUCAUUUCCACUCAUGUAGGAUUAACAAGGAAGACGAUGGGGUUCCCUUUGGUGCAUGGCUGUCCCGAACAGAAGCCACAAAAACAAUGAUCAAUGUUGUUUUCUUGUGAUAUAAAAGUCAUGAAGCCAUAUAAAGUAGUUUCUAGGUUAUGUUACCCACCGCCAUGUGCAAUCUUUAUUUUUCUUUAUUAUUUGUGAUCGGAUAAAGAAGCAUGUAGCUAGAAAAUAUUAAAAGACAACAAUAUGACCAAUGUGUAACCUUUAUCACAACCUUGUUGGCUGUUGCGGUUUAAGAGUAUGUAAAGACAACAACAUUUACACUUUGCACGUUGUCUUUUUGUUUCCUCACCGCCAUGUGCGAUCUUUAUUUUUCUUAAUUAUUUGCGAUCUGAUGAAGAAGCAAGUAGCUAGAAAAUAUUAACAGCCAACAAGUGACCACUGUGUAACGCUUUACCACAACCUUGCUGGCUGUUGCUGUUUAAGAUUACGUAAAGACAACACCAUCUAAACUUUGCACGCUGUCUUUAGUUAUUCAUGAUAACAACAUUCCACUGCCUAUGUUGCAGAAAUAGAUAUGUUAUUGACAAAGUCCAUGUGUUGCACGUUGUUAAGUGACUACUGUGUAACACUUUACCACAACCUUGCUGGCUUUGCUGUUGAAGAGUAUGUAAAGACAACAUCUAAAAUUGUUACUGACAAAGUCCAUGUGUUGCACGUUGUUAAGUGACUACUGUGUAACACUUUACCACAACCUUGCUGGCUUUGCUGUUGAAGAGUAUGUAAAGACAACAUCUAAACUUGUUAUUCAUGAUAACAACAUUCAACUGCCUAUGUUGCUGAAGUAGAUAUGUUACUGACAAAGUCCAUGUGUUGCACGUUGUUAAGUGACUACUGUGUAACGCUUUACCACAACCUUGCUGGCUUUGCUGUUGAAGAGUAUGUAAAGACAACAUCUAAACUUGUUAUUCAUGAUAACAACAUUCAACUGCCUAUGUUGCUGAAGUAGAUAUGUUACUGACAAAGUCCAUGUGUUGCACGUUGUUAAGUGACUACUGUGUAACGCUUUACCACAACCUUGCUGGCUUUGCUGUUGAAGAGUAUGUAAAGACAACAUCUAAACUUGUUAUUCAUGAUAACAACAUUCCACUGCCUAUGUUGCAGAAAUAGAUAUGUUAGUGACAAAGUCCAUGUGUUGCACGUUGUUAAGUGACUACUGUGUAACGCUUUACCACAACCUUGCUGGCUUUGCUGUUGAAGAGUAUGUAAAGACAACAUCUAAACUUGUUAUUCAUGAUAACAACAUUCAACUGCCUAUGUUGCUGAAGUAGAUAUGUUACUGACAAAGUCCAUGUGUUGCACGUUGUUAAGUGACUACUGUGUAACGCUUUACCACAACCUUGCUGGCUUUGCUGUUGAAGAGUAUGUAAAGACAACAUCUAAACUUGUUAUUCAUGAUAACAACAUUCAACUGCCUAUGUUGCAGAAGUAGAUAUGUUACUGACAACGUCCAUGUGUUGCACGUUGUUAAGUGAUCACUGUGCAACGCUUUAUCACAACCUUGCUGGCUGUUACUGUUUAAGAGGAUGUGAAGACAACACCAUCUAGACUUUGCACCUUGUCUUUAGUUAUUAAUGAUGACAACAUUCAAAUGCAUAUGUUGCAGAAAUAGUUAUGUAAAUGACAACGUCCAUGUGUUGCACAUUGCACUACAACAAACAAUAGCAUUAUCGUCCAGAUAUUUCCGAGGGCUUCAUUUACCCUCGGUAAUAAGUGCAUUUUACGAAGGCUAAGAAGAGCCGUCCGAUAUGCAUUAAAAAAUUCAUUAAUUUUUUCAAAGACAAAUUACCUUCGCUGAUAAAGAAUAAAGUGGUCGGUAAAUAGAUAACUAAUACUGAAAGUACAUUUUUGUUGUAAAGUAUAUUUUUGUUGUAAAGUUCAAAACAAGAUAAAGGCCUUUAGUGCAUGGGCUUUGCCUAAUUAAAAGUGAGAACAUAAUUUUAGUGACUAAUUAAAUUCUAAAUUGAACUUUUAAUAGGGUCUUGCUUUUGCUAGCUUAAAAAAUUAGAUAAAAACACAUAUAUUUCCACCAAUUAAAAAUAACUCAUUUAUGUCGAAGCUCGAUCUCUCUAGGAUGAACCAUUUCGGAAACAUUGAUGAAAAGGAAAAAAAAAUAUUAAUUUACUAUAUUCUAAGAUAAUCUUUUUUCAUAUCUUAUAUUUUCUUUUCGUUUUUCCUUCUUUCAAAAGUAAUUCCUUUAAAUUAAAGCCAUAUUUUAGCUAAAAGAUACAGAUAUUCAUUCCAAAAUUUUAAAAGCACAAUAAACUGACAAGCAAGAAUCUAGUCUAACCACGUCAUUGAUGGAUAAAUUCUACUUAAUUUAGACCUUAAGAGUGUGGGACAUGCCGAAUUUUAAACUUCAGCCGUAGAUCAGCUAUCUGUACCAAGCGCUAGUAUUGGCCGCCUCACACUCAUGCGCCCACUUGAUCUAUAUAUAUCAAACCAGAAAUAAGAACUCGCUCAAGCUUGCUCGAGCUCAACUACUCACUUUUGAUUACAGUUCUCCAGAAGCAAGCAGAGAUCGUUUCUGAUUUGACGAAUAUGGAAACUCCUUGCACAGGUUUAUUUUUCGGCCACGUUAAGUUGAAUAUCAUUUAUAAUUCUUAUUUUAUAAUACAUCCAUUUGUGAAUAAUUUUUCUGUUAUGAAAUUUUCAGGUAAGAAUGAAUGGUCGGAGUGUUUAGUACUUUUUAUAAUAUUUAGUAUUGCUGAUGACGAGAAAAUGAACGACAAUAAUCUUGAUCUUCUUGUUGUUCCUCAAUACGGGAGAUAUCCCGACUAUGCUGGUUAAGUGUUGUAGUGUUACACUUUCGUGUUAUGUGUAAUUAAAUAAAAGCAUGGAUAAUGUUAUUUAUUAUCUGUCAAUAAUGGGAACAUCAGUUUGCACCCUUGUACUUCGUUGUCCUUAAUUAAUAAAUAAAACUAUUGUAUUUCUAUGAGUUGAUUAAGUUAUUCCGUCUAUAGAUAUAAUAUUUUAUAUACAUACAUACAUACAUACAUACAUACAUAUAUAUAUAUAUAUAUAUAUGUAUAUGUAUAUUUGAUUAAUUAUGCUCUCUUCCUUCUUGAAUGUUUUUGUUAAUCAAACUCUACAAUAUUAGUUAGCUAAUUCUCGCAGCUCCUAAGGGAACCAAGAUCAUUAUAAUUAGUUAAGAAUAUUAUUUGUGUUUGCUAAUUAAAUGGCGUAUAUCAUCAUGAUAAUAAAAUUAAGGGUUCCAUUACUUUAAUAUGAUAAGAAACAAGUUAAAAGACAAGUAAAACACAUAUUUUAUGCACUUAUUAUCAUGCUACGAGGAAUUUUAAAUUGAAUAAAUAAAUAUCUGCAAAAUAUGAUUCAACUCAUUAACAUUAAUUUAAUUUUGCCGCCACUGUCACUAAAUCUAACAUCAAGCCCUCACCCAUUGCCAUAGCAUGCAAAAUCAGUGGCUAAAAAUUGAUUAUGAAUUUUUUUUUAAAAAAAAACAUUUUCAAAAUCCGAAAACCUACGACCUAAUGACUACGGAGAUGAAGAAUAAUAGAAUAGUAGAAUGCAUAUGAUGCAAAAAUACUUACGGUAGACAUACUUUUUUUUUUCCUCCAACCAACCACCAUAAAUAUACUUUUUUCGAGCAAAAUUAGUCAUGGAAAAAUUAUUAAUGCAUAUUAGAAAUAAUAUAGACACACAACUAAUGAAUAAUUUUUAUGAUCACUUUGAGCCAUUAAAAGUACUAUUUUCAAUUGGCUUUAGCGAUAGCUUUUGUAAUAGCAAUUUCAAUUAAAUAUGUUGAAAAUACAUUAAUUGUGAGGGGUAAAAACUGCCCCAAAAAAAAAAAACCUAAGUUGUAGUUGGAACAUAUAUUAUUCUAAUUGAUUUUGUAAUCGAAAAUACUACAUAUUAGUUGAAAUAAGUAAUAUUUGUAAUUGAAUUGUUCUGUUAUAAAUAAUGCAUUCAUAGUCAGAAAAGUAUUAUUUUUGAUGAUUUAUCUUUGUUGGAAAUUCUCUGCUUUUAAUGGGAUAAAUAAUUGAAAAUAAUCUACGCGGUUGCAAUUUAUUUUAUUAAUUACCACUGGCAAUUGGAACAACAAUUAUUUCAACUGUCUAAUACAAUUUUUAAGAACAUAUGAUUGUUGAAAAUAGAUUUAGGUAGUUUUUUUUUAUAAAGAUUUAGGUAGUUAUUAUAAAAUGAAUGAGUUUUCCUAAACAAUUCAAUCGAAAUUGUCACCAUUCAUAUUGUCCAAAAACAUUUCAUAAUAAAAAAUAAAUCAUUAUUAUAUUAUUUCAAAUGAGAUAAAUAAUAUAAAUAUCAAGCAUCAUCAAAGCCAUCUGAAUUAGCAUCACUAUCGUCUUUUAAAUCACCGUAACAUCAUCAUGUAAAUUAUCAUCAUCCUAUGAAUUAGCGCCACCAUUGUCAUCUGAAUCAAUACCACCACAUCAUUAGAAUUUCCACCACCGCUACUUUCAGAACUUGCACUACCAUCGGCAUUUGCAUUCAAUUUUUCAAUUGGAUUCUAUAAAGAAAAAUUAAAUGAUCGAGUAUUUAAAAUAAUUAAUUGACAACGAAUUAUAUAAAUUAAAAAAAUUGAGAUUGAAAAGAACAUUAUAUUAUUGAAGAAUGAAGAUGAAGCCACAAUAGGUUGAGAAUGAGAUUUUUUUGCUUCUAAAUCUUCCACUUUUUUCUGUACAAUAGUCAGUUGCUCUUGCGCCACUUGCAAAGUACUCAACAAAAACUCCUCAUGUUAUAUACAUUUCUUUUUGUUGCAAGGUCAGCUUGAAGUGGAUCCAUAUACAUCCUUCAUUUUGAGGCCUCUAAGAGUGUGACCAUGCUUAACACCUCUUGUGGCAUCAAGAUAUAUAUCUCGUUGUUUUCUUAAUGGAUCUUCAUCAAAUGACUCAUGUAAUUCAUUCCUCUUUGAUAUCAUAUGUGCCUCAUCAAAAUAUGAACAUAAUAAUUAAAUAACAUAUCCAAUAAUGAUAUUAAUACACACUUUUGAAAUAAAAAAAAAAAAUUAACAUAUGCAGUUCCUUAGCUUAUCACUAGGCCAAGUUCCAUCCUUUCGCACAGGGAACUUCUCAGAAAAUCUACUGGACUAGGAUUAUUCCCAUUUUGCUCAGCAUAUCAACAUAAUAACACUAAUAAUAAUAAUGUUACAUAAUUAAAUAAUUUCUAUAAUAAAAUUGAAAUAUUAAGAAUCAAAAUAAUUUUUUUAUAGUAGCAAAGUAAAUCAUUUAAAAAAAAUUCUAUGAAAAAAUACAAAUAUAAUAAAACUAGAAAAUAGAACCGCGCUUCACGCGGCUUUGAAAAAAAAACUAUUAUUAUCAUUUUUCUUACUUUACACUUGAUGAAACUGAUAAAAAAUAUGAAUUGAUUUUUUUUAAAGAUGAGGCAGCCUUAUAAAAAAACAAAAAAAGCUAUUAGCUAGCAAUACAAAUAAAGAAGCAACGCAAGAUAAAGAAUAAAAUGAGAGAAUAUAUUAUAGAGUGAUUUUAUUCAUUCCAAUUGUGUGUGUACAAAACAAAAAGAUGAGCUCUCCUUUUAUAGUUACAUAAUCACUCCAUGAAAUUAAUGAAAAAUUAUGGAUCAUAAUUCCUUGUGAGAUAGUGGGAGUUAUAGGGAAGCUAAAGGUUGCUAAUGGGAGAUAGUGGGGAGACUAAGAGAUAUAUGUUAUGAACAUCUACAUUUAUUUUAAUAAAUUCAUAACACUCCCCCUUGGAUGUUCAUUACUAAGAAUAUGCCUCAUUAAAACCUUUACAUGAUUGUUAUUGUAUAAUAACAAUCAAAUUAAUUAUGAGAAGAUGAAAAGUCAAAUCUAAAAAAAAAAAUUUCUCUAUGUAUUAGAUAAUAGAGAAUAUACAAAGAUGAGAAAUGGUGAUGCCACAUCACUUCCUCAAGUCCCAGCUUUAUAUAUAUACUAGAAAAUAGAACCGCGCUUCACGCGGCUUUGAAAAAAAAAAUUAGUAAUAUCAUUUUUUCUUACUUUACACUUGAUGAAACUGAUAUGAAUAUGAAUUGAUUUUUUUUUAAGAUGAGGCAGCCUUAUAAAAAAUAAAAAAAGCUAUUAGCCAGCAAUACAAAUAAAGAAGUAACGCAAGAUAAAGAAUAAAAUGAGAGAAUAUAUUAUAGAGUGAUUUUAUUCAUUCCAAUUGUGUGGGUACAAAACAAAAAGAUGAGCUCUCCUCUUAUAGUUACAUAAUAACUCCAUGAAAUUAAUGAAAAAUUAUGGAUCAUAAUUCCUUGUGAGAUAGUGGGAGUUAUAAGGAAACUAAAGGUUGUUAAUGGGAGAUAGUGGGGAGACUAAGAUAUAUAUGUUAUGAACAUCUACAUUUAUUUUAAUAAAUUCAUAACACUCCCCCUUGGAUGUUCAUUACAAAGAAUAUGCCUUAUUAAAAUCUUUACAUAAUUGUUAUUGUGUAAUAACAAUCAAAUUAAUUAUGAGAAGAUGAAAAGCCAAAUCUAAAAGAAAAUUUCUCUAUUUAUUAGAUAAUAAAGAAUAUAAAAAGAUUAGAAAUGGUGAUGUCACAUCACCUUCUCAAGUCCCAACUUUAUAUAUAUACUAGAAAAUAGAACCGCGUUUCACGCGGCUUUGAAAAAAGAAUUUAGUAUUAUCUUUUUUUUUUUACUUUACACUUGAUAAAACUGAUAAAAAAUAUGAAUUGAUUUUUUUUAAGAUGAGGCAGCCUUAUAAAAAAUAAAAAAAGCUAUUAGCCAGCAAUACAAAUAAAGAAGCAACGCAAGAUAAAUAAUAAAAUGAGAGAAUAUAUUACAGAGUGAUUUUAUUCAUUCCAAUUUUGGUGUACAAAACAAAAAGAUGAGCUCUCAUUUUAUAGUUACAUAAUCACUCCAUGAAAUUAAUGAAAAAUUAUGGAUCAUAAUUCAUUGUGAGAUAGUGGGAAUUAUAGGGAAGCUAAAGGUUGCUAAUGGGAGAUAGUGGGGAGACUAAGAGAUAUAUGUUAUGAACAUCUACAUUUAUUUUAAUAAAUUCAUAACACUCCCCCUUGGAUGUUCAUUACAAAGAAUAUGCCUCAUUAAAAUCUUUACAUAAUUGUUAUUGUGUAAUAACAAUCAAAUUAAUUAUGAGAAGAUGAAAAAUCAAAUCUAAAAGAAAAUUUCUUUAUUUAUUAGACAUUAGAGAAUAUACAAAGAUAAGAAAUGGUGAUGCCACAUCACCUCCUCAAGUCCCAGCUUUAUAUAUAUAUAGAUAUAAAUAUAGAUUUAUGACAAAUAUGAUCAUUUAAUAGCUCCUUUUUCUUCUUCAAUAUUUUAACUUAUCCAGUUGUAAGCACUACUUCAGAUGAUUUGUUACAAUUGGAUGCACUUAUUCUACUCGAUAUCUACAUAAAAAGAAAAAAAAAAUAAUUCAUUACAUCCAAUAUAGUAAACCAAAAUUAUUUAACUAAGUUGAAAUUAAAAUUAUUGCAUAAGAUUUAAAUAAACUCAAUCAUUACAUUCACAUGCGCUAAAUAUAACCUACUCAACAUGGUCAGAUUAAUUUCAAGCUUAGCAUAUAGAUUCAUAUAUAACAUAACUAUGAAUGAAAAAAAUACUUCUUUAUGAUCAAAUUAUUAAAUUUACCAUAUAUAAAUAGAGAAUCAAUGGGAAAGAUAAGCACUUAAAUUUUAUUAGCAAAAGUUAACCAACAGAAAAGGAAUUAUUAUCAGAUUCUAAUAAUCAAUAUAAAAGAUUUCCAAAUAAAAAAGAAAUAACAGAUCAAUACAAUUGCUAAAUAUAAAAAUGCCUAAAUAGAACUAGAAAUAAUUUUUUUUUUGAGUCAUUAAGCAUCAAAAUGAAAAAGAUUAAACAAAUACAAAAUAGUCCAAUGAUUAGUCACUAUAAAAACAAAUGGGUCAGGUUUGAAUGAUAUCCUUUUCAACCUUACGGCCAGCCUGUAAAAAUUCACCCAGCCCCCUAUACUCUAUGUUAUUUAUAAUUUAUUUGUAAGUAUUAUAAAACUUUCUGAAUUUUAAAAUUUCGUUUGGCUUCUUACACUCAAUUUUAUUUUAUUGAAAACUUAGAGUACGAAUUCGCCCCCUAUAAUUUUAAAUUUCCAAAAUAACCUCCAUUUAAUUAAAAACAUAAUUAUUAUCAAAUGAAUUAUAAUUAUAACUAUUAUUCUAUUAUAAUCAUAAAUAUAAUUAUAUUUUUUAAAUAUAUUAUUAUUGUUAUUAUUAAUAACAAGAAUAAUAAUAAUAAUUAUUAUUAUUAACAAUUAAAUUUUUGAAUAAUAAUAAUAACAAUAACAAUAAAAAUAAUUAAAAUAUAAAAUAAUUAUUAUGAUAAAAAUUAAUGAAUGAUUUUAUAGCAAUUGGUUAUAAUUUAACUCAUUCUGAUUUUGAUUCUAAGAUAAAGUAAACACAUAAAUGGUAAUAAAGCCCAUUUUAAUUACAAUUCCUGCAGUUCAAGCAAAUAAAUUAUUCAAUUAAACCACUCUAUAUUAUGUACAAUUUAUUCAUAAGUAUUAUGAAUUUUAUAGUGCAUUCAUUAAACAAUAAUCAAAUUUAGGUGGAAACAUAAUGAAUUACAAUCAAAAUAGCUAGAAUCAAAAUGAGGAAUUAGAAUCAGAAUAAUUUAUUUACUUGAACUGCAGAAAUCGUAAUUAGAAUGAGCUGUAUUACCAUUUAUCUGUUUAUUUUGUCUUAGAAUCAAAAUCAGAAUGAGUUAAAUUGUAACAUUGCUAUAAAAUCAUUAAUUAAUUUUUAUCAUAAUUAUUAUUUUAUAUUUUAAUUAUUGUUAUUGUUAUUAUUAUUCAAAAAUUAAUUAUUAAUAAUAAUUAUCGUUAAUUAUUAUUAUUAAUUUAAUAAAAAAAUUAUUAUUAAUUAUUGUUAAUCGAUUAAUUAAUUAUAAUACUUUUUAUUCUUGUUAUUAAUAAUAACAAUAAUAAUCUAUUUAAAAAAUAUAAUUAUAUUUAUGAUUAUAAUAAAAUAAUAGUUAUUAAUUAAAUGGAGGUUAUUUUAAAAAUUUGAAAUUAUAGGGGGCGAAUUCGUACUCUAGGGUUUUAAUAAAAUAAAAUUGAGUGUAAUAGAUUAAACGAAAUUUUAUAAUUCAAAAAUUUCUAUAAUACUUAUAAAUAAAUUAUAAAUAAUAUAGAGUAUAGGAGGCUAGAUGAAGUUUUACAAGCUAGCCGUAAGUUACAUUAAAUGUAACUUAGGCAGGCCCCUAGCAAUCAUUAAUAUAUAAAACCUGCCAUUUCUCACUCAACCACUUUUCCACCAUUUGAUGCCAUACAGAUUUCUGAAGAUUUGUUGGGCGAUUAGAAUAAUGCUCCCUAUCUGUCUUAUAUCUUUUGAGGACUUCAUCUCUAAUACUCUUCAUAUAUAUAAUCUUUAAAUCUUUAUUUAACUUGAGAAGAAAAAUGCAGCGUUCAACUCCUCUUUAAGACCAUCAAAUGUGAACUUAUUUUUAAAUCAGUUAAACAAGCGAUCUAGUUCUAUUUAUGGGUACUCAAAAAAUGUAAUCUAAGGUCCAUUAAUUUAUAGAUUAAAGAGAUCACCUACUGUACGUAUAGCAUAAGGAGUAAUAAGCCUGAAAUAACAAUUUGAAAAUUGAACAUAAUUAAGAGAGUGCUUUGAUUACAUACAUGUGAUGAAAUACAGAAAGAGAUGAUAUUUACUAUUAAUUUAUAUAAUUAAUCAACUUGCAGCAUUGUGAAUUUCUUAUUUUAUGUAAAUAAAAUAUUUUGUAAACUUCAACGGGCCUACCUUCCCCAAUUUUACAUUUGCCUUUCCCUUUUCCUGUUUUUUGGAGGCAGUAAUACCUUGACCUAUAAAUCAACAUGCAUAUAUAAUGAAGAAUGGCUAGUUUGAAAUUAAUAAAUAGUAAAUUCAAUUAGCUAAAAAAUUACCAUUUGUGCUUGCAUGUUCAUCUGUGGGAACAUCUUGCAAUUGUAAAGUAUUCUGACAUCGUUGAGCUAAAUUAUUUCGGUUUUUAGAUGAACUAGAAUGAGUAGUGGGUUUCUUGUCAUGGUUGUGAGUAGAAAAGUAUAAAACAACAUUAGCUUUAGUUAACAGGUAAUAAAAAAAAACAAAUUGUAAAUUUAACUAGGAUUAAAAAAAUCGUUAUGAAAUAGAAACUAAAUUAAUUUCUCUGUUUGAAUUAUGGUCAUUAAAACAUAUCUCGUCAGCUGCUGGUACUUGAUGCCCCAAGAUGAUUUACUGACUAAUAUUAUGUUGUCAUAUCAUCAGUCAAUGACAUAUUAUCUUAGUCAAAGUCACAUCAUCAUUCAAAGUCACAUCAAUAUUUGUUCAAUCCCAUAAGAUACUGCCACGUCAGUCGAUCAGUGCCACAUCAUCUAGUCAAUGCCACGAUAUUUGGACCCCACUAAAAUUCUAAAAUUAUAAUUUUUCCCUUUAUGUUCUUCCUGAGUUUUUUAGCUAUUCUGAACUAAAACAUAAUAUCCAUUUUAUUGUCCAACUUCUCAUUAAUGGUGAAAUAACUAAAAUACCCUUAAAAUACAUAAAAUACUUAAAUUAUAACAAAACACACACAAUCAAAGUUUAAAAGACUUAAAUACAUAAAAAUAGAAAUGUUAUUGAAGCUUGGAGACGAUUUGAUCAUUUAUAAAUAUGCAUUCUCCAACACUCAACAAUAAUUCACCAAUCACAGCAUGAUAUGAUACACCAACCUCAAUACGGUUAUAGAAAGUGGAGAUUUGACAAGUUCUAUUAAAGAUUUGACGAGUUUUAUUUUUUCUUGCCAUCUCUAUUAAAAUCAAAUAAAAACAAAAUAUAAAGCAUAAAUAAAAUUAGAAUAUAAUGGAACAAAUUUUCAACAUUAUUACAUAAAUCAUGUGACAAAUAAAGUUUAAUUAUAUAAUUUUACCUUGUGAAAUAGAAAGUUGACCAACUGAUUUUUCCUUUAGAGCUUUUUAUAAAUACUUUUGUUUUUCUUAAAUUAAUAUGUAUACAAAAUAAAACAUUGAAAUUAAAAAUAUACUAAAAACUGAAUUUCAUUAAUUAAAGGCUUGAACACCACAACCUUGAUCAACAUACCUUUCAACUGCUGCUUAUAUAGAUGAUCAAACCCUUCUAUCUAUUAAACUUGCAUGGAACUGCUUUGUAUUGCUAUAAAGUGUUACAAUAUAUACAUGUUACAGCUAGCGUAAAUAAUGAAAGAGAUAAAUAAGUAAUACACUUCUUAACAUAAUGAACUACUGCACUUCUAAACAUAAUGACAUACUGCCAACUAAGAACGUGAAGAUCACGUUAAGCUAUUACGCCCCCGCAAGAGAGGUGUACCGUCGAGAACACCGAGUUUGGACCGUGCACGCUCAAGGGGAAGCCGGGGAAGCGGCUUGGUUAAGAUAUCAGCGAGCUAAUGCUCAGAAGGAACAUGAGCAACAGACAGCAAACCUUACGCAAUCUUAUCACGAACAAAAUAAAAGUCAACUUCCACAUGCUUCAUACGAGAGUGAUACAUAGGAUUUGUGCAAACAUGAGUGGCACCAAGAUUGUCACAGAGUAGCUUGGGCAUAUGAGUCUGAAUACCAAGUUCUGAGAACAAGUGUCGAAGCCAACAAAGCUCAGAAAUGGUAGCAGCAAUGGCAGGAAACUCGGCUUCAGUAGAGGAACGUGCCACAGACUUUUGCUUCUUCGAAGACCAGGAAAUGAGAUUGCCACCAAGGAAGAUAGCGUAAGCACUCGUAGAGCUGCGAUCAUCAAGAUUGCCCCCCCAGUCAGAAUCACUAUAAGCAGCAAGUGUAGAAGAUGAGGACUGACGAAGAAAAAGGCCAUGAAAAAUUGUAGCUUUCAAGUAACAGAGAAUGCGCUUGGCAGCCUGCCAAUGCAACUGAGAGGGACAUUGCAUGAACUGAGAUAGUUUGUUGACCGCAAAGCAGAUGUCAGGACAAGUGAGAGUGAGAUAUUGCAAGGCACCAAGAAGCUGACGAUAAGACGUACCAUCAGCAGAGACAGAACCAUCAGUUUGUUGAAGACCAACAGUGACAGACAGAGGAGUGGCAAUAGGUUUAGCAUCAGUCAUGCCAAACCGGUCCAAGAGAGAACGAACAUAGUGAUGCUGAGAGAUAAAUACACCAGACAGAGUGCGAAGCAACUCAAGCCCGAGAAAAUGAUGCAGAGAGCCAAGGUCCUUGAGAGCAAAAGUAGAAGCAAGACUAUGAAUGAAGUGUUGAAUAACCCGGCCAUGAGAACCAGUAAUAAUUAAGUCAUCCACAUAGACAAGAAAAUAAAUACGAUGACCAUCACGGUGAUAAAGAAAAAGAGAAGCAUCAAUCUUGCUUUGGCGGAAUCCAUAGGACAUCAAAAAUUUGUACAGAGUAGUAAACCAUGCACGAGGCGCCUGCUUAAGGCCAUAAAGAGAUUUGCAUAACCUGCAGACAAAAGAAGGCCGGUUAGAAUCAAUAAAACCAGGCGGCUGCAUCAUGUAAACCUCCUCGUCAAGAGAACCAUUUAGGAAGGCGUUAUUGAUAUCCAACUGACGAAUCGACCAACCAAAUUGCAAGGCUAAGCAAAGAAUAACACAAAUGGUAGAGGUCUUGACAACAGAGCUGAAAGUAUCAUGGUAGUCGAGACUAGGACGCUGAGUAAAGCCCUUAGCAACCAGCCGCGCUUUAUACCUGUCAACAGAACCAUCGGGGUGGCGUUUGACACGAAACACCCACUUAGAACCAACCAAAUUUUGAGAAGGUACAAGAGGAACAAGAUCCCAAGUAUGAUUAGAAAUAAGAGCAUUAUAUUCAGUACGCAUGGCCUGAAGCCAUUGCGGGUCGGCAAAGGCAGCCUUAAUACUAGUUGGUUCAACAGUGGAGGGCAGCGGAUGUUUGGAAAUAAUAGGAGCGAGGGUAGUGUGGUCAAGCCGUUUUGGUUUAUAAAUGUUAUUGCGUGACCGAGUUAUCAUUGGAUGGGUUCGGGUCGGCAGUGAAGGUGGAGGUGGAGGUGUUGGUGGUGACAGUGAUGGGGUUGUUGGUGACGACGGGGAAGUAGACGGGGCCGGUGAUGAAAGAUUGGAGAUGAGAGAAUAGGGAGUUAGUACUGGUGCAUGGACAUGGGGAGGUAAAGAGUCAUAAGUAUGAGGGUUAUGAAUAAUACCCAAAGUAGAGGCGGAAGAGGCCGGUGAAGAAUCGGAGCUACUAGGAAGCGAAUCCGAAGUUGCAAGACGGGAACCACUAGGAGAAGAGGAGUGAGCCGACAGAACCGGGACCUAAAAAAUGGAUGGAAACUAGGAGGUGAGUGAAACAGAGGACGGAGAGGCAGUAGAUGCGAGGGACUGAUAGGGGAACUGAGACUCAAUAAAUUGAACAUCACGGGAAACAUAAAUCUUACCAGACUGAACAUCUAAACACUUGUAUGCACUUUGUUGUGGGCAAUAACCGAGAAACACACAAGGCUUGGACCUAGGCUCUAGUUUGUUGCGUGUAUAUGGGCGUAACCACGGGAAACAGAGACACCCAAAUACACGUAGAUUGGCAUAAUUAGGAUGGGCAUCAAAUAAGAGCUGGAAAGGACAGGUUAUGGAUGUAGUUUUGGAUGGUAGACGAUUAAUUAAGUAGGUGGCGGUUUGAAACGCAAACGUCCAAAAGCUAGGAGGUAGCGAGGCUUGAUGAAGUAACGCCAACCCCGUCUCAACAAUAUGUCGAUGACGAUGUUCAGCGACUCCAUUAUGUUGUGGUGUGUAGGGUGGUGUAAGCAGGUGAUUAAUGCCCGUCUGUUGAAAAAAUGAGGUGAGUUUAAGGAACUCACCACCACCGUCGGUGUAAAUAUUACGAAUAGUAGUACGAAAAUAAUUUUCAACAAGUAUUUUAAAACGAACAAAUGUAGAGAAAACAUCAAAUUUUAGCCGUAAUGGAAAAAACCAGACAUACUUAGUAAAAUGAUCAACGAAAAUCACGUAGUACUCAUAAUUAUCAAAGGAAGUAACAGGAACAUCAAUCAAAGUAAUUUCAUCAGAAAUAGAACGUAAGUUAUUUAAAUAUUCGGCAAUAGGUUGUCCAUCACAACGAGGUCGUGCAAGUCGUUCUCUAAGAGAGAUAACACGACUACGGCUAUGAUUGGAGUAUAGCCGUGCAAGCUUAUCCCACGCUUGCUUGGAUGUUGUGGAACUAGCUAUAAGUGGGGUAACUCUUUCGGUGCAGGAGGCUAGGAUGGAGUGAAAGAUCAACUGAUCUUGGCGUUUCCAUAAGGUAUAGGCUGUGUUGAUGGUAAGCGGAUCAUUACUGCUGCCAGUUUGAUACUGAGAAGGGCACUCAGAUGUGCCAUCAAUGUAACUUGUCAGAUUGUAGCCAAAAGCUAAAGAGAGGAAUUGCGCUCUCCAUGUAAAAUAAUUUUCGGGUGUAAGCCGUAUAGGCAAUUGGGCAGCGGCGUUGAUUGAAACACAAUCAUUGGCUUGGUUAUUUGAUGAGUGGGGACUUUGGCUGGCUGGUGAGAUAGAGGAGAUGGCUGAAGGUUCAGUGGCCAUGGUGAGAGAAAAGCAAAAGGAUCGAUUUACUCUUGUUAGAGAGAGAGAGAGAGAGCUUUGAUACCAUAUUAAACUUGCAUGGAACUGCUUUGUAUUGCUAUAGAGUGUUACAAUAUCUACACGUUACAGCUAGCGUAAAUAAUGAAAGAGAAAAUAAGUAAUACACUUCUUAACAUAAUGAACUACUGCACUUCUAAACAUAAUGAAAUACUGCCAACUAAGAACGUGAAGAUCACGUUAAGCUAUUACUCUCAUCUUUGGUACUCUUCGUAUUUGAUCACCACUUGAUGGUCUACAAGUCUUUUUUGAAUCGAUUGAUGCAUUAACCUGAUCUUUGUUUUUCUUAGCCAUGAUUGUUCAAUCAAAAUAUAUAAUUAAUUAAUAACAUGUUAGUACAUAAGAAAACCCAACAAUAGCAAUAUAAUUUACGACCACGAGUUGAAGUAAUUUACAUGAAUCAAUUUUGAAUAAGGCAACAACCUAAAAAGGAAAAAAAAAACCACAAAUAAUAACAUGACUGAACUAACACUGAAAGCAAUAAUAUAACCAUAUGGAAUUAUUAUAAAAUUCAAUUAAAAAAUGAAAAAGAAUAAUUAAUAAGUAAAUUCCAACGAAUGUUAUCUUCUUCAUGCAUUUUCGUUGAAUAAUCAUGAAUUAAAUGAGUCUCUUCCUGGAAUGGCUCUUGUUGAUCCACUGGAAUGUUAUAUAGAUUUCAAGACUUUGUUUUUACUAUAACACUUCAUAUAGUAUCUUUCAAUCCUCUUAUAUAAUAUGCUUGAGUUGCUUGGGAUGCUAACACAAAUGGCUUUGUAGUAUUUAAUUUUCGCUUUUUAUUACUAAUAAAUAUUCCAUGAAAAUCUCUUUUGUAACCUAUUCCUUUUCCAGCUAUGUCGUACCAAUCACAAUUGAACAAAACAACUUUGUUCCCUUCUGUAUAAUAACUCAAUAAUUUCUUUCAAUGUUCUAUAGUAUGAAACUCCACCAUCCUACACCACUACAAAAUUGGGUUUUUUUUUUUGACAGAAUAAUUUUGUUACAAAUCAUGAUACUGACAUAAUUUUAUUAUGUCAAAAAAAAGUCUUUGUAAGAAUAUAGUGACAGAAAAUUCAAUAAUUAGUGAUAAAAUAUCUCUCUCAAGGAAUUGUGUUACAAUUCUUUACUUUCAUGGAAUCUGAUGUGGCAAAUGUCGAGGCAUCUCAUUUUGCAAACAUGGCAUUUGACAUGGCAAAUAAAUUUUAUGCUUAUAUAACAUCAUAAUUCUGUCACAAAUUAAUGAUAGAUGUUUAUCUUGUGGCAUUUUAUGCUGAUUGAUUUUUUUGUGCUUAAUUUAUUUCAACUAUACUGUUAUUAAAUGUUGCUAAUACAUAAAAAAUUACAUUCAUAUUGUUGCAAGUUUACAUAAAGAAAAUUUCUUUUUUCCGGAACCAUAAAUCAUUCGAGAUUACAAUCCUCUCCUUACACCAAUUACAUCAUUUUAAGAGGAACAGUUACAUUUGCUCAAAUUGAAUCUAAAGCCGUGCUCAAUAAUCUCAGCAGCUCACAUAAUCAGCGACAAUGCUUGAACCUGAAGGCAUAACCAAAAUCUUAGCAAGUUGAAUCUGCAGGCAUGACAGAAAAUUGCAUCAAAACUACUCCAAUAUCUUAGCAAGUAAGUCUAAUGCCACACGUCCUUUAAAGCUAGAUAUUGAAUAGUAUUUAGGCCAAUUAACCUAUUCUAAUUUCAUCACGAGAAUUAUUACUAUUUAAUACUCAACAAAUUUUUUAUUGUAUUUCGUUAACACUUUAUGUGCAUUGCUGCUUUGAGAUGAAAUUACAACAUAUAUAUUUUUGUAAUACUUAAAAACAUUUUUAUUUGGGUAGUAAAUUGUUAAACUGACUCAAAAAUUAGCUAACAAUAUAAGUUGCUUUGAGAUGAAGUAUCAUAAUUUCACUCUUCGGACAUCAAUUACUUUUAAAUUAUCAUAUGCUCUAAUUUGAAGAUUGUAUCAGAACACUCUUAAUCAUUUGUUUUAUUCUUUAUCAAAAACUGCAUCUUGAAACAAAAUUAAAAAAUAUUGUCAAAUUGAUGCUACAUGUUAAAAAAAAUCUAUUGAAAAUAACACAUGGCGUUAUAACAAACGACUGGGGUACAAAUUUUAAAUGUUACUUAAAUUUUAACAAUUCUUAAAUCUUCAUGCUCGUUACAGUCUAGGCUAAUUAAACAAUCACAAUAAGAAAUAUGUCAAAAAUUGCAACAAAAAUAUUGUAAUACAGUCAAUAUCGAAGACAAUUAUGCAAACAAGCCAGUACUAUAAGAAAACAGGUAAUAGAUGACGGGAAAUAACUGUCAUAAAAGAGGGUACAUGACAGACAAUUCAUCCGUCAUCUAUGUUACUGUCAUUAAUUUAUGACAGAAUAUUUUCCGUCAUAAAUUCAUAAUAGUAUUUUACCAUCAUAUAUCUGUCACACAAUAUUUUAAUGUGAAAAAAUAAUUAAAUUUGAAUUUAUUAUUAGUGGGAAAUUAAAUUUAUUAUUGGCGGAAAUUUUACCGCCAUUUUUUAAUUUUUAACGGGAAAUUAAAUUGUCAUUUGUAAAUUUAUUAUUAAAUUUUGGUAGAAAAUGUUUUAUGACAAAUGUUAUGAUGGGUAUUUCCCGUCAUAAAGUUGAUUUUUUAAAAAAAAAUUAUAUGAUUAUAAUUUAUUUGUGAAUUCUUGAUUACAAAUUUAAUUAAUUAAUAAAAAUGAAUAUCGUCAAAAAAAACUAAAAGCAAUUAAUAUUAAUUAACCUCCAUUCAAUCCAACAAAUUAAUUUUGAAAACAAAUACAUCUAGUAUUCAAUGUCAUCACCGCCAAUACAUAAUAAAACAUCACAAAUAAAAAAGAAAAAAUUCCAAAAUAUAAACAAUACUUAAAUCCCAAUUAAACCCCAAGAAAAGCAAUUCAAAUUCUAGCCACCGAGCCAAGUUACCCAACAAAACUUCCAAAAAUUAAUGAAAAUAUUCCAACAGCAAGACUUCUAGCAAGACUCCAGCAAAACUUCCAGCACCAAUACCAUCUUCCAAUAGCAAUCUAAUUCCAGCAUCAAACAAGGUAAAAGUCACAGAUGAAACUUGUAUCAGCAAAAUCGUCCACAUUAAUAAAGAGUAGCUGCUGUAAAAGAGCCGCAUUACGGUCUGUCAACUUAGCAAUAAUGGUAGAAGUAAUUCCAGCAUGUAUUUUCUAUCCAGCAGGGCCAAAUCCUCAUCCUUAAGGGCUAAGAUAUCGAAUGAGAUAAUAAAUAAGUAAAAGGUAAAUACGAGGGAUGCUAAAACAAAAGUAAACCUAAAACUGCAGGGAGAAAUAACCUCUUUUCCCACUACUAAGAGUAGUAUAAGAUGUAACUGCAAUUGAUGCUGCAGGCAUUAUUUGUCUUUUAGAUUACACAUGUGAUGAUCAUGCUUCAUCCCUUUCCUUUUUAGUCUAGUAAUUACACGACAAGCAACAUCAUGUUGAGGACAAAUCAAUAUGCUAAGGUCAGUGAGCUGCUCAAGUAAUGAUUUAAUUACAAUUUGUACUAUGGUCAAAGAGAAGAAGACAUAAAAUGUAAAUGUGUAUUUCUUUAGAGGAAGAAAAAACGAAAUUUGCUAAGGCUCAAUGCGUAUUUUCUGGAUAAAUACAUUUUAUAGAGAUAACAACAAACCUGUAAACUAAUUAUCUAUAAAAUCAAAUUAUUUAGCAGCAACCUCAUAUUUCCAUUAACUUCAGCUAGCACAAUACAGUAUGUAUACAUACUGGAUAUUCACUGACUCACCUAAAGCAACAUGAGAAAGUUGGACACGAGGAUCAUCCGCAAGUGAUUUGUUAAGGUCCAAUAUUGCUUGCCUGCUGCUGCCUCUAAAAUGGUCCGGAACCCGCUCUUCAGGCAUUGCAACUGUUCCCCCCCAGAGUGUGUUGUCAUAGACAGCUAUACCGCCCACUUUCAACAACUUCAUCAACCUCUCAUGGUAGUUACAGUAGUUGUCCUUGUCGUCAUCCACAAAAGCAUAGUCAAAACUGACUUCAUUUUCACUCUGCAGCAGAUUCCAUAAAGGAUAUUUGUUCAAAAACAAAAGUCAAUUGAAUGGAAGAGUAACAGAGGGAACAAAUGUACGUAUUUUAGAGUAUUAAAUCUUUAUAUCUUUUAGUAGCUAAUCAAGAACUGAUAGUGCCUCGGACUCAAUGAAGUUUAUCUUGUGAUCAACUCCAGCCUUUUUAAUGAUAGGUAAUCAUAUUUCAUAUGUCUCACGAUUCACAUCAAUUGCUGUAAUCUGCAGUAUUUUGUUUCCAGUCAUAAAUAGCUUAGUAGGCAAGUGCAUGAUAUGAUAAUAAGAUGUUAACAAAAUUUAACCAAAGCAAUAACAUAUUGCAGGAACACUGCAUUAAUAAAUUCAAUUCUACAGCAUCACAUAUGACAAUGGACUAUUUACCUGACCAUCCUCUGGAAUUGUGAGUGCAGUGAGAAGAAGAGAAUAUCCAGUGAAAACUCCAAUUUCAAUAGUUUUCUUUAAUUUCAACCUCAGAUUUUCAUUAAUUUUUUAUCCUUUUAUUUUCUUUUUUAGAAUGAAACACAAAAUUAAAAAUAGAGAUGAAUAUAUAGCUACACUAAUGAAAUCAAAACUAUUGAUUCAAAACUCAAACAUAAUAAAAAGGAAAUAAAAAAGUGAAGAAAUGUUACCUAGGCUCAAAACUGUAGCUCCUGUUCCAGCCACCACACAAUAGCCACUGCCGCCACUGCUUUUAAUCUUUUAUGUCGAUCUCCACCACCAUCAGAACCAUAAAGACCCGCCCAUCAAAUCACAGCCGUAAAUACCACCGAUUUGCUGCAAGAAUCAGCAAACACGACUACCAAACAGCAGCGAAACCUCCACCAUCGUUCACUAUCUUCCAGCGCGAUUCACCAGCCACCACCAACAACACAUUACUCAUCAUUAGCUGUAUCUAUCUGGUUACCUCCAUCUUCCAGCCCCUUCCCCUUUCUCUGGAAUUGAAGCCAAAAAUCAACACCGCCUCUUUCAUAAUUUUCGAUCAAAUGCUCGCGAAUCGAAGAGAACCUCUAGCAGGAUGUCGACUUGUGGCCUAUGGGUGGGAUUCGAAGGUCGACUCUUUUACUUGGGUUAAUUGGUUGUGAAUGUAUAUAGACUGCUAAGCAGCAAUUAUUAAUCAAGGUUUUCAAUUAUAAUCACAUACAAAGAAAUGGUCGUCAACGCAUAAAUAUAAACAAAAUGAAAGGGAAGAAGCAUACGAACAACUGGGAUAAACAGAAAAGCAUGCAAAUAAUGUAGCAUCAGUAACUUCUGGGCUAAAAAAAAAAUAUUGAAAUGACCUACAUGUAAUUAAUCAUGGUUCAUACUGUCAUACACAAUCCAAUCCAACAAUUUCCAGUACACUAUAAAUUUCAGAUAUGGCAUCACAAACACAAACACCAACCAACCUGAUGUAUCUUCCUCUGACCAUUGGCAUAUGCCCAAUUAACUUUGAUAGGCUGCCCAAUUAACACACUCAGUUGUUAAAAGUGGCAAGGUAAGAAAAUAGACAUCACAAAAAAAAAAAAGGUACUAGUAGUUUCUACAACUCAAUGCAAUCAGCAUUUUUAAAUGCUUUUCAUCAGAUUUAAAAGGUAAAAAAAAAAAAAAAAACACACACACACACACACACAAAUCAAUGGAAACAAGGAUAAGGGUGAUAGUUGCAUAAGCAAGCAAGAAACAGCAAAACAAAAAAUGAAAAAAAAAAAGAAGGAAAAAAACAAGAGAAACAAAAAUAAGAAGAAAAAUGUCUAGGAAAACACUUACACACUGCAGCAAGUAUUUGGAUCAAAACCAGGAGGUAGAUUUCCACUUGGGAUUGGUUCAAUUUGCAAAAUAAAAAAGUGAAAACGAAAAGAAAAUAAAAGGAAAAAGAAAAGACUAAAUAAAGAAGAAUCUUUCCUAAAAUUUCAAUAUCUAGAGUACUCCAAUUCUUAAAGACCAAAAAAAAAAAAAGUAUCAGAAGGUACUUAUAACUCAACCUAGUAUAUACAAACAAGAAGACAAUACUUAGGAAUAUUGAACUGCUUCAGAAUUCUAGGGAUAUUGACCAACAUGGUAAGAAACAAGCCGCUGAUGGACACAAUUCUAGGAAUAUUGAACUGUCAAAUUAGGAAUAUUAAUAAGACAUAUUAGUUUGUAGCAUUAAAUUAGGAAAACGUUUAUAGCAGGCUGCUGAAAAUUCAGAUUAUUGAUUAAUUGAUGGCAAUCUAGAAGUUAAACAUGAAAUGUUUAUAUCAAUUUUUCAAAUUCUAAAAAAAAUAUUGGAGUUGCAAGAACCUUUUUCACUUGCAAAAACUGUAAAGUUUAGCAUUUCCCACUAAAGGAGUGACAUAACCAGAUAUCGUUCAUGAAGUCAUACAUAUCGAGCAUUAAGCUUUAACACCAUUCUGCAAGAGAGAACCAAUAUGCAUCACUGCCAUCAUAUCUGUCAAGGGGCAAAUUUCCUGUAAAAAGAAGCAUAUAAGAAUGUUUCAUAUAAAAAUGCAGCAAGAAUUUAUUACUUAACAAAUGGUAAACAAACUAAUAGAAUACAGGAAAAUUGUUUAACUCUUGUAAUUGUUUCAACAUACCUCAUUCACGUAAUUAGCUCCUAGCAAAUUUAUAAUUCAUUAUCAAAAACAAAUUUCACUUUAAUCUUUUAGUGUUUCAAAUUAAAAAAAAAAAUAUAAACUACACUUGUUCAUUCCAAUCAAACUAUUCAUACCAUUCCUAAAUCUCUAAAAGAUUUAAUUCAACAGAAAAUUAAUCAUUGUAAAAAACCCAUUUAACCUAAUCUAAUAAAAUCCCAAAAAUAAGAUAACACAAUUUCAAAAUUUAAUUAGUUAAUUCACAUGAAUUGCAAACAGAGAAAACUCACCUCUAAUAGAAGAUCAAAGUUAUGCAAAAGAAAAAUAGAGAUAAAUUAAUAUGUAUUAAUCAACCAAUUAAUCUACGUUUUGGUCUCUAAGAACACAACAAGAAAAAAAUUAAAGCUAGGGUUAGGGUUAAUCACCUGUUUUAGAAUUACUCAAUGGUUGUUGUUUCAAAAGGAAGUUAGGGUUUCCCCAGCACGACGACAAAUGAUUAAUUUCUCGGCCAUAGUUUCUCCGACGAGGUGACACGAUGGGUUUUGAGGAGCUAAAUGAUUGAUUUUCGAAAUCAAAGAAUCACAAUGAAAGUCACCAGUGACCAUGGCACUAAGCGGCGGAGAUGGGUGAGCAUGACGGCUAGGGUUUUCGUUGAGCAGCAGCAAAAAGGGAUUUCGUUGGAUGCAGUAAGGGUUUUCUUCCACAAGUUUGAGAGGUUGAGAGUAUCGGUUGGGGGGUUUUAACACUUAGAAAAAUUUGUUGCUUUUUUUUUCGAGUUAGUGUUUUAUAAAAGUGGUAAAACAGUAAGUUUUGCUUUUGGUUUUAAAUAAAAUAAUACAUUAAAUUUGGGUCAAACACGGUCAAAAUAAUUUUUCUAUCACAAUAUCUUGAUAGAUCAAAUUUCUAUCACGAUUCUAUCAUAAAUUCGUGAUAAAUAAUAAUUUUAUCACAAAACCAUCAUAAAUCCGUGAUAGAAAAUAAUUUUAUCACAAAGUCAUCAUUAAUUCAUGAUAGAUUAAAAAUUAUGUCAUAAGUCUAUUAUAAUUUUAUGAUAUACUCAGAAUCUGUUAUAAGUUGUUUGUCAUCUAUUAGCAGUUUUCUUAUAGUGACUAUUCAUAUACCAUAAUUUUUAAUAAAAGUGAACAAAGACCUUAAAUUAUAUAGUAAAAAGUGUGAAUAAAUUCAUAAUAAAGGAAGAACAAGGUAAAGUAAUGUCAAAAGCUAGCUCACAUGAGAAACCAAUGAUGAAAGCCAGGCAAGAGGAACAAGACAAUCUUGAGAUGAAAUUAGCUCUUGAGCAAUCUGGCCCUUUGCUGAAAUUAUACAAAAAAAAAAUAUUGUUUUAACGUUAUUUCAGAGACAAAAAAAAAAAAAAACUGGAGAGAAGAAUUAAAAGCCCAUACCCAAAACUAUUAAAUUACCUCUUUGAAUUUCAGUUGUUUCGUUUUUGAAGAUGAUUGCUCAGCAAGUGAUGAAAGCAAACGGCUUAUUCGAUCUUUCCUUUUGGUUUCUUUAUCUAAAUGACCUUAAGCCUUUUUUUUUAAUUGCUUUACCUCGAUAACUGAAUAUGUUUAGUUCUCUUUUUGCUGAAGUGAAGUUUGUGAUGUUGUACUUUGGCUCUAGAUUCUUAUAAUUGUGUAUUAAAGAUUUGAUAGGAAAUUGGAACGUAUGCAAGAGUUUGGUACCAUGCCUUUUUCUUUUUGUGUCUUAAGGAUACUUAUUUAAUUCAUUAGUGAUAGCCUAAGAAUACUUAAGAGAAAAAGGAUUAAUAUCAAUUCUAAGCUUUUUAGGAUCUUUGGUGAUUACUGUUAAGUGUGUUGGUACUGUUUAUUGGCAUGUUAUUGCUUUUUGUAAUUUCUAGACAAUGUUGAGUGAUUGGUUACAAAUUAUUGUUUUAGUUUUGAAGUUUGUAAUAUAUACUAACUUGUUUGUAAUUAGAUUUGAUGUUGGAUGUGAUGAGUACACUAUUGAUGAUCUUUUGUAACUUUUUGAUGAGUGGGCCAUAUGCUGCCAAGUUAUUUGUAGCAUGCAAUAAUAAUGUAAUAUAUGAUUAUAUUUUUGCUUGUAAACGUCCAAGACUUAAUUUGUGUAGCAUACUAAUUAAUUCUAUAUGUUACACCUAUAGGUGGGAAAACAAUGAAGUUCAAGGUGUAGAGGCAAUGACGAGAAUUUUGUUGCAAAAUAAAUACUUGCAUUUUUUUUUUUCAAUCUGAAUAUCUACAUCUGUGCAUUUCAAACUAUAUUUGAGAUAUUAUGAAUUUGUAUGUUUCUUUUAUAACUUGUUUUAAUUUGUAUUUGGUAUAAUUGUAAUAUAUAUUAAUAAUAUUUGAAUAUGAAAUGAAAUAUUCUGUAAUAUAAAUCGUUUUUUUUCGUUAUUUUAUGGUGCUUUUUAAUUUUACCAGUAAAUCAAUAAGUAAUGAGCCAAGUCACAUUUUUAUUUUUUAAAUAAAUUAAAUAGUGAUACCAUGGUAACAAUAAUCAUAGACACUAAUAUAAUAUCAAUAACUACUAACACUAUGGUGUCAUAUAUUGUUAAUACUGUAGUGAUAGUAAUCAUUGAGACCAUGUUCGUGACACUAUAAACAAGUAUCACUAUUUUUCUAAUUCUCAUAUUGUUGAUAUAAUUAAUAAGUCUCAGUGAAAAUAAUUACCGAUACUAUUCUAAUGUCAAUAAAGACUAUUCUUUUGGUAGUGUGAGGUAUAUCAACUGAUGAUUAACCUCCAUCAUAAUUCUGCUCAACUCUAUUAAAUUUAGUUUCAACCUUAGUCAAACAGCCUGAACAAAAGGUGAAACAUUCAUCUACCAAAUAAGCCUUUGCAAUGGACCCCUCUGGUCGAGAUUUAUUAUGUACAUAUUUUUUUAACUUGUACAAAUUUCUAUAAAAAAAGGAAUUGCAUAAUUAUUAAAUUGCAAUAUAAGGUUAUCUAUUAACAUGUAGCUAAAUAAAAAACAAUAAAUUUACCUUUCAGAUAUAUCCAGCUGUAUUGCGCUGGACCAGUCACUUUAGCUUCCCACGCCAAGUGAAUUGGAAGGUGCACCAUUUAGCAAUAUCCCUAAUGCUUAGCCACACCUCACUUAGGGAAAAUUUUUUUGCAAGUUCAUCAAAAUUAUCCCCUCACGUACCAUCUGAUUAAUGUUUUCCAAAUUAUCACUUAUAUACAUGUCCCCGGAUGCCAUUUCUGCAGUUAUAACCACAGCCCGCAGACGUUUGCAAAGCACACUAGCAGUAAUAGCACUAAAUAGCCACGAACCAUCUUCAUUUUAUUGAGGUGUUAUUAUUUUUUUUUCGCUUGAUUUGAUUUUAACUAAGCCCAAAAAUUUGUAUUUUGCCUUUUUGAUGAGGAGAUCAUAUUAUUACCAUCGUCAAUAAUAGAUUUAUGACUAUUUUUGGGGCAAAUUGGAGGAAAUGGAAUUCGGGGAUAUAAAUGACCUUUUCACAGACAAGAAGGAAAUGAGUAAUGUAUUAACAAAACUUGCUCCUGAAGUAAUAUUUUGUCAAACGUCAGGGACAUCGCCAAAAUCUUCCCUUAGUGAGUUCCAAGUCUAUACUAUAUAUCUAUAUAUAUGCAUAUAUAAAUAUACACUCCCUCAAGUUGUUCUCUUCUCCAUCAUCUCCACAUACACAAAACUAUCUUUAUAUUAUUAAUUCAAUCAAAUUCAUAUAUUACUCCUUUCAAAAUUAAGUAUUCAGUUAAUCACAUCAUCAUCACAUUAUUCACGUCCAAGCUCUUAAUCAAUAAUUAGGUCGUGCUUUUUUCGUUCACAACUGUAUAUGUUAAUUGAUUAACUCUAAUGACAAACUUAAUGCAUGUGAUGGAUUGAAACUUGAAAGGGAAUAAGCACACGUACGCAAAGCAAAGAAUCGAUGUACUUGACAAAGAGAAGUUUUAUUGUAAGUACACUGUUUUUGAAGAGGACAAUAUGUUGAAUAUACUUGAAUCCAUUGUGUAUGAAAUUAAGUUUGAGGCUUCCGGCGAUGGCGGAUCGAAUUGCAAAACUGCUACUGAAUUCCAUAUAAAGGGCGAUGGAGAGAGUAAAUUGGAAGAGGAACUCAAGGGCUCCGUAGAGAUAGGAACGGCAUUGUUCAAGGCUGUGGAAGCACAUCUCUUGGCAAAUCCCGAUCUCUAUGCUUGAAUCAUUUUCCAAUUCCAAGUGGGCUUCUAAUAAAUAAGAAUUAAAUAAUCUGAACUUUGUUUGCUUAUCUAUGGUUUUAAACCUUGAUUAAUGUACUAGAUAUAAUAACAUCAAUAAAUUAUGAAGCGUGUGUGAAAGUCCACAAACUCGCCCAUUGAAUAUUACAGUUUAAUUACUUUAAUGCACAUCAAAUUCAGGAAUGUCUGUCAUUAGUCUAAUUUCAAAUUAAUUAUAUACAUCACAUGAUCACAAUUUUCUUUUUUUUUCCCCCCCAAUCUUAGAAAACAAUGUCGAAAGAAUCUGUUUAAAACAAGGGAGUGUGAUCUUUGAUUUGCACUUGGUGAAAAAAGAGCAAAAUUAUUAAGCCUCAAUUUCCUAGUGUGACUUCCCUUAUGAAAUAGAAAUUUUAAUGGUGAAAUUUAGUAAAAACGACUUCUGAAAUAAUAAAGUUAAUUAAUAUAGUUUAAUCAUCACAUAACUCUCAAAGACCUAGAGGUGAGCCGCUUGUGCCAGACUAUAAUACUAGAUAAAGUCUCACAGGCGUCCAGGAGACGAACAAUAAUUAAUACAACAAAAUGGAUCAUCAAAGUAAGGAGCUGUUUGGAAGUGCUACAUUGUGUGACACCCAAGCAACUGCGUAGCCGCAGAAGAAGAAAUUCUACCAUAUUUCUUUUUGCGGCAGUUGCUACAGUGCAUCACUCCUAAACGAAGCCCGAGAUCCGGCUCCAAAAAUAUAAGUUGAAGGAUCACGUGGACGAAUCAGAUUUUCUCAUGAAUUAUACGACUUUGUUCUCAAAUUUUAUUCUCUAUAGCUUCUUUCGCUAAGAAAAAUUAAAGGAAAAUUUGGAAAGUGGUAUAGUCAACAAGGGAAGGCUUUAAUUUGAAUGUAACGAUGAGAAAAUAUUUUAAAUGACAAGAUAGACACUUACCACAAGAUUGUUGGUGUACUUUCGGAUAUGGAGGCAAAUAACAACAACAUAAUUUGAUAGGAUUUGAGACGUGUAUGCACACUUUCCUUUAAGGUUUUAUUUGCCCUCACCACUCUUGGUUUGCUAUAGAGUUUAAUGGCAAAUUACCCCCAAAAUAUAACAAAUCCUGAAUACAAUCUCUAGCAAAUAAGAUUGUAUUCCAGAACAAAAAAGAAAUAUGUAAAAAUAUGAUAUUAAACUAAUGUGUGUGUCUAUUUUAAUGAAGAAGAUGUUUAUUUGAAACAAUACAACCAUUAGAAAUGGUACUUCUUCAAAGACACUCUUUUGGUUUGAAAUUUGCAUCUAUUCACAAUUAAAAUUUUCAAGCCUGCUAACUGUUUUUCCAGUUGAUGUGAAAUCACGCCCUCUGGAAGAAAACGGUUAGCCAUUUUCUCAAUAACGGUGAACCGUUUUAUUCUAGAAUGUAAAAAUAAGUUGCUCUCUGGAAAUAAACGGUUAGCCGUUUUCUCCAAACGGUUAGCCUUUUUUUUUAGAACAGAAAAUAUGCUCUCUGGAAUUAAACGGUUAGCCGUUUUCACCAAAACGGCAAAUUGUUUUCUGUAAAACAUAAAACAUACUCUUUGGAAUUAAACAGUUAGUUGUUUUAUCCAAAAACAGUAAGCCGUUUUAUUCCAGAAUAUCAAACCAAAAUUGAAAAAUGUUACAAUCCCCCACUAGAUUGUAAUAUUUUUCAGAUUUAUUAAUGAUAAACUUAUACAUACAAAAAGGUAUCUUUCGAUUUUAACCUUUAAUUAGUGAGUGUAUUUCAAAGUAUUUACAAGACAAUAGUGUGCUAAGCAUUAAACUUUGUCUCUUAAGUAAAUACCGGAGAUACAUCACAUAUAAGCUAUCCCAUAUUUCAAAGUUAUGUUCCAAUAUUUAGCACUAUUUUGGCCUUGUGCUCUAUCUUGGAUUCAUGAACAUUUACAAGAUUAAACCAUGAUCUUGUUAGAAAUGACACCAUUUCUUAUGUUCACUUAGGUAAAGUUUCAAAUCAUGUCUUUAGCUACUAUAAGACUUGAACUUCAUUAAAAGUAGAUACCCAACCUCAACCUCGUAGCUAUUUGCACCGAAUAUCUCGAAUGAGAUUAUUUAUUGUUCGGUGCCAAACCAAACACAUAACAACAACUUGUUAUUACCCAUUUAACUAUGGAAUAGUGGUAUAACUAUUACAUAGUUGAGUUACCGUCGUCGGUGACUUUAUUAAUGAAAAGUUUCAAUCCCAUUCUAAAAUAUGUAUCCUUAACUAAGUCUCUUGAAAGAUCUUUUGUUAAAGGAUCCGCUAGAUUCUUAUUAGUCCUAACAUAAAAAAUAUUAAUAACACUAUCUACUAUUAAUUGUUUCACAUAUUCAUGUCUCAAGCUAAUAUGUCUAGACUUUCCAUUAUAUACUUUAUUACAAGCUCUAGACAAUGUAGCUUCACUAUCGUAGUACAAAGAAAUAGAUGGCAUCGGUUGUGGCCACAACAUUAUAUCAAACAACAAAUUUCUUAGCCAUUCAGCUUCCUUACCUGCAGUUGCAAGUGCUAUAAACUCAGCUGCAAAUUUCCUAGUGUGACUUCCCUUAUGAAAUAGAAAUUUUAAUGGUGAAAUUUAGUAAAAAUGACUUCUAAAAUAAUAAAGUCAAUUAAUAUAGUUUAAUCAUCACAUAACUCUCAAAGACCUAGAGGUGAGCCACUUGUGCCAGACUAUAAUACUAAAUAAAGUCUCACAGGCAUCCAGGAGACAAACAAUAAUUAAUACAACAAAAUGGAUCAUCAAAGCAAGGAACUGUUUGGAAGUGCUACAUUGUGUGACAGCCAAGCAACUGCGCAGCUGCAGAAUAAGAAAUUCUACCAUAUUUCUUUUAGCGGCAGUUGCUACAGUGCAUCACUCCUAAACGAAGCCCGAGAUCCGGCUCCAAAAAUAUAAGUUGUAGGAUCACGUGGACGAAUCAGAUUUUCUCAUGAAUUAUACGACUUUGUUCUCAAAUUUUAUCCUCUACAGCUUCUUUCGCUAAGAAAAAUUAAAGGAAAAUUUGGAAAGUGGUACAGUCAACAAGGGAAGGCUUUAAUUUAAAUGUAACGAUGAGAAAAUAUUUUAAAUGACAAGAUAGACCCUUACCACAAGAUAACCUCCAUAAAAUCUUUAAUGAUCAGUUACCCUUGAUUAUAAUUUAACCCCAAUUGGUUGUUAUUAUUUAAAACAUAAUGCCCCAAGAUUAAAAUAAUGGUCCGACGAUAGCUUCACGCAAUAGACAAGUAUUUUGAAUUAAAUACUGGUUUGGAUCUUAUAUCCGAACGAGUAAUAUGAAAGCAUGCAGACACUUGGAUGUGGUGGUGUUGAGCUGCAUUUGGCAAAAUGAUACUAUAUGUUUGGUAGAGCAAUUUAAUCAGACCCAUGCAUGAUUCCCUUAUUCAUUGCACAAAUUGAGGCUCCCUCCACAAAGGCUCAAACAAUAAGAGAAAUUUUAUCAAAAGCUCUCGCUUUUUUUCUUUUGGGCAUUCAUUUGUGUGUACAACUAUAUUUAUCUUGCGGGUGCCGCCCGGAACAUGAAGUCAUGCACUCAAAGACAAUUAUCGGUUUUAGUUGUCUAAAAAAUUGAAGUUUUCUGCUAAUAUUGUAAUGAUUUGAGCCACGUGUAUAAUUUUCCAUUUACUGACCCUAACUCAUAUGCUGAUAGCAUUUGCUUGGUUAACAAAAAAUCUGAAUGGAUCUGAAUGUUACAGAAAUCUAAAUCCAUAUGUUUGAAUGAUAUAUUUGUCUUUCAUUCUUUUAUUUAUGAGUAUAAGUGGUAAGUUAUUUGUUUUUAUAAAUUCAAAACAUUUUAAAUAUAGUUUUUUAACACUUAUGUCCUCAAAAGUGUUAUAUAUAUCUAGAAGUUUAAAUAGGUAUACAUUCAUGAUGUUAUCUAGUAUAAUACUAUUUAUAUGUUAUAAAAAUAUAGAAGGUAAUCAUUUGAUAUAUAAUUUGUAGAAAAUAAUUUUGAUAACAUUAUUUUUUAUUUUUAUCUGAUAAUAAAAGAAUAUACCUAAAUUCAAAUUGAAUUUGUAUGUUUGGUACUUUAUACUAAGUAAAAAUUGAGAUCAAGAGAAAUUCUAAUACGACAUCUAACUUACAAUAUUACAAUUAAUUAAAAAAAAUCUUUUUGAUUAGAGAAAAAAUAAAGGAUUAUUAGAUUUUACAUAAUAGGUAUGAAAUGAAUAUAUUUAAAUGACGAUGUUUGUAAAAAAAUUAAUUUUUCAUUCAAACAUUUUAUCAUUUAAAUAAACAUUAAAAUUUUUAAUUUUUUCAUUUAGAUGAAAAUAUCUUACAAUAAGAAUUCAGAUACAAAACAAACAAGGCAAAAUUUAAAAGUAUCUUAAAUUAAUGUAAAUUAAAACUUCAGACAUAAAAACAAACAAGUGCGUAAUUUGGAUUUUGCUAUGUUUAUAAAAAAAAAAUUCUUUUUCUAUUUGCAUUUUAUUAUUUCACAUGUUCACGCUCUUCAAAAGAAUUUAAGGCCUCAAGCAAAUUUUCAAAAUUAGGCUUUUUUUAAUUUAAAUUAAGAUAUUGAUGAUAAACAUUUUAUUUUAGAUUAAUUCCUUUUAGAUAGAAAAUCAUUAAUAAAUUUGGUACAUCAAUUCGUGUGCCAAAAUUUUUUGAAGUGUAUAUAUAUAAAUGUUCCAAUUUACUUUAGAAUAAUGGAUUUUACCAAAAUCUAGAAACGUUAUUAAACAACGUGGUUUAAUAAUGUAAUGAUUGUAGUUUAACAUCUUUCUUAGAUUUUAAUAAAUUCAAGAUCCUAAACCAUUUCUCUCUCUCUCUCUAUAUAUAUAUAACAUUGAACAUGAAUUCAUUUGGUGGGAAAGAAUAAGAAAUCAUUUUAAACAACUUUAGUGAAAAAUAGAAGCCAUUACCGAAAUGAAUAUAGAAAUUCAAAAUAUAAAUAUAGAGAGAUUAAUAUUAAUUAAUUUGCUAAUAACAUUUUCCAUGUCGUCCUAUAUUAAUUUUUAAAUUAAUACAAUUGAAAAAGAUAGUGAAGCAAAGAAUAUAUUAGAUGAAAUAGGUUAAAUGUAAUCUCUAUAACAAAAUUAUGUAGUUCAGAAUUAUCACACAAACACUAUUAUGUUCAUAGUAGAAAAUCAUUCUUUUCCUCAAUAAACAUUUUAAAUUCAAAAUUUUCAGUUUCUUCCUCGUUUUGUACUCGUCUUCUAGGCCCAGUCGCCUUGCUGCCCGUCAUCAACAUGGACAAAAUUUUUCAUGAUAAAUUUCUGGAAUAUCAGUCUUUUACUUAUUUAUUAAACCACAUAUACUUGAAAUAACUAUAGUUAAAAGAGGACACAACAAGCUUAAUUUCAGGAAAAUGGUAAGAAAAUUUUAAAUGUAGUUCAGACCUGACACCCUUAACCAGAUCAUUUGAUUAAUUCCUAAACAAGUUUAAUUCUACUCAGAUAGCGAAGACAAGUAGGCCAAAAUGAUUACAACUGCUGGUAUCUAGAGACUUUGGCCACCAAGCUUCCGUUUAAUUAGUCUCUAUAUUUUGGGUUUAAUUAUCUGUUUAAUCAAUUCAUAAAUUUUGAAAAAAAGAUGAGACUAUUUGAAUCUAUUAAUUUCCUCUCUAUACCUCCUUUUUAGUUAAGAAUUUUAUUAUCUAAAUAAUUUUUUUAAAGAUUACUUAAUUAACGUUUCUCUCUCGCUUCUCAAUUUCAUAUAUUCUCAUAAGUUCAUUCAAGUAUAUUAUUUUAGCUGCAAAUAACUAGUAUUACUAACUAAGAGGAACGAAACCCACUAUUGAAAGAUAGAUAUCAACAAAUUCUUAUCGGACAUUAAAUUAAGCGAAUGAAUAUCAAUAAAUUAAUUUUUACCAACUACAAAAGUAAAAAUAAAAAUAAAAAAAAUUUCUCCUAUAAAGAAAGCAUGAAAUAGGAAUCAUGAUAUAAUAAGAAAGGCCAAAAAAAUGAAUUUAAAUUAGAGUGAAAUUGAGUGUUUAAUUUACAAAAUGUGAGAGUAGUGAGAUCAUAUGCAAUUGUAAGAGAGAAGAAGAUUAGUGAAAAAUGAUUUUGAGAUUUUUAAAUUUUUAAUUACUUAAUAAUGAAGUUAUUUUUUAAAAUAGGUAUAGAGAGAAAUUUGAUGGGUCCAAAUAGUCCAACGAGAAAUACUUUAAAAUACUUAUGCUGUUAAUUGUGUACACAACUGUUAUUAAUUUUUCUUUAUUUUUACAAUAAUAAUAUCCUGACGAUGAUUUGGAAAAGUAAAAAAAAAAUUAAUUUACUAUAAUCUAAGAUAAUCUUUAUUCUUAUCUUAUCAUUUCUUUUCGUUUUUCUUCUUUUAAAAGUAAAUUCCUUCAGAUUAAACCAAGUUAAAAAAAUAUUUUAGCUAAAAGAUACAGAUGCUCAUUCCAAACUUUUAAACGCACGAUAAAAAUUGAUAAGCGAGAGUCCAGAGCAAGUGUCCAACCACGUCUUUGAUGGAUAAAUUCUACUUGAUUUAGUCCUUAAUAGUGUGGGACAUGCCAAAUUUUAAACUUCAGCCGUAGAUUUGUUAUAUCUUUACCAAGCACUAAUAUUGGCAGCCUCACAUCCAUGCACCCACUGGAUCUUUAUAUAUCACAUGAAACCAGAAAUAAGGACUCACUCAAGCUCACCUACUCACUUUUGAUUGCGGUUCUCCAGAAGCUAAUAGAGAUCGUUUCUGCUUUGAAGAUUAUGGAAACUCCUUACACAGGUUAAUUUUUAGACCAUGUUCAAUUGAAUGUCAUUUAUAAUUCUAAUUUUAAUAUAUGUGUUUGUGAAUAAGUUUUUUACUAUCAAAUUUUCAGGUAAGAAAGAAUGGUCAGAGGGUGCACUGAUUAUUCUAUUAGUUAGUAUGUUUGAUGAUGAGAAAGUAAAUGACAAUGAUCUUGAUCUUCUUACUGUCCCUCAAUACGGG
Molecule: long non-coding RNA, 111871 nt
Filed under: Citrus maxima (pomelo)
Lineage: Eukaryota; Viridiplantae; Streptophyta; Magnoliopsida; Sapindales; Rutaceae
Description: long non-coding RNA (CMAX_LNC003578)
Source: RNAcentral